UGUAAAAAAUUGAAAUGACUCCAUUAACCAUUGAGGAUCAUAAACAUAAAUCAUCAUGGUAGACAAAACAACAAUUAAUCUAAACCUAGAAUUAACAAAAACACAAAAUGUCAAAUCUUAUUCUUUUAUCUCCUUCACAAACUUCUUAAGGUUCUCAUAAGAUGUACCUCCUUUUGCUAUGUUGUUCAUCACUUUCUCCUUCAACACCACACACCUAAAUUUCAUGCUCUCAUCAUUACAUAAUUGUUCAACCUUGGUUUUCAACUCUCCGCGUGACACAACUCCAUUUUGAUCUUUGUCAAUUCCCAACCCAACCUUUAACUCAUCACAAAUAUGUGUUUUGUUGUAAGGUUGGUCUCCAAAGUAUGGCCAACACAAGAAAGGUACCCCAUUGGACAAACCUUCCAUGGUAGAAUUCCAACCACAAUGAGUGAGAAAACAUGCUAUGGCAGGGUGACUUAAAACCUUUUGUUGAGGAGCCCAAUUCACUAUCUUACCCUUAUGCCCUUGGAAUUCAUGAGGGUAUGCCAUUUUAUUGUCUUCUCUUAUAACCCAAAGAAAAGGUCUAUUGGUGAGGUCUAGUCCUAGGGCAAGUUCAUUGAAUUGGUUUUGGUCAAAAAGAGUGAUACUACCAAAGGCAACAUACAACACAGAACCAUCAGCUUGUUCAUCUAGCCAACUCAUGCAAGAGAGAUCUUCUUCCCAGAAUUGUCCCAAUGAUCUUAGAGUUACAUUAGUUUUGUAAUGAUGAUCACUUCUCAACAACGGACCAAUUGGAAGGAAACUCGGAACAAGGGUUAAUACGUGAGGUUCAAGUUCAUGUGCAGUAUCACAAAGCCACCAUUAAGUCAAAUUUAAAGCUGGAGUACAGUGAUGCACCAAGUAAUUAAGGUAAUGAGAACCAUCCAUAAGUCCAGNNNNNNNNNNNNNNNNNNNNNNNNNNNNNNNNNNNNNNNNNNNNNNNNNNNNNNNNNNNNNNNNNNNNNNNNNNNNNNNNNNNNNNNNNNNNNNNNNNNNCAUGACAUAAUUGAGAAGUAAAAUAUGUUUUUAGAUGGGCAUGGUAUUUAUUAAAACAGGACCAAACAAAAGCAUAAGGUGCCACACUUUAGAAACAAAGGCAACAAUACAAAAGUAUAGUAAAGUAUGAUAGUGUUCUUACCAUCUGAAUCUAUGAUCCCAUCAUCAACGAGCUUUGGAACACUGCUUACCAAAUGAAACAAAGUUGCAGAGGCAGGCCAAAACAGAGCUCCUUUGAUUUCCAAUUCACAGGCAACAUUCAAUAUCCAUCCAACAUGUACAUCUGCAACAAUAAACCUGAUUCUGUUGUCACCUUUCAAAUGAAUAUUAUUAUUAUCCUCUAUGAGCUUUUUAAGUGCUUCUGGCAUGGUGAUUAGCAUAGAAUCACAUAGCUUGCCCAAGUUGUUUCUGUCAUCAUCAGGUCCUAAGCCAUCUGGGAUUGAGACCAACUUCAGUGGUGAUUCUUCAUUGUAUUGAUCCACCAUUGAGCUCACCACUCUCUUGUGGUUGAAGUCUGUGUUCACAAAUAUGACUUUGCAUCCAUUCUCCACCAGCUUUUGUGAUAGGGUUAACAUGGGAUUCACAUGCCCUUGACAUGGAAAUGGGAAAACUAGCACAGUUGGAAUGCUCAUGCUGUGUUCUUGUGUUUGCACUUCACGGGUAUGGCUUUGUUUAUAUACUCUGAAAAUAUGACUACCAGUUGUUAUAGGCUCAUUGGAUUAAGGAUAAUUGGUAAAUAUUUGGAACCACAAAUUUAAGUUUUGUUUUUAUCUGAAUGUGAGUUGUGUAUAAUUUAGUUAUCUAUAAUGUUAAUAGAAAUGUUAAGAAUUAUGGUUAUUGUUUACUGUGUAGCCAAAUCAAUUUUUUCUUCUUCUUUAAUAUAAUAUGAUUAUACAAAAUUGAGUUUGGUAGUUGAAUUGGAUUGUGAAAGUGCUGGUACCAAAGAAUAAGAAAACUUUCCACCUAUUGAUGGAUCUAAUUGAGUGAUAAGGGAACCAGAUGCUCGUCCUUGGCCAACUAUGCCAGAAUUUGCCCUUUCAAAAGCAAUGGUGUUGUAACGACCACAUCCCAUUCAAAUUCCAGGGAAUUUUUGUUAUUCUGCAUGCAGUACAGAACCCAAUUGUACAGUACGUUCACGAUAAUGGAAGUAAGUUAUUUCUUCUCCAAUUUUCCUAACGAUCAUGAUGAGAGGGACAUGUGGAAGAUUUUUCAGCGAAGUGGAGGAUUAAAAGACGUUGUGAUUUAAAAAGAUUAAUCGUAAAAGGGCAGAGGUUUGGUUUUGUUAGAUUUCAGGAUGUUGUAGACGUUGCUAAUCUAGAAAAAAAGCUUAAUAUUAUCUGGAUUGGGACAUGGAAGCUGAGAAUAAAUAAACCAAAAUACAAGAGACUUCUGGAGGUUAGGAAGGAGUGGAAUGGAAACCAUAAACCAAGGAAACAACAAAACGAGUGGAGGCAGAGGGAGCAACAUCUAACGUACGCUCAGGUGGUGGUGAAGGAGAAUAAAAGGAGAGUACAAGGGGUUAAGGCACAAGGACUGGUUCAUGUCAGAGUUCAGGAGGAAAAUGCAAAAUGGCUGAGAAGUUGCUUCGUAGGAAGAGUGGCGAAGGUGGAGAAGGUGCAGUCCAUGAAGUAGUGUUUCAUUAUGGAUGUUUUCAAGUGUAUUAGAGUGAGGUAUCUAGGGGGGACUACGUUCUGCUGUCUGAGGAUUUGGUAGGGGUGGUACAAAAAGCGUUGGAAGACAAAAAGGAGUGGUUUGCAAAUGUUUUUGCAUUUGUAGUCCCAUGGGAUGACAUCUUUGUAGUGGAGGACAAGAUUGUAUGGGUUAGAUGCAGAGGAAUUUCUUUAAAGUUCUGGAGUAAACAUUGUUUUGAACAAGUAGCAGCCCUCGUAGGGUCAUUGAUAGAAGUCGAUGUUGCAACGUUAUCAAGUACGCAAGGGUGCGUGUGAGGGUUCCUGUGGCCAGAGAAGCAUGCACGGUGAAGAAUGUGAGACUUAACGAAACAUUGUGUAAGCUAGUUAUAGAGGAGGAGACUUCCAUCACGAGUCUCUGCGUAUGCGGUCCUCAUUAUAAGUGGAGGGAGAUGCAUGGAAGGGAGUCAAAUGGUUAUUGGGUCUCGAAAGGCCCAGCGAAGUGAAGGCAGUAUGUUUAGUGUUUUCAUGGGUUUGGGCCCAAGGAAGGUGGAAGUUGAACAAUCAGGGGGUAUUGCAAGCACAUAACCCACGAAAUGGCAGCUAGAACAACGUUUACGUUGGCGAGGGGAGGAAUGGUGCGUUGCGAGUGAGUAAUGGAGGAAGGCAGGUGAGGGGUAAGGUGAAGCUCCUAUUGAGGUUGGGCGCUUGCAGAGGAGAAGGUGUCAUUGUCAUAGAGACAAAAGAGGGUGUUGAAACAUAUCAGUUGGCACAACGGGGCUAUGGCAGAUUUUCCCCAACAACGACGACGUUUAUAAGUGCCUAAUUUCAAUAAUAUUUUAUAUUAAAAUAUAGGUACUUAUGUGUAUUAAUUUCUAAAUUACAUAUAAAAUAAAUUCCUAAUUUAUGAAUUUAUGCCUUUUUUACAUUUUUUAUGAUCUUUAUUUGAAUAAGAACAUUUUAUUCCCAUAUUUGGUGUUAAUUGUAGGUUUCUAGGGAAAAAUGGAGAUUUGGACUAAAGAAGAAUGAUAUAAGCUAAAAAGAGAAUGCUGGAAGGUCCAGAAAGCACAAAAAGAGAAAAAAAAGAGUCCAACCCAGUAGCAGAGUUCUUGCUCAAACAAGCUAUAUCUCGCUUGAGCGAGAGAGCUCCAACAACGUUCUCAAAAAAUCGACUCCUUUCUCGCUCAAGCGAGAAUGCAUCAGAGAAAUUGGGCCAUUUUUAUGUUUUAUCAAUAAACCCAUCAGUGCGACGCAAGAAGUCACAUAACCCUAGUAAAUUAGGUUAAAUAGGGGGCUAAAGGCUCAACCCUAGUAUGCCAGAUUGAGAGAAAAACACAUUUGAGUGAUUUGUAACCAAUUGGGAGAAUGGAAGGUGCUGGAAGUAUGCGUGGGUAAUUCUACCCUUUGGGAUUGGGAGUAAUAUGUUCGAACUCUUAUGUAUUGAGGUGAUGUUUAAAUAUGAUAUCAUAUUUUGUCCUUGAUUGAUUAUUGGUAUUGUUGUUUUUCUUCUAAAUAGUGGUGACAUGUUUGAGAAUCUUGAAUUAGACUGGGAGGUAUUUUCAGGGUUCUGACCUAAACAACAAUACUUAACAUAUUUGAAUGUUAGAGAUAACUUGAAAUGUCAAUUGCUAUUAACGUCUGAGCGCGACUCUGAGUUGUUUUUAUAAGUAUGCGAGAGUUCGAUAUUUAGGAAACAUUCUUAAGAAUUUUAUAUGCGAGAGAUUGAUAUAAAUGAUUUUUCUACAGACAUCAAUUUCAAUAAAAGAACUUAAUGUUAACAUGCUAAUCAAAAUACAUGAGAGUGAGCAAGAUGAAACCUAAUCCCUAUUUGUCCAAUUGAAGCAAUUACUCUUUGAUUUGUUUUCUUGUUAAUUGUUGCCAUUAUAACAAUUUUCAAACCAAAUUUUUAUUGUUUUGUUUUAUAUUUAGUGAAUAUUGUACUUGAUAAUUCAAUUGUUCCUUGUGACAUUGAUAUUCAUUCUUUAUUACUUCUAACAACGCGAUGUACUUGCUGUAAAAAGUCAUCAGGCGUCCCCGGCUUCUCCCCUGCAUUCAUUUGGAGAAGGCAGCGAGCAAAGGGGGCGGAUAAGGGUGAAAAUUUUAAGUCUUCGAGCUGCAAUGGAAAGGCAGCCACGGAGGAGAAGGAAGACAACGACUUAAGGGGAUGUGCGACUUUGGAGGAAGGUGAUGGUGGUUGGUGCAGGGGAGAUGCGGACGUGAAGUUCGCUGAAAUUUUAAUCGAAGCUAAGGGAGAUGGAGAUUUUUCAAAAAGAGGAGCGGAAGCGAGAAUAUUGACGGGGGCCACACCGACAAACUUUUCGGUGCAAAAUCAACGGGAAAUAAGGUUAGAUUCUUAGAGCUCAAUCAAUUGCUCUACUCAUAGUGCACUUAGGAAUUGUAAUAGGUUGUUUUGGAUUAAAACGAGUACUCGAAAGCUGAUAGAAUUUGGAAUGUUGGUAAGGAGGUGGGGUUUUCCUUUCUCGGAGAGGGUGAUGUUGUUAUUGGUAAGCUACAAGUCAUGGAGGUUAGAGACAAAUCUGCAGGUAGGAGGGAGGAAAUAAGCAGGGUGGAGAAUAGUCUGUCUAAUGAGUAAGCUAAUUAAUAUGAAUAUAAGGGGAGUAGGGGGAAAUAUUAAAAGGAAAUAUCUACGAGUUGAUUAAGAAAGAACAAGUAUGUUUACAGGAGGCAAAAUGUAAGGAGUUGGGGCAAGAAGAGAUUUUUAAAAUGUGGGGUACUAAUGAAGUGGAUUGGGUUGAAAAUGGAAUUAAAAACAAUGCAGGAGAGGUGAUCACGAUGUGGAGGAGAAGUUGCUUUCUUCUUAGUAAUUUUAUCAAUGAGAAGAAUUAUAGUAUAAUAGAAAGGGAGUGGAGGAUUGGAGAGCCGAUACAGAUCACUAUUGUUGACGUGUAUAAUUCCGGUUCCUUGGAAGAAAAAAGAUAAGUAUGAGAGGAGGUCAGAGAGAGGAGAACGGUGCAUGGAUCAAAGGCUUGGUGCGUGGUUGGGAACUUUAACUCUAUCAGGAGAAUAUGUGAAAGGAGGAAUGCAGGAAACGAUAUUGAUCACAGUAGGGAGAUGAGAAGAUUCAAUAAUUUUAUUGAAAACACUGAGUUGGUUGAUAUUUCGAUGAUGGGAAGAAAGUUUACGUGGUAUAAACCAAACAAUUUAAUCAAGAGUAGAAUUGAUCGUAUCUUGGUGUCGCGGGAAUGGUUGAAUAAGUAGCCUAACAGUAAACAUCUCGUUCUAAACAGAUCGGUGUCUGAUCAUUGCGUCCUGGUAUUAAAAACAGAUACUACGGAUUGGGGACUGAAACCAUUUAGGUCGUUGGAUAUAUGGAAAAAUGACGACAAAUUUAUGGAUUUCGUUAGAGUGAAAUGGGGAAGUUAUGACGUGCAAGGAAGUGAGAUCUUUGUCUUUAAAGAGAAGUUGAGAAUGUUGAAAGUUGAUCUUAAAACCAGGGAUAGAGAGGUGUUCGAUAAUGUUGAUCAGUUGGGGGAAGAUUUACAGAAGAAAGUUUAGGAGUCUGAUGCAAAGGAUGAUGAGGGCGAGUUGGAUGAGGAAGGAAGAGAGGAAAGAAAAUGGCUUUUAGCAAAGCAGAGAAGAAAUAAUCACGGACAUGAAGCUUUAUUUCAACAUAAGAUGCGCCAUGGAUGGUUGAAUCAGGGGGACUUGAAUACAAGAUAUUUUCAUUCGGUAAUCAAAUAGAGGAGAGCAAGGAACAACAUUAGUGGGCCGAGAGAAAAUGGCCAAUGGGUUGACGAGCAAGGUGAGGUCAAGAAAAAGGUUAGAGAUUUCUUCCAACAAAGGUUUGGUGGUGAUGCUUGUAAAUGUGUCAGGAUUGAUAAUGCAAGGUUCAACAGGAUUUCAGAAGAAGACAAUGAUAUGUUGGUAGGAAGAAUAAUCGAAGAGGAAAUAAAACAUGUUGUUUGGUGUUGUGAAAGUGAUAAAAGCCCGAGACCGGAUGGAUUUAACUUUGGCUGCAUUAAGUUUUGUUGGGAUGUUUUUAAGGUCGAUAUCAUUAGGGCAAUUCGUGAUUUUAAGGAAGGAGGAAGAUGGCCAAGGGGGACGAAUGCUUCGUUUAUCUCCUCCUAAAUAACCCGCAAAAAUUUGAACGAUUUUAGACCAAUUUCUUUGAUUGGCUAUCUAUACAAAAUUGUGACUAAAAUUUUGUCUUUGAGGCUGAAAAAUGUUUUGCACAAAGUUAUUGACAGUAGGCAAUUUGUUUUCUUGGAGGGUAGGGGGUUAAUGGAUAGUGUUUUAGUGGCAAAUGAAGUUUUGGAAGAAGUGAAGAGGAGAAAGACCAGUUGCUUUUUUUUUUCAAAGUUGACUAUGAAAAGGCAUAUGACUCGAUCAUUUGGGACUUUAUCUAUUACAUGAUGGACAAGUUAGGUUUCUGCGGAAAAUUGAUUGAAUGGGUAAGGGCAUGUCUCGAAUCAUCCUCCGUGUCCGUGUUAGUAAAUGAGAAUUCAGACCGAGGAAAGAAUUAAGACAAGCAGAAUUGAGAAAAAGAUUGGCUGGAGUAGUUAGGAAGGCGGUCGAGAAAGAGAUUCUAGAAAACCUGGAGAUUGGAGACAAGUUUGUUAAGGUAAACAUGCUUCGGUAUGCGAAUGAUACCCUUUUUUCUGCAAAGCUAAAGUGCAAAGUGUGUUCGUUAUCAAAGCCAUCCUUAAUUUAUUUGAAUUAGCUUCUGGUUUAAAGAUUAAUUUUGAGAAGAGCAGAAUAUGUGGGGUGGGAGGUGAUUUACAUAUGGGGCAACUUUGUGUAUCUAUUUUGAACUGCGCUGUGAUGAAGACUACGUUUAAGUAUUUGGGCAUGCUAGUAGGGGGAUGUCACAAAAGAAGUAAGUUAUAGGAAGACUUUGUCUGAUAAAAUUGGUUCUAUCUUCUCUACCCAUGUUCUAUAUGUCACACACACACAAUAUUUCAAAAUAUUGCCCUCUUCAUAGGAAUUUUAAUAUUUACACAUAUCAAACUAAAAUACUUAAGAAAACUAAACAUUUCCUUUGCUCAUUGUGAAGCUCUCUCAUUUGUAGCAUCAUCUGCUUCCGUAUAAAUACAUGAUCAUCCUAGAUAAGAAAAACAAAUUAUAAAAUAAACAACAUGGUAAACUAGCUAUUUUUAAAAUUUCAAAUAUAAAUUUAACUUAAAUUAACAAGCAUAAAUGCAUCAAUUCUCAUAUAUUUCACAAAGAAAUCAAGUGUGUAUAAAAUUCAUAAUUCAUCUUUCUCAUGUCAAACUUCUCCUAACCCACAACACAUAGACACUUGACUCUACUUUCAGAAGACAAAUGUAUUGAAAUUAGCACUCAGAAACAAACAAUCCUUCAAGAAAAUUGAACUAGUGUCCACGUCACCCGCACAUCCAGAUCUUCUAACCUAGGUUCUAUUGAAAAUUUAAAACUAGCUUCCCUUACCUGACUUUAGUAGGUGUGCUCACAAAGAGCUCCAACUCCUACUACAAUAAAUGAUAACUUAACCUGCAUCACAGAGUCUUAAUCAAAGGUCUAAAUAUAACACUAGGAAUUUGAAUUAAGAGUGGUUAAUCUUGAAGUUAGAAACAUCACAUGAAACAACCUAUACUAAGACAAACCUAACUAGUUAAGAACUGACUCAAAGGAAAAAUGAGCAAAAAAAGAAGAAGAACUUACUCUGUCUAAGAUUCUAAUCGUACCGUCUUGUGGCCUUUGCUGCUAGGAGUCCAAUAAUGGACUCUGAUCGUUAAUAUGAUGAAUGAGGAUGUCGAAAUUUUAGAGAUAAGGUAGAGAAAAGGAAAAUAGAAGUUUCAGAGAGAUGGUAAUUCUUUUAAAAUGAAAUAUGAGUAACUGAAUUUCUUUUCAUAUACUAUUUUCACUUUAAUAAUAAAAUAUUCAAGUUUCAUUUAAAAUAUAUCACUUCUACUCUAAAAUUAGUUUUUAGAUCCUUACCUUCAUCAAUACAUUUAUUUAUUUAUUAUAAAAGUUUUUAGUGGCAUAAGAGUGUAUGAAUACAUUAUACCGUUAACUUCAUCUUCAACUUACAUCAUGUGAAAAUUUCAUUUAAAUAAUGUUUAAAGCUCACUAGUGGAAACUCUAAUGUUAGUUACAAUUACUGUAUAUAGGAACCUAUAAUAAUAGUUUUUUAAACUAAAAAUUAUUGUUGAACUGGACAAGAGUGAGAAUUUACUAAAAAAACCUUCAAAUUAUAAUUUUUAUUCAAUAAUAAUUUUUUUAUAAAUAAAAAUUAAAUUUUGUUAAGAAUUCAGUUGGAUCCCAUAUUUUUUUUUAGUUUUCUUUUUCAACUAUUUUUUUUGUGUGGAUUCUUCUUAUCAUUUGUAGAGUAGCUAGUUACAUGAGCAACAACUUUUUUUGAAAGGGAUGGGAGGGAGGGAGUCUCUUUUCUCAUAUUCCAGUCUCUUUUUCUGCUGGUGUAUGUGCUAAUCAAAUUCCUCUGAUUUGGGAAGUCUUUAUAGUUUAAGUUUUUUAGUGUUAAGUGCUCCCUUAACCCUGUUUUGUAUUGUUGUUUGUUUAAACUAUGGAGGUAUUAUGUAUAAGGAUUGGGACACUCUUUAAGUGUCUCAUUUUUAUUUUAUUAAUUUAAUGCUGAUAAAAAAAAAAAACAACUAUUUUUGAACUAUUUCAUAUGCUUAGAGAAUCAUCAUUCAUUUGAUCUUGAAUUUCUGGUUCCUUGUACUUUUCAGACUUAAUUAAUAUGGACCACGUACCCCAUGAACUAAAUGCACCUAAGUCUUUUGUCUCUUGCACCUCCAUUGUCAGAACCACGUGGCCCAUCACAAGUUUUCACAGUGUCCUUUUAGAAUUUUUCAAUCUUUUCUCAGUUUGCUUUCUUUAUUUGUAUAUGUAUUAUUUGUGUACAUAUUGAAAACUUUAUUGUAUCUAGAUUACAGUAAAUAUAUAUGGUUCUCGAACAUGUGUUUGCUUACAAAACGAUUGCUCUGUUCUUUCCUUUGGUCGUUCGCGGUCAUAUUCAGUUUCUUGCUUCGUCUUUCUCUUUUCGGUCGUUUGGUUUCAAAGGUUGGGAUAGUACUUGCAGAAGGCAUUCCGACGAUCAAGUUAGUCAGAGUAUCGACACUCAGUUGUCAGAGUACUGCAGAUAAUUGACGUACCUGAUUUUUGGAAUAUGUGUUAUUUAUAUUAUCUUAAUGAACCUUUAUUGGUGGGCCGGAUUAAGAUGUUGGCUAAUGUUUAGGAUUUAGUAAACAACUCUUAAUUAUGGAUUAAUCCUGCUGACUUGGUCAACCCAUAGUUCGUCAUCAAGGUCGGUCGAUCAGGUUCUUCACAUGACCUUCUUAUCAUGACCGAGUGAUCGAGUUCAUGACCGACUCACUUAGUGGUUCGAUCGUGUGCCAGUACAUACAUUUUUUUACUUUAAAGUGAUUCAUAAUUUUUACUAAUAUUAUAUAAUUUUUCACAUUAAAAAUGCGUAUUUUUUUUAUGAUUUUUGAGUUUGUGUUAUUUCUUUUAUCAGUUUAUUAAUAUAAAAGUGUCGGUUCAAAUAAUUCGAAACUUAAGUAUUUAUACACUUUAUUCAAAUUGAUCAAUUCAAUGGGAUGUAAACUAAUUGGGUACUGGAAGGAUAAGAAAGUAAAUUGAACUAUUAUGAAAGACUAUUUAUAUUAAUUUUACCUCUAAAAGUUUAUAUUAUGUUCAUUAAAAUAACUAAUAAGUAGAGAUAAAAUAAAUAACUUUAACUAAGGGUUGAAACUCGAAUUUUUAUUUCAGAGUUGUUAACUUAACAUUUAAAAUCUUUCAAAAGCAUGAACAAUCUUUUAGAUUGGCGCCUGUAAAUAAGAGAAAAAAAAUCAUUAUUUUUGUUUCCUAUGUUUAUAGGAUCUGAAAAAAAAAACUAAUAAGUCAACACAUAAGUAUAAAAUGAAUAUCAAAUUAAAUUUUUCAUCAGUUAUCAUUAAAUCUUUAUAACUGUGUGUUAGUUUGAAUUGGGUCAGUUUAAACAUAAAACCAACUCAACACAAUCAUAAAUAAAACUUCAACUCAACCUAUUGAAUUAAAUUAAAGUUUGUUAAGCUGGCGUUUUUUUUAAUUAGGUUGUAUUAUUAUUUUUUAAUUAGGUUAAUAUUUAAAAGUUAUAAUUUUUAACGAAAAAAAAUUCAAAUUUUUGAUCCAAUCUUAAUCCAACCAUCUCAAAAAUGAUUUGGAUUAAUUGGUUUAACAUGCAAAAUUUAAAAACAAACUUAACCAACCUUAUAUUUUUAAAUGGGUUGAAUAAUAGGUUUUUCUAGAUAUACCCAAUAGAAAACCAUUUAAAAAUUAUAAUGGAUUUUUACCGCUUGAAAAGAGAUUCUAUUAACUUGGAUUCCAUCUUUUCUUUCAUCAAACAUAUAGUGAUAAUGGAUUUUUUUUAUUGUUUAUAUUUCCUUUUGUUAACAAACUUGCUACAUUUUUUUUUCUUAAGCAAAAUAAUUUAGUAGUAAAAGAAACCUAAACUUGAGCAUAAGAUGUAAGUAAAACUGUAAAAAAUUUAAAUGACUCCAUUAAUCAUUGAGGAUCAUAAACAUAAACUAUCAUGGUAUACAAAACAACAACUAAUCCAAACCUAGAAUUAACAUAAGCACAGACUGUGAUGUGAAAUCUUAUUCUUUUAUCUCCUUCUUCACAAACCUCUUAUUCCUUUAUCGCCUUCACAAAGCUCUUAAAGUUCUCAUAAGAUGUUCCUCCUUUUGCUAUGUUCUUCAUCACUUUCUCCUUCAACACCACACACCUACAUUUUAUGUUCUCAUCAUUAAAGAUCUGUUCCACUUUGGUUUUCAACUCUCCGCGUGACACAACUCCAUUUUCAUCUUUGUCAAUUCCCAACCCAACCUUUAACUCAUCACAAAUAUGUGUUUUGUUGUAAGGUUGGUCUCCCAAGUAUGGCCAACACAACAAAGGUACCCCAUUGGACAAACCUUCCAUGGUAGAAUUCCAACCACAAUGAGUGAGAAAACAUGCUAUGGCAGGGUGACUUAAAACCUUUUGUUGAGGAGCCCAAUUCACUAUCUUACCCUUAUGCCCUUGGAAUUCAUGAGGGUAUGCCAUUUUAUUGUCUUCUCUUAUAACCCAAAGAAAAGGUCUAUUGGUGAGGUCUAGUCCAAGGGCAAGUUCAUUGAAUUGGUUUUGGUCAAAAAGAGUGAUACUACCAAAGGCAACAUACAACACAGAACCAUCAGCUUGUUCAUCUAGCCAACUCAUGCAAGAGAGAUCUUCUUCCCAGAAUUGCCCCAAUGAUCUUAGAGUUACAUUAGUUUUGUAAUGAUGAUCACUUCUCAACAGCGGACCAAUUGGAAGGAGACUCGGAACAAGGGUUAAUACGUGAGGUUCAAGUUCAUGUGCAGUAUCACAAAGCCACCAUUGAGUCAAAUUUAAAGCUGGAAAACAGUGAUGCACCAAGUAAUUAAGGUAAUGAGAACCAUCCAUAAGUUCAGCCAUGUGAAACCAAAACAAGGUUCUUGUGUCCAUCUCUGGCAUACUUGGUGAUAAUUGAAUUGUCCCUUUUGAAGUUAAUAUGGAUCCUGCAAUGAAACAUGACAUAAUUGAGAAGUAAAAUAUGUUUUUAGAUGGGCAUGGUAUUUAUUAAAACAGGACCAAACAAAAGCAUAAGUUGCCAGACUUUAGAAACAAAAGUAUGAUAGUGUUCUUACCAUCUGAAUCUAUGAUCCCAUCAUCAACGAGCUUUGGAACACUGCUUACCAAAUGAAACAAAGUUGCUGCGGCAGGCCAAAAUAGAGCUCCUUUGAUUCCCAAUUCACAGGCAACAUUCAAUAUCCAUCCAACAUGUACAUCUGCAACAAUAAACCUGAUUCUGUUGUCACCUUUCAAAUGAAUAUUAUUAUUAUCCUCUAUGAGCUUUUUAAGUGCUUCUGGCACGGUGAUUAGCAUAGAAUCACAUAGCUUGCCCAAGUUGUUUCUGUCAUCAUUAGGUCCUAAGCCAUCUGGGAUUGAGACCAACUUCAGUGGCGAUUCUUCAUUGUAUUGAUCCACCAUUGAGCUCACCACUCUCUUGUGGUUGAAGUCUGUGUUCACAAAUAUGACUCUGCAUCCAUUCUCCACAAGCUUUUGUGAUAGGGUUAACAUGGGAUUCACAUGCCCUUGACAUGGAAAUGGGAAAACUAGCACAGUUGGAAUGCUCAUGCUGUGUUCUUGUGUUUGCACUUCACGGGUAUGGCUUUGUUUAUAUACUCUGAAAAUAUGACUACCAAUUGUUAUAGGCUCAUUGGAUCAAGGAUAAUUGGUAAAUAUUUGGAACCACAAAUUUAAGUUUUGUUUUUAUCUGAAUGUGAGUUGUGUAUGAUUUAGUUAUCUAUAAUGUUAAUAGAAAUGUUGAGAAUUAUGGUUAUUGUUUACUGUGUAGCCAAAUCAAUUUUUUCUUCUUCUUUAAUAUAAUAUGAUUAUACAAAAUUGAGUUUGGUAGUUGAAUUGGAUUGUGAAAGUGCUGGUACCAAAGAAUAAGAAAACUUUCCACCUAUUGAUGGAUCCAAUUGAUUGAUAAGGGAACCAGAUGCUCGUCCUUGGCCAACUAUGCCAGAAUUUGCCCUUUCAAAAGCAAUGGUGUUGUAACGACCACAUCCCAUUCAAAUUCCAGGGAAUUUUUGUUAUUCUGCAUGCAGUACAGAAUCCAAUUCUACAGUACGUUCACGAUAAUGGAAGUAAGUUAUUUCUACUCCAAUUUUCAUAACGAUCAUGAUGAAAGGGACAUGUGGAAGAUUUUUCAGCGAAGUGGAGGAUUAAAAGACGUUGUGAUUUAAAAAGAUUAAUCGUAAAAGGGCAGAGGUUUGGUUUUGUUAGAUUUCAGGAUGUUGUAGACGUUGCUAAUCUAGAAAAAAGGCUUAAUAUUAUCUGGAUUGGGACAUGGAAGAAUAAAUAAACCAAAAUAUAAGAUACUCGGCUCAAUUACAUAUCUAACACCAUUUACACUUUUAUUUCUUCAUCUAUCAUUCUUUUGUUUUUAUUUCCCUAUCUAGCACCAUUUCAAAAAUAAAUUAAAAAAAUAAUAAAUUAUUAUUUUUUGAUAAUUUUAAUUUUGAAUGCAUUAAAAAAUAAUUUUUUUAAUGUUUCAAAUAACUAGAAAUAUAAUUAAUGAAUAAAUAAAUGAGUUUUUACAAAAUAAAAAUAAAAAAAUAAUAAAUUAAAAAUGUUUAGUUUAAAAUUAUUAUUUUUUAAAAUGAACAAAAAUAAAAAAUUAAAACCAACAACAACAUAAAAGUUGAAUCCUAUAAACUAAAUUACUAUUUAUUUUUAUCAUCAUUGAUGAAGCAAAUAUUUAAAUUCAAGUAAAAAAAUCCAUCAAUAUAAUUAUAAAAAACUCUAAAGUUAAAUUAAUUUAAUUCACUACCGGUAACUUUAAAUAAUUAUUUUAAUNNNNNNNNNNNNNNNNNNNNNNNNNNNNNNNNNNNNNNNNNNNNNNNNNNNNNNNNNNNNNNNNNNNNNNNNNNNNNNNNNNNNNNNNNNNNNNNNNNNNUCAUUUACAGAUGAACAGAUUUAUUUUUCAAAACGAAAACAGAGAAAGUUUAACUAUUUAAAACUCAGUCGUUUUGAAAAGAAGAAGACUUAGUCAAAAUACCUGAUGCACAAAAUCUAAUUUUUACAAGACUUUAGCCAAGGCAUCAGUGAAGAAAAUGAAUCUGUUUAUUUAGAAAAGAACAGAUUUAUUUUUAUGCAGUAAACGUGUUUUUGUGUAAAACCUGUGAAAAACAGUUUAAGAAAACUUAUGCUUGUUCUUAACACAUGGCCAGUGGUUAUGAGGUGAGUUACUCAGCAAAAAGCUACUCUUAGACAACCUCUAAGCACUAACUAAGACAUACUUAAAGCAAAGCAAAAAUACAUGAAAGGUACAUAAAAGUCUUCAUCAAACACUACAUAUAUGUCUUCAUCAAACACAAUCUUGAAGGGGCAGCAACCAUCUUCAACAAGAACAAGAUGUCAUCAAGUACGUAAGGGUGCGUGUGAGGGUUCCAGUGGCCAGAGAAGCAUGCACGGUGAAGAAUGUGAGACUUAACGAAACAUUGUGUAAGCUAGUUAUAGAGGAGGAGACUUCCAUCACGAGUGUCUGUGUAUGCGGUCCUCAUUAUAAGUGGAGGGAGAUGCAUGGAAGGGAGUCAAAUGCUGAGUUGGAGGAGAAGUUUAGAGAGGAGUUCUUUGAGUCAGAAGGCUUCGACUACAAUGAUCAAAAUGAUGCGAGGGGGAAUGCCAACAAAGAGAAAUCAGUGAAAUUUCAGGCAAAGGGAGUUUCAGGUGCCGGGGGAGGCACAUGUAUAGGUAGCUCAAGUAGAGGUAGGGAAUCGAGGCAUGGAGGAGGUUACACUAAUUUGGAGGGGCACGUUGGCGGCAUGAGAAAAGAAGGUAUAUGCAGGACAUCCUUUGAGGUUGUGUCAAUGCAACAAGAGGUUAAUAAACCAAUAUGGGAUGCUACGGCUACGCGUGCUAAGGAGGUUAACCUAAUGGUUAUUGGGUCUCGAAAGGCCCGACGGAGUGAAGGGAGUAUGUUUAGUGUUUUCAUGGGUUUGGGCCCAAGGAAGGUGGAAGUUGAACAAUUAGGGGGUAUUGCAAGCACACAACCCACGAAAUGGCAGCUAGAACAACGUUUACGCUGGUGAGGGGAGGAACGGUGCGUUGCGAGUGAGUAAUAGAGGAAAACAGGUGAGGGGUAAGGAGAAGCUCCUAUUGUGGUUGGGCGCUUGCGGAGGAGAAGGUGUCAUCGUCACAAAGACAAAAGAGGGUGCUGAAACAUAUCAAUUGGUGCAGCGGAGCUAUGACAAAUUUUCCCCAACGGUGACGACGUUUAUAAGUGCCUUAUUUCAGUAAUAUUUUAUAUUAAAAUAUAGGCAUUUAUGAGUAUUAAUUUCUAAAUUACAUAUAAAAAAAAUUCCUAAUUUAUAAAUUUAUGCCUUUUUAUUUUUUAUGAUCUUUAUUUGAAUAAGAACAUUUUAUUCCCAUAUUUGGUGUCAAUUGCAGGUUUCUAGGGAAGAAUGGAGAUUUGGACUAAAGAAGAAUGAUAUAAGCUAAAAAGAGAAUGUUGGAAGGUCUAGAAAGCACAAAAAGAGGAAAAAGAAGUCCAAUUCAGUAGCAGAGUUCUCGCUCAAGCAAGUUAUAUCUCGCUUGAGCGAGAGAGCUCCAACAACGUUAUCAAAAUCGACGCCUUUCUCGCUCAAGCGAGAAUGCGUCACACAAAUUGGACCAUUUUUAUGUUUUAUCAAUAGACCCAUCAAUGCGACGCAGAAAUUCACCUAACCCUAGUAAAUUAGGUUAGAUAGGGGGCUAGAGGCUCAACCCUAGUGUGUUAGAUUGAGAGGAAAACACCUUUGAGUGAUUUGUAACCAAUUGGGAGAAUGGAAGGUGCUAGAAGUAUGCUUGGGUAAUUCUACCCUUUGGAAUUGGGAGUAAUCUGUUUGAACUCUUAUGUAUUGAGAUGAUGUUUAAAUAUGAUAUAAUAUUCUGUUCUUGAUUGAUUAUUGGUAUUGUUGUUUUGCUUCUAAAUAGUUGUGACAUGUUUGAGAAUCUUGAAUCCGACUGAGAGGUAUUUUUCAGGGUUCUGACCUAAACAACAAUACUUAAUAUAUUUGACUGUUAGAGAUAACUUGAAAUGUCAAUUGCUAUUAACGUCUGAGCGUGACUCGGAGUUGUUUUUAUAAGUAUGCGAGAGAUCGAUAUUUAGGAAACAUUCUUAAGAAUUUUAUAUGCGAGAGAUUGAUAUAAAUGAUUUUUCUACGGGCAUCAAUUUCAAUCAAAGAACUUAAUGUUAACAUGCUAAUCAAAAUACAUGAGAGGGAGAAAGAUGAAACCUAAUUCCUAUUUUUCCAAUUGAAGCAAUUACUCUUUGAUUUGUUUUCUUGUUAAUUCUUGCCAUUAUAACAAUUUUCAAACCAAAUUUUUAUUGUUUUGUUUUAUAUUUAUCGAAUAUUGUACUUGAUAAUUCAAUUGUUCCUUGUGCGAUCGAUAUCCAUCCUGAUAUCCAUCCUUAGGGACAAAUUAUUACUUUUGACAACGCGAUGUACUUGCCGUAAAAAGUCAUCAGGCAUUCCCGACUUCUCCACUGCAUUCAUUUGGAGAAGGCAGCGACCAAAUGGGACGGAUAAGGGUGGAAGUUUUAAGUCUUCGAGCUGCAAUGGAAGGGCGACCACGGAGGAGAAGGAAGACAACGACUUAAGGGGAUGUGCAGCUUUGGAGGAGGGGGGGUGAAUAGUUUAAAAGAGAUUUACGAAAUUUUUUGAAGAUUUAAUGGAAUUCUGUGAAGAAAUCCAGAAGAGGAAUCAAGUUAGCUAAGAACACAAACUGUUUUAAAGCAAAACACAGAAAAACAAUCGGUUGUUUAUACCAGUUAAAACUUAAACAACUUAAAAACAGAAUUUAAAGGAGUUCAGAGAAAGAGAAAUGCACACAAGCAGUUUAUACUGGUUCACUCUUACAACAAGAGCUACAUCCAGUUCCCAGAAACCACUAGGUAAUCCACUAAGCAAUUAAACCAGAUUACAAACACCACACACCAAAGUAGUGACCCUGAACCCCUCAAGAAACACAUUACCUUUGGCAAACCACACCAAGAGUAUUGAUCUUGAACACCUCAAGAACACACAACACUCCUUAGCAAUACAACAACAAAAAUACAAAAGAUUGAGAAAGGAUUACACCUGAUCAAAGUACAAUAUGAAAAGAAUACAAUUGCAAUCCUAUUUCACUCUCACUUGAAAAUCCAAAGCUUGAUGUGAAUCUUGAAAACUUGAGAUCAAAAGAUUGGUCAAAACAUUUAAUAUUAUCCAAAGAUUGGUCAAAACAUUUAAUAAAGGAAUGUAUUCAGUUAGAAAUCAUUUAAGACAGAUUCACCAUUCAAAACAGGAUCCUGUUAGGAUUUUCAAAGUUGAAACCACAAAACAGCCGAUUGAUUUGGUUUGACAGUUAAGUCAACCAAGUCAAACAACUUUCAGCCUUUUUCAAAACAUCUAAGAACAAAACAACCGGUUGAUUCGACAAAACAACAAGUUGUUUUUCACUUAGUUGAAAAAACAUUUAAUUUCAAAAAGGUUUUAAUUCACAUCAGUUUUAGAUUCAACAAAAGAGUGGAUCGCACUUUAAUCUACCCAGAUCCCACCCACACAUAACAACAACACUAGCCUUUCAUCAAACACCUUGGAUUUGGAUUCUUCAAAGCUCUUGAUCACUCUUGAUCAAUACAGGGGAGAUGUAAACGUGAAGUUCGACGAAAUUCGAAUUGAAGCCAAGGGAGAUGGAGAUUUUUCAAAAAGAGAAGCGGAAGCGAGAAUAUUGUCGGGGGCCACACCGAAAAACUUUUCGGUGCAGAAUCAAUGGGAAAUAAGGUUAGAUUCUCAGAGCUCGAUCAAUUGCUCUACUCAUAGUGCACUUAGGAAUUGUAAUAGGUUGUUUUGAAUGAAAACGAGUACUCAAAAGCUGAUAGAAUUUGGAAUGUUGGUAAUGAGGUGGGGUUUUCCUUUCUCGGAGAGGGUGAUGUUGUUAUUGGUCAGCUAAAAGUCAUGGAGGUUAGAGACAAAUCUGCAGGUAGGAGGGAGGAAAUAAGCAGGGUGGAGAAUAGUCUGUCUAAUGAGUAAGCUAAUUAGUAUGAAUAUAAGAGGAGUGAGAGGAAAUAUUAAAAGGAAAUAUCUACGUGAGUUGAUUAAGAAAGAACAAGUAUGUUGACAGGAGGCAAAAUGUAAGGAGUGGGGGCAAGAAGAGAUUUUUAAAAUGUGGGGUACUAAUGAAGUGGAUUGGGUUGAAAAUGGAGUUGAAAACAAUGCAGAAGGGUUGAUCACGAUGUGGAGGAAAUGUUGCUUUCUUCUUAGUAAUUUUAUCAACGGGAAGAAUUAUAGUAUAAUAGAAAGGGAGUGGAGAAUUGAAGAGCCGAUACAGAUCACUAUUGUUGACGUGUAUAAUUUCGAUUCCUUGGAAGAAAAAAGAUCAGUAUGGGAGAAUGUCAGAGAGAGCAGAACGGUGCAGGGAUCAAAGACUUGGUGCGUGGUUGAAACAAACUUCAAAUUAUAAUUUUUAUUUAAUAAUAAAUUUUUUAUAAAUAAAAAAUAAAUUUUGUUAAGAAUUCAAUUGGAUCCCAUAUUUUUUUUUUUAGUUUUCUUUUCAACUAUUUUUUUGUGUGGAUUCUUCUUAUCAUUUGUAGAGUAGCUAGUUACAUGAGCAACAACUAUUUUUGAACUAUUCCAUGUCCUUAAGGAGAAUCAUCAUUCAUUUGAUCUUGAAUUGCAACAAUUUCAGAAUGUAUAUAAUUGAACAUUUCUGGUUCCUUGUACUUUUCAGACUCAAUUAAUAUGGACCACGUGAAAAAUACCCCAUCAACUAAAUGCACUUAAGUCUUUUGUCUCUUGCACCCCCAUUGUCAGAACCACGUGGCCCAUCACAAGUUUUCACAGUGUCCUUUUAGAAUUUUUCAAUCUUUUCUCAGUUUGCUUUCUUUAUUUGUAUAUGUAUUAUUUGUGUACUUAUUGAAAACUUUAUUGUAUCUAGAUUAUAGAUUUUUUUUUUACUUUAAAGUGAUUCAUAGAUUUUACUAAUAUUAGAUAAUUUUUUACAUUAAAAAUUCGUACAUUUUUAUGAUUUUUUUAGUUUGUUAUUUCUUUUAUCAAAUUAUUUUAAUAUAAAAGUGUCGGUUCAAAUAAUUGGAAACUUAAGUGUUUAUACACUUUAUUCAAAUUGGACCAAUUCAAUGGGAUGUAAACUAAUUGGGUACUGGAAGGAUAUAUAAGAAAGUUAAAUGAACUAUUAUGAAAGACUAUUUAUAUUAAUUUUACCUUUAAAAGUUUACAUUAUGUUGAUUAAAAUAACUAAUAAGUAGAGAUAAAAUAAAUAACUUUAACUAAGGUUCACUAUAAGAAAAUCAUGAUCAUAGAAACUAAAAUAAUUAGUUGUAAUAAUAAUUAAAUUAGAGAUCAUUUUAAAAAUUAAAAAGAAAUUAGUUUUUAUUAUUGUUAAAUAGUUUAUAAAUUUGUAUCUAAUUUGCAAUUAAGGUUUUUGCUACUGAAAUUAGAAACUAAUUUAAAAACUAUUUUUUUAGUUUUUAAAAUGGUUUUCAAUUUAGUUAUUAUUGUAAUUAAUUAUUUUGGUCUUUAAAAAUUGAUUUCUAUUUUAUGAUUUUCUUGUAAGUGUCUAAACUCGAAUUUUUAUUUCAAAGAUGUUAACUUAACAUUUCAAAUCUUUCAAUUUAAUUUAAAAUAAGUUGUUAGAUGUAAACUAUGUAACAUAAAUACAGAUACGGACACUGACACGAUACGGAUAUGGAUACGGACAAAGAGAUACGUAUAAUCUGUAAAAUGUAGGACACGGGGACACGGAUCUAUAUAUUAUAUAAUUUUAAUUAUAUAAAUUGAAAAUAAAUAUUUAUGUGCAAAAGUAUGUUUCAGACUCUUUUGGGAGUAGGAAGAUAUUUUUCAUGACUGGUUCAAAAGAAUUUGUUCCUUAUUUUUAUAAUCAUAAUAAAAAUUUAUACAAUAAAUUUGAAUUUUUAGAAAAUUAUUGUAUUUAUACCUUUUAAAAUUGUGUUAGAACCGUGCUAGAAUUUUAAAAAAUUCAACAAAUUUUUUUGAAUUGAACACUUCACCAAUAAGUGUCCUAGGAGUGUUGACACCGAUACGUGUAUCCGACACGGAUACGCCUAUUUAAGAGAAGUGUCCGAGCUUCAUCCUAACUAUCAUAAAAAUGUAAGAAGAGCAUUCAUUUGGGUUUAGAUGGUAAUAUAUAUAUAUAUAUAUAUAUAUAUNNNNNNNNNNNNNNNNNNNNNNNNNNNNNNNNNNNNNNNNNNNNNNNNNNNNNNNNNNNNNNNNNNNNNNNNNNNNNNNNNNNNNNNNNNNNNNNNNNNNNNNNNNNNNNNNNNNNNNNNNNNNNNNNNNNNNNNNNNNNNNNNNNNNNNNNNNNNNNNNNNNNNNNNNNNNNNNNNNNNNNNNNNNNNNNNNNNNNNNNNNNNNNNNNNNNNNNNNNNNNNNNNNNNNNNNNNNNNNNNNNNNNNNNNNNNNNNNNNNNNNNNNNNNNNNNNNNNNNNNNNNNNNNNNNNNNNNNNNNNNNNNNNNNNNNNNNNNNNNNNNNNNNNNNNNNNNNNNNNNNNNNNNNNNNNUAUAAUAUAUACAUAUAUAUAUAUAUACAUAUAUAUAUAUAUGUAUAUAUAUAUAUACAUAUAUAUAUAUAUACAUAUAUAUAUACAUGUAUAUAUACAUACAUGUAUAUAUAUGCCUUUUUUUUUAUGUUUAUUGGAUCUGAAAAAAAAUCUAAUAAGUCAAUACAUAAGUAUAAAAUGAAUAUCAAAUUAAUUUUUUCGUCACUUAUCAUUAAAUCUUUAUACGUGUGAGUUAGUUUGAAGUGGAUCAUUUUAAACAUAAAUACAACUGAACACAGUCAUAAAUAAAACUUCAACUCAACCUAUUGAAUUAAAUUAAAUUUUGCAAAGCUUGUGUUAUUUUUAAUUAGGUUGUAUUAUUUUUUUUAAUUAGAUUAAUAUUUAAAAAUUAUAAUUUUUAACGAAAAAAAAAAUCAAAAUUUUGAUCCAAUCUUAAUCCAACCAUCUAAAAAAUGAAUUGGAUUAAUUUGUUUAAUAUGCAAAAUUUAAAAACAAACUUAACCAACCUUAUUUAUUUUUAAUUGGUUGAAUAAUAGAAUUUUCUAGAUAUACCCAAUAGGAAGCCAUUUAAAAAUUAUAAAAAAAUAAUUUUUUUUUAUCAACAAAGAAUUAAUUGAAUUAAAAUAGAUCACUUUAGAGAUGUCUCGACCCUUAAACAAAAUCCUCCAUUCUUUCCACCUCUUACUCUAAUUAAAACUAGUAGUAACCAUUACAUCAAAGUGUUACAUCUCUCGUUAUGCUUUAUAUCAACCCCACAAAUAUGACCAUUCAAAACACUGACAAAGGUUCAUAGUUGUUCCCCUUCCAAUGGCUACCCAGUAGAGUGGGAGAUGUGGAUACAACUUCAGAGUGAUUAAUCCAGCCAAGUCCCUGCACGUUCCCAGCUCAUGAUCCAAAAAACUAAGAUUUACUCCUUCAUUUUUUUGAUCAGCAACGAAUUAAUAAAAUUUAAAAGAGACACUUUAGGAGUGUCCCAACCUGUAUACAAAAGACCUUAAUGUCUAGACUGUACGCAUAAGCUAAAAAGGUUCUGCUGGACAUAAAAGAGCCAACCUAAAAACUUAUGGAUUACCCAUUUACCCCAAUAGACAAAAAAACAACACAAAAGACCCUCACUCACCACCUAAGACAGAAAACAAACUUAACCCCUAAAGAAGUCCACGAAUACCUCCAUAGCACACCAUAUCAGCACUCUACAAAACCACCAGCUCCCUCCACGCCAGAAAAAGAUAUGCUAAGUUGACGGUGUUGAGUAGCACCUGUUCUCCACCGCAGGCUCGAUACUCAACAGUCCCCUGUAACUACCACACACCAACCACGCAGCUGCUCAUCUAGAACCAGUGGAUACGGAUAGGGAACCUGCUUAACUUCUUGUGCUUUGAAUAAGACACCUGAAGCUCCAAUCUGAUAUGAAGUCUUCAAACUUGCAGGCAUUACCAGAGUACCUUAAGCAACUUACAACUCGAGACGCUCACAACCGAUGCCCUCUACAUUCACCUCGCCACGCAACGAGUUACCCAUGCACAUUGCCUUCGACGACCACCGACUACGUCCAUAAAGAGCACGCCACUUCCUCGACCGGCGAUUAUCUUUGCAUAACUUCGACGACCACCGACCGAUGAUCAUGUUAGCCUUUGCAUCACUUCGACAUCCACCGCCUACGCACGCAUUGAGAUCGCCGUUUCAUCGAGCGGUGAUUCUGUUAACCUUGUAUAACUUUGGCGACCACCGACUACAUACAUAUGGAGCACGCCGUUUCAAGUAGCUACGGCGACCACCGACUACACACAUAUGGAGAACGCCGCUUCCUCGAUCGGUGAUCAUAUUGACUAUCGCCGUUUUUAUUACCGGCGAUCAUGUUGAGCGUUGCAUCACAUCGGCGACCACCGACUACACAGAAAUGGAGAGCGCCGCUUCAUCAAUCGACGAUCAUGUUGAUAUCGCCGUUUCAAUUACCGGCGAUCAUGUUGAGCUUUGCAUAACUUCGACGACCACCGACUACACACAAAUGGAUCAUGCUGCUUCACCGAUUGACAAUCAUGUUAACCUAUGUACAGCACCACUUCACCGACCGGCGAUCAUGUUGACUUGCAUACCUUCAACGAUCACCGACUGUAGUACCAUCCUCUCCAGAUUUGCUACUUCAGAGACCUACUGUACCCAUUUCACUUCCUUUCUCCAACCAUAGUGGCUAUUACCCAGUCCUUACCCUCCUUCUUUCCAGCAGCACCACCAUUAGCCCGUCUAGCCUGCUAUAUGCCUCCCCUUGUUAUUUGAUACUGCAAAUGCAUGUCAGCGGGUUCAUAACCCAUUCUGCAUAGGAGUAACAAAAAAUAUUUUCCUUGUGUUUCAACCAUAACCACGAUUUAAGUUGGGCAUUGUGGAAAACUUCUUCUACAUCUACAACUCUUUGGUUGAAGACAAUGGAGUUUCUAUGUUCCUAUAGACAUCAGACUACAGCUGCCCACACACCUUUCCAUACCAGGUUUUGUUUAUAGGAGUGUUGGGGGAGGGAAAAACCUUCAAAAUUGGUCCUAAGAUUAUUGUGUUGGACAGACCAUAUACCAACCCAUCUAAAGCAUAAGUCCCACACCCGUACUGCAUACUUGCAUUCUAUAAAGAGGUGCUGACACGUUUCCUCCUUGGUCUGGCAAAGGGCACAUUCUGUGGUGUUCACCAUCACCCCUCUCUUGCUCAAACACUCCCUUGUUGGUAGUCUACCCAACAACACUCUCCACGCAGUGAUCAGCACAUUAGGAAACGCCUUUGUCUUCCAAAGAUAGCCAAACGGCGAUAUUUGUGUUCCUCCGUCGGGCUCUUCAAGGCAUUUAUAUGCAGACUUCACUGUAAAGUUCCCUGAUUCGUCCCUCCUCCAUACUUGCUUAUCCUGUUCAUCCUUUUUCAUAGUGACCCUGGAAAUGAGCAUACCAAGCUCGGUUUCGAGGGGGACCUCCCACUCAAAUCUGUUGCGUCUCCACCUUAGCUUCCACUGCCACACUGACUCCUCCCACAUCCCAACCUCUCCCACCGUCUGGCCCUGAUAUAGUGACAAAGAGAAUAGUCUAGGAAACAGAGCCUUAAGGCUGGCAUUCCCAGUCCAUAUAUCCUCCCAGAAUCUUGCUUGAUCUCCUUUCCCUACUUUUCAGCUAACCUCUUUUUUAAACCAACCCUCUCCCCCUCCCUGCCGGCAUACCUUUACUAAAUCUCUCCACCACCAAGAUUGAUGUUUCAGUGGGGUAUGGUUUCCAUCUUGUUCCGUACCAUACUUUGACUCCAAGCACUCUUUCCAUUUUCCUUUCUCGUUCGAUAUACAUCUCCACUUCCACUUAGCUAAAAGUGCUAUAUUAAACUUCCGGAUGUCACGAAUGCCUAAACCUCCUUCCUCCCGCGGUUUACUCCUUCAUAUCCUUAACCAAACCUAAUUUGCAGUAUCCGACAGAUCAAGAAUAUCACACUAGAAUAACUGCAACGUUCUUAGCACAUUGGCUCCCUUCUAGUUCAUUGGGUUCAAAUGGGCGCAACCAGAGGAUCUUAAUCUUCAUCACCAACAAAAGAAUAUGCCAGCAGCACCUAAAGGCAUAUAGCAUAACGCAUAUAAAAACCAGAGUAACAACAUUAUGACACACCCUUCAGAGGAACAUGCGCCUUACUUAACCAAGUUGAAACCAUUCUCACAAAGAUCCUACCCUACCCAAUUACUUGCAACUUUUGAUGCAUAGAACAUGAUUUAAAUGUCAGUCAGAAAACGAAAAAUUAAAGGCAUUGAGCAUGUAUUUCAACUAUAGCAACGAUCUAAGUUGAGCCAUUUGGAAAACUUCUUCUGCAUCACGUACACCUUGCUUAAAAAUGACCAUGUUCCUUUGAUCCUAGAUACCUCUUACUAUUGCCGCUCAUAUACCCUUCCACACUAAGUUUUGCUUGGAAUUCAAAUACACCAGAUGAAAGCUUUCAAAAUGAACCUUCAAAUCCUUAUGUUGAACGUUCAGAGUACCUAUCCACUUGUAGCAAAGAGACCAAAUGAUAUGAAUCCAAAUAGAAAUGACAGUAAAAUUGGGAAUUUAGGGUUACGGAACGGAAUAAAUUCAAAACAAUAACAAUAGAAACCUAGAUAAAGGAAGGCGCCACAAACAAAGUUUGAUAAGCCUAAGGAUGAUCACCACAAGAAUUGGUGGAUUCUUGAUAAGAUCGCAAGAUGCAGGAAAAAACCCUAGCAGAGAAACACUCUCUAAAAUUGUCAAAAUAUUCGUCCCCCUAUGUUGAGUUCCAACAAUGUAUAAAUUACAAAUUUAGCUAGAGGUCUUUUCUUGUUUGUAAGAAAAUAAGACGAUACUACAAUCCUUAUAUUUCAAGAAUGAUCAUUUGUCCCAGUGGUUAGGUUGAUACUAUGUACUUGGUCCUGAGUUCAAAUCCUAACUCCCAAUCUUGUUGUGCGUGUAAUCAAGAUCAAUCUUGUAGGUAUUGUCAUUAAUCAUUUCUAACACUUGAAAAGGUCCCGUCUAGGUUGGAGCUUGGAUUUUCUUUGUCUAGAUUACUUUCUUUCUUCCUUUGUUAACUUGUUUAGAAUAACCUUCAUCUUUUUCUUCAACUUGUGCUUCAACCUUUUUAUGCUGCUUUCUCACAUAGUCAACCUUAGCUUGUGUAUCUUUAUGCUUUAAAACAAAAAUGUUAGGCAUAGUUAACAAAUCUAUUGGAGUUAAAGGAUUUAAUCCAUACAAAAUUUCAAAUGGAUCACAAUUCGAUGUGCUGUCAACAACCAUAUUGUAAGCAAACUCAAUAUGAUGUAAACAUAAUUCUUGGAUAGCCGUCACCUUUUCAUAAUCUACAUGAACUCCUUUGGCACUUACCACAAAACACAAGAAUGCAAUUUGUUCAGUACAAAAUGUGCAUUUCUCAAGAUUAGCAUACAACUUUUCUGUUCUAAGAACAUUUAAAACAGCACACAAAUGUUCCUCAUGUAAUUCCAAACUAGUUCUAUAGAUCAAGAUAUCAUCAAAAUACACUACAAAAAAUUAGCCCAAAAAUUCUCUCAAAACAUAGUUCAUUNNNNNNNNNNNNNNNNNNNNNNNNNNNNNNNNNNNNNNNNNNNNNNNNNNNNNNNNNNNNNNNNNNNNNNNNNNNNNNNNNNNNNNNNNNNNNNNNNNNNGACAGUUUUCCAUUUAUUCCCAUUCCUAAUCCUAAUUGAUGGGUAACCACUUCUUAAGUCAAUUUUUGAAAAUAUACAACCACCAUACAAUUCAUCCAUUAAAUUAUCUAACUUGGGAAUAUGGUGUUUAUACUUAAUGGUAAUGUUAUUGAGUGCUCUGCAAUUUGUGCACAUCCUCCAAUAACCAUCAUUUUUAGGCACCAAAAUUACUGGAACAGCACAUGGGCUCAUGGUCUCUUGUACCCAUCCUUUGUUCAUCAAUUCUUCAACUUGAGUUUGGAUUUCCUGCAAAACAGAAUCAACACUAGGAAGCAAAUUAAUUUGGUUAGAAUGGUCAGCAACCAAAGUGCUGUUUUUGCAAUAAGGUAAAUAAAGAGGUUUGCUAGAAAGUAGCAACUUCUUCACUUUAUUCACUUUCAGUAAUCCACUCAUUUUUCUCUCAUGUGUUUCUUUCUUUUUAAGUGUUUCACUCUUGCUCUGUUUAGGUGUUUCACUCAUCUCUCUUUUCUCUUGGACUCUCUUUUCUCUCAAUUUGAUUUGAUCCUUACACACCUCUCUAGGAGAUAAGGGUUUGAGAAUGAUCUUCUUAUUAUUCUGCAUGAAAGAGAUUUUAUUGGUGAAACCAUCAUGAAUAGCCUUGGUGUCAAACUGCCACGGCCUCCGUAACAAAAUGUGAUUUGCCUCCAUUGGAACCACAUCACACAAGAGAUUGUCAUUAUAUUGUCCUAUGAAUAUGUGCACUUCCACUUGCUUACUCACUGUCAUCUCUCCAUCUUCACUAAGCCAUUGAAGCUUGUAUGGCAUUGGGUGCGGUUUUGUCUCCAAAUUCACUUUGGUAACUAGUCUUGAACUUGCUACAUUGGUGCAACUUCCUCCAUCAACUAUGAGUGAACAUAUUUUCCCUUGAAUGGAACAUCUAGUAUGGAAAAUAUUUUCCCUUUGGGUUUGGUCCAAAGCUUGCAUUUUGCUUCCUAAAAGCCUUCGAAUCAUCAACAAAUCACCCUCCAAUGUAUCCAACUCCACCUCUACCUCAUCCUUCUCUUCUUCACUUAAAGGUUCAUUGACUAUUUGUGUCUUUGAUAAACUGAUCAUAUUCUCUUUUUGUUGGACAUUCUGAAGCAUAAUGUCCUCUUCCCAAGCAUUUGAAACAUUUUACCUCACUUGUUUUCCUUUUAGGUGGUGAAUUACUAUAUCUAUGAGGUGACUUCCCACUUGAAGAUGUGACUAAACUUGAGGGAACUCCUUUAUCCUUCAUCGCCUUAUCCUUCCAAUUGAAAUUUUUAUUAUUUUUAGAACUCCUCAUGAUUCCCUUCCUCUUGAGUUGUUGUUCUACUUGGUUAGUCUUGUGCAACAACUCUUUCAUGUCAACAUACUCUUGCAGGUCCACAACAUCCUUAAUAUCAUGAUUGCUUCGUUUUCUUCAUUUUUUCCAGCUCUAAUCAUGGUCACCUCCAUCUCUUUAAAAUACUCUUCCACACUUCUAUUCCCUUGAGUCAUUCUUUGAAGUUUGAGUUGCAAAUCCCUAUUGUAGCUUGCUGGAAUAUAUCUCUUCCUCAUAAUCCUUUUCAUUUCUGUCCAAGUGUUCACCAUGGGUUCCUCAUAUUUAAUUCUCUCCAUUUGGUAUUUAUUCCACCAAGUUAAGGCAUAAUGUGAAAAUUCAGCUGUUGCCAACUUCAUCUUUUGCUCAUCAUUAUACUCACUGCAAGCAAACACAUGCUCUACUUUAAUUUCCCACUCCAAGUAAGCAUCAGGAUCACUUUUUCCAUUGGAUGUAGGAAUAUUUAAUUUUAUUCCAUCAAUUCUCAGAGUUCUUUGUUCUCCCUCAUUUUCUCUUCUCCUCCUCCUAUCUCCCCCUCUAUUUUCUGGAUUUACUUGUUGUGCUUGCUCCAUUUGAUCCAACCUCUCAUGGAGUCCAUCACUUUGUUGUUUCAUUAUCCUUUCCAAGUGUUGUGUUAAGGCUUGCAUCUGUACUUGAGAAAGUCCACUAUCUAACGAUUCCCCUGCCAUGCUCAAGUAAACAGAUUACAAAUAACAAUAAGUUUGGGCCUCACACCACUUUCUCACGUGUUUACACUCAACACUCGUGUUUUACACAAUAAGGUUUUUUUAAUGAUCACACUGCCUUUUACCACUCUUUCUCUACUUAAGGUUCUUACAAGAAUCAAGAAAUCAAUAAUCCAUAAUCACUUUCACUAUAGCAAUCAGAAUCAAUUAAAAAUAAUAGUAAAGAACAAAAUAGUGAAGAACAAUUUCACUAUCAACAAACAAGCAAAACAAUUAAAAAAAAUAGCAAGCAAAACAAUAUAUAGAGAAAAUAAAAUAUGUAGACAUGACACUUUUAGAACUUUUAUCAAACACCAAGUAUGCACUGAAUAAAAGCUAUUUUUUUUUCUGUUUUCCUCUUGUUCUUUUUUUUUCUAUUUCUGUUUUCCUCUUGUUCUUUUUUUUUUCUAUUUCUGUUUUCCUCUUCUUCUUCCUUUUUUUUUCUUUUUUUCUAUUUCUUUUUUUUUUUCUGUUUCUUCUUUCGUUUAAAAAAAAAAUGAACAGUACCUGUGAACAGUAACCGUGAACAGUGCCCCUGUGAAAAGUACCAGUGAACAGUACAAUGUGAAUAGUACAAUGUGAACAGUAAUGAGGAGAAAAAAAAACAGGCACAAUUAUAUUAUGACUCAAACCUUUGCUUUGAGUACCAACUGAUAUGAAUCCAAAUAGAAAUGACAGUAAAAUUGGGAAUUUAGGGUUACGGAACGGAAUAAAUUAAAAACAAUAACAAUAGAAACCUGGAUAAAGGAAGACGCCACAAACAAAGUUUGAUCAGCCUAAGGAUGAUCACUACAAGAAUUGGUGGAUUCUUGAUAAGAUCGCAAGAUGCAGGAAAAUAUCUAGCAGAGAAACACUCUCUAAAUUGUCAAAAUAUUUGUCCCCCUAUUCUGAGUUCCAACAGUGUAUAAAUUACAAAUUUAGCUAGAGGUCUUUUCUUGUUUGUAAGAAAAUAAGAUGAUACUACAAUCCUUAUAUUUGAAGAAUGAUUAUUUGUCCCAGUGGUUAGAUUGAUACUCCAGUUGGAUGUACGCAUCACCAAACCCGAGGCCUCACUAACACUCUCAUAAUUAACACUCUCAUAAUUGAUCACCUUAAGUUUGUUUCUUCUUGUUAUGGUCUUGAAAAGAGAUUAUAGUAACUUGGAUUCGAUCUUUUCUUUCAUCAAACAUAUAGUAAUAAUGGAUUUUUUAUUCUUUAUAUUUCUUUUUGUUAACAAACUAGAUACAUUUUUUUUUUCAUAAGCAAAAUAAUUUAGUAGUAAAAGAAAGCUAAACUUGAGCAUAACAUGUACGGUAAAGAAUUGAAAUGACUCCAUUAAUCAUUGAGGAUCAUAAACAAAAACGAUCAUGGUAUACAAAAUAACAACUAAUCCAAACCUAGAAAUAACAUAAGCACAAACUCUGAACUCUUAUUCUUUUAUCUCCUUCACAAACCUCUGAAGGUUCUCAUAAGAUGUACCUCCUUUUGCUAUGUUCUUCAUCACUUUCUCCUUCAACACCACACACCUACAUUUUAUGCUCUCAUCAUUAAAUAAUUGUUCCACCUUGGUUUUCAGCUCCCCGCGUGACACAACUCCAUUUUGAUCUUUGUCAAUUCCCAACCCAACCUUUAACUCAUCACAAAUAUGUGUUUUGUUGUAAGGUUGGUCUCCAAAGUAUGGCCAACACAACAAAGGUACCCCAUUGGACAAACCUUCCAUGGUAGAAUUCCAACCACAAUGAGUGACAAAACAUGCUAUGGCAGGGUGACUUAAAACCUUUUGUUGAGGUGCCCAAUUAACUAUCUUACCCUUAUGCCCUUGGAAUUCAUGAGGGUAUGCCAUUUUAUUGUCUUCUCUUAUAACCCAAAGAAAAGGUCUAUUGGUGAGGUCUAGUCCAAGGGCAAGUUCAUUGAAUUGGUUUUGGUCAAAAAGAGUGAAACUACCAAAGGCAACAUACAACACAGAACCAUCAGCUUGUUCAUCUAGCCAACUCAUGCAAGAGAGAUCUUCUUCCCAGAAUUGUCCCAAUGAUCUUAGAGUUGCAUUAGUUUUGUAAUAAUGAUCACUUCUCAACAAUGGACCAAUUGGAAGGAGACUCGGAACAAGGGUUAAUACCUGAGGUUCAAGUUCAUAUGCAGUAUCACAAAGCCACCAUUGGGUCAAAUUUAAAGCUGGAAAACAGUGAUGCACCAAGAAAUUAAGGUAAUGAGAACCACCCAUAUGUCUAGCCAUGUGAAACCAAAAAAGGGUUCUUGUGUCCAUUUCUGGCAUACUUGGUGAUAAUUGAAUUGUCCUUUUUGAAGUUAAUAUGGAUCCUGCAAUGAAACAUUGACAUAAAUGAGUAGUAAAAUAUGUUUUUAGAUGGGCAUGGUAUUUAUUAAAACAGGACCAAACAAAAGCAUAAGGUGCCAGACUUUAGAAACAAAGGCAACAAUACAAAAGUAUAGUAAAGUAUGAUAGUGUUCUUACCAUCUGAAUCUAUGAUCCCAUCAUCAACGAGCUUUGGAACACUGCUUACCAAAUGAAACAAAGCUGCUGCGGCAGGCCAAAAUAGAGCUCCUUUGAUUCCCAAUUCACAGGCAACAUUCAAUAUCCAUCCAACAUGUACAUCUGCAACAAUAAACCUGAUUCUGUUGUCACCUUUCAAAUGAAUAUUAUUAUUAUCCUCUAUGAGCUUUUUAAGUGCUUCUGGCACGGUGAUUAGCAUAGAAUCACAUAGCUUGCCCAAGUUGUUUCUGUCAUCAUUAGGUCCUAAGCCAUCUGGGAUUGAGACCAACUUCAGUGGUGAUUCUUCAUUGUAUUGAUCCACCAUUGAGCUCACCACUCUCUUGUGGUUGAAGUCUGUGUUCACAAAUAUGACUUUGCAUCCAUUCUCCACCAGCUUUUGUGAUAGGGUUAACAUGGGAUUCACAUGCCCUUGACAUGGAAAUGGGAAAACUAGCACAGAUGGAAUGCUCAUGCUGUGUUCUUGUGUCUGUCUAUUGUUUCAGACCUAGUUUGCACUUCACGGGUAUGGCUUUGUUUAUAUACUCUGAAAAUAUGAUUACCAACUAUUAUAGACUCAUUUGGAUCCAGCAUAAUUGGUUCGUUAUGAUUAGUGUACUUUUAAAUAUUUAUUCUUUUACUGAUUUGAGCAAUCAAUCUUGUUUAGUAUUUUUCAGAAGUGUGAGUGAUUGAGCCACCCAAAUAAAGAAGAAAUAGUUAGAAAUUUAGAACAGCAAGCUGAAGCAUAAAUCAACCUAUAAAAUGAAUAAAAACGAAACUUCUCAACAGUUCUAGCUCUUAUUUUCCUAAUUAGAAUAAUAAAUAUUUGAAACAAGUUUUUUCUUUUAUAGUUAUGAAUGAUUCAACUAUCUAUAAUGUUACUAGAAAUGUUUAAAAUUAUGGUUAUUAUUUACUGUGUAGGCAAAUCAACUUUUUUCCAUCUUUAAUAUAAUAUGAUUAUACACAUCAAUACAAUGUAAUUAAUUCAAUUUAUUUAGUAAAAUUUUCAAUAAUAUUAGAAAGGUAUAUAAACUUUAUCCUCCUUGUUGAUAAUAUUAAAAAUUCUCUUUUCACGUUUUAUUAAUAAAAAAUGCUUAUAUUUAAUAGAGAUAAUAAGAAAAAUAGAAUAUACUAUUUCAUAAAAAAUUAUAAAAUAUCUUAUAAAAAGGUAUAUUAUUUUUUGUCAAAAAGUUCUUAUAUUAAGAGGAAAUAUAACAAAAAAAGUAAAAAAAACGUUAAAGUAUUAUUGAGUUUUAUACCUUUGUUUAGUGUAAGAAACAAUAAAUGAGAAAAAAAGUAAAAAAAAUGAAAAAAUAAAAAAGAACAUAAAAGGUGUGAAAAACAAAAAAGCAAAUUAUGUUGUGAUUAUUUAUUUACAACAUAUUCCAUGUAUUUAUAUUACAUACGCAUGGUUAAUAUUUUAUUAACAUCUACGUUUUUAUCUAUUAUAAUGAAAUAAAAAAAAUUAAGAUCAUUAAAAUAAGAAAAAUAAAUUAAUAAAAAUAAUAAAAUAUAUGUUACUUUCUUCUAUGUUAGAUUGUCCUAAUCGUACCUUUCUGAAAGGUCAUCAUAUUCAAUUAAUAUGGAUCACGUGAAUGAAGUCCAGAAAAACUUUUUUUUUGUCUCUUAUCCGACACAUCAAAAUAAUGCUUCCCUGCACCAAUGCCAACCAGCUUAUCAAAUAUUUUAUUUUAAUUUACAAUUUUUAAAUAUUUGUUUUCGUACUGUUUUAAAUUAGUCACUCUUUUUCAUUAUAUAAGAUUUUGCUACAUAUAUUUCUAACGUUAAAAAGAAAGGAAAGACAUGUUUUUGUGGGCAUGUUGUUGUGCAUGUACAUUGCGAUGAAUGUGGCUAAUUAAGAGAAGUGUGAUAGCAUAUAACUUCACACUAUUUUUAAAACAUGAUACUGGUAGAAUAUGUAUUAGUGAAGUGUUCAAUUUAAAAGAUAUUUGUUAAAUUUUUUUGACAAUUAUAACACAAUUUUAAUAUAACUUUAAGAAAAAAAGAAAUACAUUAACAUUUUAAAAACUCAAACUUAUGGUAUAAAUUUUUAAUAUGAUUAUAAAAAUAAGAAACAAAUUAUUUUGAACCAGCCAUGAAAAAUAUUUUUCUUCUAAAAAAACUGAAACAUUGUACACAUAAAUUUUUAUUGUCAUUUUAUAUAAUUCAUAAUAUAUAGAUAUGUGUCAUGUGUUCUACAUUUUAGAAAUUAUACUUAUCUCCGUGUUCGUGUAUGUGUUACAUAGGUGAUAACUUUAUUAGUGUUAUUAUUAUAAAUAGAGAUUAGUUAUGGAGAAAACAAAAAUAUAGAGAUACAUUUUUGUAAAUUGAGACUUUAUAUUUGUAUUCUUUGUACAAGAUUUGAAAAUAUUUUACCUUUUUAUCAAUAAAAAAAUUAAUGAAUAUUUAAACUUUUAUAAAAAAAAGUUUGGACAAAAUACAGUCAUAUCCGUAUAAAAGUUAAUGACACAUAUUUUGAUAGUUAAUUAGAUAUUAAUUUAAAAAAUAUUUAUUAAUAAAAUAACACUACAAGAAAAUCAUGAAAUAGAAACAAAUUUUAGAGAAAAAAGUUAAAUAGUUACUAUAGUGACUAAUAGAGGGUUGGGUGAAAAUUUUAAUUCAGAAGGAGUCUUUAAACAACUUCAAUAAAUUCUAUAAUUAUGUUCGAAUUGAAAAAAAAAGUUUAUAUAUUGCUUUAAUUAAAAACAAUAUUGAAAAUGAAUUCAAAAUGAAAACUUUAAAACAUUUUUCAAAAACUAUUGACAUAACUUUUCAACUCCUAGAAUACCUUAGAAAAAUGGUAUUGUGGAGCGUAAAAAUAUAUAUGUUUAUUAGAAAUAACUAAAAUAAUACGAAAUGUAAACUCCACUCCUAAACAUUUUACAUGGAUGUUCUAAAACAUUUCCAUUAGGUGUGUUUUCUUUUUGUUUUGCUUUUAAUUUUUAUCAAUUGUCUUACGUUCUUAGUUGGGUGCUACUAAUGUUGGUCUUAGGCCAACAAGGGAUUUAAUGUUUAUAGCAGGUUUUGGAAAUGGAUCUCGAGGUAAUGAAGGAAAAAAGUUUUGUUCUUAGCAUUCUAUUGUUUUGGUUUUUCUUUGGCUUUAUUUGGAUGUAAGAAAUUUAUACGUUUUGUGUUAGGUGUGUUUGUGGUUAUGUUGGAUUGGUCAUAUAUGUUUUUUGGGACUUGUAGUUUUUUAGAACUUGUAGUAUCUAUUCCUUUGCGUAAGAUUAUAGGUGUUGUUAGGAUUGGAGCUUAAAAGGUGAUGUGUUACAGUAAUUUCUUUGUUCUUGACUUACUAAUGUAGGUGAAUCUUAAACAUCUUAUAUAAAGGUUGAAACAUUUCUGAAGUAUUCUAUUUUAUUUUAUUUAUUCAUUGCUAAAAAAAAAACUAAAAAAAAUACACCUUUCACAAAUCUUUCAUUAUCUUAUUAGUGUUACUAGUCUUGUUCUAUGCUUGUUAUUAGUGUUACUAGUCUUGUUCUAUGCUUGCAUAAACUUUCUAGUUAACUAAGAUAAGAAAUAUCAAUUCUUUUAAGGACAAAAUAUAAAGGAAAAACAUUGGUGGAGGAUACUAUUCCAUAAUAAGAAACUUAAUUUAACUAUUGGUUGUCAUUUACAACUUCUAGUUGGAUCAAUCAAUUAUUAGGAUAUUAUUGGAUUACUGGUAAAUAUUUAGACCACAAACUCUAAGAUUCAUAUACUUUCGAUUUUCUCCAAGAUAGAGACUUGCUUCUUGCCGUGCCGUAAAUGUGUUCCCUUGUCACCCAUGGAUGGUUUUCCUAUUCUUUGGGAUGCUUAGAAUCAUCUAAAAGGACACUUUUAACAACAACAAAAUAGCCACGAAAUUACAGGAAAAAAAUGUUUGCCGAAUAUUUCUGCAAGAUUUUCAUAUUCAAUAAUUAACGUGGACCACGUAAAAUAUGCCCCAUGAAUUCAAGUUUCUUUUGUCUUAUUAACGUAAGCACGAAAUGUGAAGUCUUAUUCCUUUAUCUCCUUCACAAAGUUCUUAAAGUUCUCAUAAGAUGUUCCUCCUUUUGCUAUGUUCUUCAUCACUUUCUCCUUCAACACCACACACCUGAAUUUUAUGUUCUCGUCAUUAAAGAUCUGUUCCACUUUGGUUUUCAACUCUCCGCGUGACACAACUCCAUUUUGAUCUUUGUCAAUCCCCAACCCAACCUUUAACUCAUCACAAAUAUGUGCUUUGUUGUAAAGUUGGUCUCCAAAGUAUGGCCAACACAAUAAAGGUACCCCACUGGACAAACCUUCCAUGGUAGAAUUCCAACCACAAUGAGUGACAAAACAUGCUAUGGCAGGGUGGCUUAAAACCUUUUGUUGAGGAGCCCAAUUCACUAUCUUACCCUUAUGUCCUUGGAAUUCAUGAGGGUAUGCCAUUUUAUUGUCUUCUCUUAUAACCCAAAGAAAAGGUCUAUUGGUGAGAUCUAGUCCAAGGGCAAGUUCAUUGAAUUGGUUUUGGUCAAAAAGAGUGAUACUACCAAAGGCAACAUACAACACAGAACCAUCAGCUUGUUCAUCUAGCCAACUCAUGCAGGACUGGUCUUCUUUCCAGAAUUGUCCCAUUGAUUUUGUAGCUGCACUUUUGUUAUGAUCAUUAUCAUUGCUUCUCAACAAUGGCCCAAUUGGGAUGAUCUUCGGAAGAAAUAAUAAUGUUCCAGGUUCAAGUUCAUGUGUGGAGUUGCAAAGCCACCACUGUGUCAAUUGUAAACUUCGUGCGCAAUGCAGCAAAUACUUAAGCACGUUCUUACCAGUUGUUAGGUCACCCAUAUUGAACCAAAAAAAGUCUUCUGGAUCCAUCUCAGGCAUACUUGGCGAAAUCUGAAUUCUCUUUUUUGUAGUUGAUGUUAAACCUUCAGUGAAAAACCAACAAAAAAACAUUAGCUUAUACAAUAGACGUAUAAAUUAAGUUAUAAAUUAUGUUCAUACAUAACAACACGAUAAUAUUCUUACCUAAAUCAGAGUCUAUAAUUCCCUCAUCAAUAAGUACAGGGAUGCUGUAGACCAAGGUGAAAAUAGCUGCUGAUGCAGGACACAACACAGCUCCUUUGAUUCCCAGUUUACUCCCAACAUCCAAAGCCCAAGCCAUGCACAAAUCAGCAACAAUGAAGUUGAUUUUGUUCUCACCUUUCAAAUGAAUAUCCUCUAUCAGCUUCUCAAGUGCUCCUGGCAUGGUUUUGGGAAUGGCCUCAUACAGCUUGGCCUGAUCGUUUCUGUCCUCAUCAGGUCCUAAACCAUCAGGGAUUGAAACCAACUUCAGCACUGAUUCUUGUUCAUCAAGGCUAGAACAAUCUUGUUGCUCCACCAUGGAACUAACCACUCUCCUGUGGUUAAAGUCUGUGUUCACAAAAAUGACUUUGCAUCCAUUCUCAAGCAGCUUCUGUGAGAAGGUCAUCAUGGGAUUCACAUGCCCUUGUGCUGGAAGUGGUAAAGCUAGCACAGUUGAAUCUCUCAUGUUCAGUGUUUUUAUUUGGUUUCUACUGAUUCUGAUUUGUGAGGCCAAUUAUGCAUUGAUCUGUUCAUGUAUGUAUAGGCACAGCCCCUCACAUUAAAAACGUUAAUCAAUGUAUAUACCUACGAAUUACAAUCUAGGUCACGAUCAGUCAAAAUCUUCGGCUAUCAUAAUAAAUUUUGUAAGAAGAAAUGUAGAAAGUUUGUGUGUUCACAACAAUAAUUUUGUCAUUCUAUACCUCUUUACAUUUGCUUGUACUUCUCUGAUUCGACUUUAGUGUUUUUAUCAUUAAACUUUUUUUUUAUUAAUAUUGAUUUAGCAUUAUGCUGUUAUUUAAUUACGAUAAUCAUGUAAUAAUAUCUCUUUUAAUUUGGAUAAAUUUAAAAGAAUUUUUUUUAUGAAACUAACACUCCUCUCUCCAACCACAACAAACCCCCAAACUACCAACAUUAAAAAAAAUAAUUAACACUACAAGAAAAUUAUGAAAUAGAAACCAAUUUCUAGAAACCAAAAUAAUUAGUUNNNNNNNNNNNNNNNNNNNNNNNNNNNNNNNNNNNNNNNNNNNNNNNNNNNNNNNNNNNNNNNNNNNNNNNNNNNNNNNNNNNNNNNNNNNNNNNNNNNNNNNNNNNNNNNNNNNNNNNNNNNNNNNNNNNNNNNNNNNNNNNNNNNNNNNNNNNNNNNNNNNNNNNNNNNNNNNNNNNNNNNNNNNNNNNNNNNNNNNNNNNNNNNNNNNNNNNNNNNNNNNNNNNNNNNNNNNNNNNNNNNNNNNNNNNNNNNNNNNNNNNNNNNNNNNNNNNNNNNNNNNNNNNNNNNNNNNNNNNNNNNNNNNNNNNNNNNNNNNNNNNNNNNNNNNNNNNNNNNNNNNNNNNNNNNNNNNNNNNNNNNNNNNNNNNNNNNNNNNNNNNNNNNNNNNNNNNNNNNNNNNNNNNNNNNNNNNNNNNNNNNNNNNNNNNNNNNNNNNNNNNNNNNNNNNNNNNNNNNNNNNNNNNNNNNNNNNNNNNNNNNNNNNNNNNNNNNNNNNNNNNNNNNNNNNNNNNNNNNNNNNNNNNNNNNNNNNNNNNNNNNNNNNNNNNNNNNNNNNNNNNNNNNNNNNNNNNNNNNNNNNNNNNNNNNNNNNNNNNNNNNNNNNNNNNNNNNNNNNNNNNNNNNNNNNNNNNNNNNNNNNNNNNNNNNNNNNNNNNNNNNNNNNNNNNNNNNNNNNNNNNNNNNNNNNNNNNNNNNNNNNNNNNNNNNNNNNNNNNNNNNNNNNNNNNNNNNNNNNNNNNNNNNNNNNNNNNNNNNNNNNNNNNNNNNNNNNNNNNNNNNNNNNNNNNNNNNNNNNNNNNNNNNNNNNNNNNNNNNNNNNNNNNNNNNNNNNNNNNNNNNNNNNNNNNNNNNNNNNNNNNNNNNNNNNNNNNNNNNNNNNNNNNNNNNNNNNNNNNNNNNNNNNNNNNNNNNNNNNNNNNNNNNNNNNNNNNNNNNNNNNNNNNNNNNNNNNNNNNNNNNNNNNNNNNNNNNNNNNNNNNNNNNNNNNNNNNNNNNNNNNNNNNNNNNNNNNNNNNNNNNNNNNNNNNNNNNNNNNNNNNNNNNNNNNNNNNNNNNNNNNNNNNNNNNNNNNNNNNNNNNNNNNNNNNNNNNNNNNNNNNNNNNNNNNNNNNNNNNNNNNNNNNNNNNNNNNNNNNNNNNNNNNNNNNNNNNNNNNNNNNNNNNNNNNNNNNNNNNNNNNNNNNNNNNNNNNNNNNNNNNNNNNNNNNNNNNNNNNNNNNNNNNNNNNNNNNNNNNNNNNNNNNNNNNNNNNNNNNNNNNNNNNNNNNNNNNNNNNNNNNNNNNNNNNNNNNNNNNNNNNNNNNNNNNNNNNNNNNNNNNNNNNNNNNNNNNNNNNNNNNNNNNNNNNNNNNNNNNNNNNNNNNNNNNNNNNNNNNNNNNNNNNNNNNNNNNNNNNNNNNNNNNNNNNNNNNNNNNNNNNNNNNNNNNNNNNNNNNNNNNNNNNNNNNNNNNNNNNNNNNNNNNNNNNNNNNNNNNNNNNNNNNNNNNNNNNNNNNNNNNNNNNNNNNNNNNNNNNNNNNNNNNNNNNNNNNNNNNNNNNNNNNNNNNNNNNNNNNNNNNNNNNNNNNNNNNNNNNNNNNNNNNNNNNNNNNNNNNNNNNNNNNNNNNNNNNNNNNNNNNNNNNNNNNNNNNNNNNNNNNNNNNNNNNNNNNNNNNNNNNNNNNNNNNNNNNNNNNNNNNNNNNNNNNNNNNNNNNNNNNNNNNNNNNNNNNNNNNNNNNNNNNNNNNNNNNNNNNNNNNNNNNNNNNNNNNNNNNNNNNNNNNNNNNNNNNNNNNNNNNNNNNNNNNNNNNNNNNNNNNNNNNNNNNNNNNNNNNNNNNNNNNNNNNNNNNNNNNNNNNNNNNNNNNNNNNNNNNNNNNNNNNNNNNNNNNNNNNNNNNNNNNNNNNNNNNNNNNNNNNNNNNNNNNNNNNNNNNNNNNNNNNNNNNNNNNNNNNNNNNNNNNNNNNNNNNNNNNNNNNNNNNNNNNNNNNNNNNNNNNNNNNNNNNNNNNNNNNNNNNNNNNNNNNNNNNNNNNNNNNNNNNNNNNNNNNNNNNNNNNNNNNNNNNNNNNNNNNNNNNNNNNNNNNNNNNNNNNNNNNNNNNNNNNNNNNNNNNNNNNNNNNNNNNNNNNNNNNNNNNNNNNNNNNNNNNNNNNNNNNNNNNNNNNNNNNNNNNNNNNNNNNNNNNNNNNNNNNNNNNNNNNNNNNNNNNNNNNNNNNNNNNNNNNNNNNNNNNNNNNNNNNNNNNNNNNNNNNNNNNNNNNNNNNNNNNNNNNNNNNNNNNNNNNNNNNNNNNNNNNNNNNNNNNNNNNNNNNNNNNNNNNNNNNNNNNNNNNNNNNNNNNNNNNNNNNNNNNNNNNNNNNNNNNNNNNNNNNNNNNNNNNNNNNNNNNNNNNNNNNNNNNNNNNNNNNNNNNNNNNNNNNNNNNNNNNNNNNNNNNNNNNNNNNNNNNNNNNNNNNNNNNNNNNNNNNNNNNNNNNNNNNNNNNNNNNNNNNNNNNNNNNNNNNNNNNNNNNNNNNNNNNNNNNNNNNNNNNNNNNNNNNNNNNNNNNNNNNNNNNNNNNNNNNNNNNNNNNNNNNNNNNNNNNNNNNNNNNNNNNNNNNNNNNNNNNNNNNNNNNNNNNNNNNNNNNNNNNNNNNNNNNNNNNNNNNNNNNNNNNNNNNNNNNNNNNNNNNNNNNNNNNNNNNNNNNNNNNNNNNNNNNNNNNNNNNNNNNNNNNNNNNNNNNNNNNNNNNNNNNNNNNNNNNNNNNNNNNNNNNNNNNNNNNNNNNNNNNNNNNNNNNNNNNNNNNNNNNNNNNNNNNNNNNNNNNNNNNNNNNNNNNNNNNNNNNNNNNNNNNNNNNNNNNNNNNNNNNNNNNNNNNNNNNNNNNNNNNNNNNNNNNNNNNNNNNNNNNNNNNNNNNNNNNNNNNNNNNNNNNNNNNNNNNNNNNNNNNNNNNNNNNNNNNNNNNNNNNNNNNNNNNNNNNNNNNNNNNNNNNNNNNNNNNNNNNNNNNNNNNNNNNNNNNNNNNNNNNNNNNNNNNNNNNNNNNNNNNNNNNNNNNNNNNNNNNNNNNNNNNNNNNNNNNNNNNNNNNNNNNNNNNNNNNNACUUUUCUCUGCUUCUAUUAUGUUCCAUCAAGACCCAUUUCUCUGCUUGUCUUGGGUUAUUUGCCUUCACAAUGGCUUUAUGAGCUUCUAUGUAAGGUACAACUUCAUCUGUGUUAUUCAAUAUGUACAAAUGUGCUUGCAAGACUUUUGAUCGAGAUUUGCUUACAAUAUUCACACCACGUAAACAUUUAGUUGUAGAACGCCUGUGGUGCCAUGAAUUAGCUGGAACACCUAUUGGAUUUGCUUUUGUCAUGUACUCUGAACAAAAUUCAAUACUUUCUUCAGCUAUGUACCUUUCAAUCAUUGAAGCUUCUGGACGAUAAUGAUUUUUCACAUAACCUUUCAAAAUUUUCAUAUACCGCUCAACAGGAUACAUCCAUCUUAAGUACACUGGUCCACACAAUCUAACCUCUCUUACCAGAUGCACCACUAGAUGAACCAUGAUGUCAAAAAAAGACGGAGGAAAAAACAUCUCCAAUUCACACAAGAUAACAACAAUUUCAUUUUGAAGUUCAUCUAGUUUUGAGGGAUCAAUGACUUUACAACAGAUGGAAGAGAAGAAUGAGCACAAAUGGGUUAUGGUGUGUCUAACAUUUUUUGGUAAGAUCCCACGGAUAGCUACCGGCAACAACUGUUGCAUCAAGAUGUGACAAUCAUGAGACUUCAACCCAAUUAACUUCAAAUCUUGCAUUGACACUAGGCUCUUCACAUUUGAGGAAUGUCCUUGUGGCACUUUCACACCCUUUAGACAUUGACAAAAACUAAUUUUUUCAUCUUGUGACAUUGUGUAACAGGCUGGGGGCAAAUAUGUACGCGUACCCAUUUCUAUGGGUGCCAACUCGCCGCGUAUGUUCAUCUCAAUCAAAUCUAAACGAGCAUUUAGACCAUCCUUCGUCUUCCCGUUAAUGUUAAGAAGUGUACCAAUUAAGCUAUCACACACAUUCUUCUCAACAUGCAUUACAUCUAUACAAUGUCUGACUUCUAACCUCGACCUGUACGAAAGAUCAAAGAAGAUUGAUUUCUUCUUCCAAAUAUUUGUCACAGAUGACUUUUUUUUGGACUUACCGAAGGUGUGGUCUAUGUUAUUUACCUUUUCGUAAACCUCAACACUGGUUAAUGGAGUUGGUGGACCACUACCCUCUUGGUGUCCAUUAAAGGCUUUUUUCAACCUCCGGUAAGGAUGAUGACUUCUAAGAAACCUCCGAUGCCGAAGAUAUACUGUUUUCCUUCCAUGUUUCAAUUGUUGAGAAGCAGUGUCUUCUUCGCAUAUUGGACACGCUUUUUGACCCUUAACACUAUAACCUGAUAAGUUACCAUAUGUCGGAAAGUCAUUGAUGGUGCAAAAUAACAUGGCAUGAAGCUUGAAAGUUUCAUUAGCAAAUCCGUCAAAUACUUCGACACCUUGGUCCCACAUUAACUUCAAAUCUUCAAUUAGGGGACUUAGAUAAACAUCAAUAUCAUUCCCUGGUUGUUUCGGACCGGAUAUCAUCAUAGACAACAUCAUGUAUUUUCGCUUCAUGCACAAUCCAGGAGGUAAGUUGUAAAUAACUAGUAAUACAGGCCAUGAACUGUGAUUUGUACUCAUAUUACCAAACGGAUUCAUUCCGNNNNNNNNNNNNNNNNNNNNNNNNNNNNNNNNNNNNNNNNNNNNNNNNNNNNNNNNNNNNNNNNNNNNNNNNNNNNNNNNNNNNNNNNNNNNNNNNNNNNNNNNNNNNNNNNNNNNNNNNNNNNNNNNNNNNNNNNNNNNNNNNNNNNNNNNNNNNNNNNNNNNNNNNNNNNNNNNNNNNNNNNNNNNNNNNNNNNNNNNNNNNNNNNNNNNNNNNNNNNNNNNNNNNNNNNNNNNNNNNNNNNNNNNNNNNNNNNNNNNNNNNNNNNNNNNNNNNNNNNNNNNNNNNNNNNNNNNNNNNNNNNNNNNNNNNNNNNNNNNNNNNNNNNNNNNNNNNNNNNNNNNNNNNNNNNNNNNNNNNNNNNNNNNNNNNNNNNNNNNNNNNNNNNNNNNNNNNNNNNNNNNNNNNNNNNNNNNNNNNNNNNNNNNNNNNNNNNNNNNNNNNNNNNNNNNNNNNNNNNNNNNNNNNNNNNNNNNNNNNNNNNNNNNNNNNNNNNNNNNNNNNNNNNNNNNNAUCUUAACACCGCCGACAACCGUGUGAAGUUAGUUGAUCCAGGAUACAAAGGAGUCUCUGCAUCUUUUGACAUACUUUCAUAUCCAAGCGCUUUUGCAAAACACUCAGCUCCCACAUCACGAAUCAUGUCCUCCAAUCGAUCAUCAUCUCCAUCAUCGUGUACUGCUUCAUCCAUGGUAGAACCCACAUAUUCUUCAGUUACGGAAACACAUGGUAAAUUUAAUAAUUCACCAUGCCAUGUCCAAGUUGUAUAAGAUCGAAGAAACCCAUCACAUAGCAGGUGUUCCCUCAUGAUAUUCACAUCCAGUAUCCUUCCAUUCAAACAGUUAACGCACGGACACCUAAUCUUUGCUCCAUCAUGACCACUAAUAAUCGCGUUACGCUGUGCAAAUUGUAUAAAUUCCUCUACUCCCCUUUUGUACUCAUCACUUAUACGAACAACAUUAAUCCAACUUCGUCCAUUAUAUAUUCUGGAAUAUAGUUAGGAUUUUCUAAUAAUUAGUAUUCUAUUCAAUCUCACACAUUUGCCGAGGGUCGAACACCCCCGGACUCAAUCCAAACACGAUAUUUUUAUUCUAAAAGUAACAAUAACUAACAUAAAGAGCUAAUAAUUCACUUCGAGAGUUUCCAACUAACUCAAUGUAGUAGCAAACAAAAUUUGGUCUGGAAAGGAAUUUGGGCAGCUGUAGUGUGGUGUAUAUGGGAGCACAGAAACUCAAUUGUGUUUAACCAAGGGGUUGCAGAUGUGGAAGAAAUCUUCUCAGAAGUCCAGCUCAAAUCGUGGCUUUGGAUGAAACACAAAGCACAUAACUUUAGUUAUUCAUUUGCAGAGUGGGUCCUGGACCCAAUUUCUUGUAUCAGGAGUUAUAAGUAAGUGAGGCUAGGCGGAGGCAAUCUGGUUGUGAGUGGAAAGGUAAAAUGCUGAUAAUGAUGGAUGUUGUAAACCCCCAAUAGGACCAUUCAACAUGUCUCGAUCGUAUAGACCAAUGGAUGAUUGCUGACACUAGAUAAGCUCUGUUUGGGGGUUAUACAAUGAUCUGGCAUAACGCUNNNNNNNNNNNNNNNNNNNNNNNNNNNNNNNNNNNNNNNNNNNNNNNNNNNNNNNNNNNNNNNNNNNNNNNNNNNNNNNNNNNNNNNNNNNNNNNNNNNNNNNNNNNNNNNNNNNNNNNNNNNNNNNNNNNNNNNNNNNNNNNNNNNNNNNNNNNNNNNNNNNNNNNNNNNNNNNNNNNNNNNNNNNNNNNNNNNNNNNNNNNNNNNNNNNNNNNNNNNNNNNNNNNNNNNNNNNNNNNNNNNNNNNNNNNNNNNNNNNNNNNNNNNNNNNNNNNNNNNNNNNNNNNNNNNNNNNNNNNNNNNNNNNNNNNNNNNNNNNNNNNNNNNNNNNNNNNNNNNNNNNNNNNNNNNNNNNNNNNNNNNNNNNNNNNNNNNNNNNNNNNNNNNNNNNNNNNNNNNNNNNNNNNNNNNNNNNNNNNNNNNNNNNNNNNNNNNNNNNNNNNNNNNNNNNNNNNUGGGAGAUAGCAUAACAUAGCUAUAUCGUGGUGCAACACCUGUAGCAUAUCAAAAUAGCUAGGAUGGGCACGGCGUGGCAGGUGUUUAAGCCAGCUGGAAAGGAAGUUUAAGGCCUAAACUUUUUGGUGGUGUUAAUUGGGUGGUAUAGGGUGAAGUUAAAGAUCAAUUUGAAGUAUCUGAAGAUGCUGCUGAAAGCUAAUGAGAUGGUGAAGGUAGCUGACUCCUCCGUUGCUAUGGGAGGUCGUUUGUUGCAGAUGUCUAGCAGCUUAAUAGAGGACGCAACAGUGCUACAUAUGUUGAUGGUAAAGAAUUAAUUGUAGAAUAAAGCUGAAGAUCUUGGCAGGCAGUAAUGUUGGAUGUUACUAUAGGUGGUUGAGAAAGGUAGCACCAGUUAUUAAGCUCUGGAUGUGGAGGUUGUGCUGCAAGUGGUUGUCAAGCAGGUGGAAGGAUUACGUUGGGUUUCUGGUGGUUGAAAUGCUGGUUAGGGUCUUUGCAGCAGUGCAGCAGAAUAAUAGAACCAGUAUGGGAGCUGGUGUAGGUUUUAUUUAUGCAGUAGUUUUAUGUAUGCAGUAGUGGUUACUCUCUUCCUGUUUUGGGGUGUUCCUUUUGGAGAUCCUAAAACAAGGUUUGGUGUUGUAAAGGGUUGGGAUACCCCUUUUGUAUCCCUCUUAAUUUAAUUUCAUUCUUUGCUGAUAAAAAAAAAAAACAAUAACUAACAUAACAUAAAACUUUUAUUAAAAUGUAAUUAACAACUAACUAAAUAUAUAAUAUAAAUUUAAGAAAAUAGAAAUUAUAUAAUACAAAAAUUCAAAAUACACACAAAUAUAUAAAUUAUUAGUUAUUAGUUAUAAAUUCCAAGUUGUAUUNNNNNNNNNNNNNNNNNNNNNNNNNNNNNNNNNNNNNNNNNNNNNNNNNNNNNNNNNNNNNNNNNNNNNNNNNNNNNNNNNNNNNNNNNNNNNNNNNNNNAUUAAAUAUAUAUUAUAAUACAGAAAAAUAAAAAUUCAAAAUAUUAAAUAUAAAUUCAAAAUAUUAAAUAAAUAUUAAAUACAACACCAACCUUUAAGUUGAUGGUGAUCGGAGUGGCAGAGGCACAAGACGAAGGCGAAGGCGGUGGCGGAAGCUAUGGCGGUGGCGGAGCAGAAAAAACCAGCGAAACCAAUAGAACAGUAACCUAUAUGCCACUAACGAGUUAGGAAACGAAAAUGACAAUGCCAAGGGAGUGAAUAAUGAAUGAUGCAAAAACGAAAACGAAAACGAAAACAAACGAGUGAAACGAAGAGCGGAGAGAGCUGAAACUUACAAUGCAGAGGGAACUGAAACUGAGAACGUUGAAACGAAGAGUGGAGAAGACGAAAGUGAAAGUGAAAACUAGUGGCGCGCUUCAAUUUUUAGGGUAAAAUUGAUUUACAAAUGCGGUUCUAGGGUAAGACCGCAUUUGUAAAUCAAUUUAAUUACAAAAAUGCCACCGCGUUUUUUACAAAUGCGUUUAAACGCAAAGCCGCACUAAAUAAAGGGUCGUUGUUUUCAUAUUUUGUACUAGUGAUAUCUUUGGUUUUAAGCACCAAUCUAAGAAGGAAAAACCUAUUGAAGGCAACUUUGAAGAGAUCUAAGACCAAACAUUUAGCUGUGCCAAAGAAUUUUUUUUGGAAUGGUCUAUUACUCCACUCUUAAACAAAUGGUUAUUCCUAUACAUCCAAAUCUCGUUUAGCAGUGCAAUCUAGAUAUUACCCAUUAUAAGAUUAACAGACAUAGGUACAUCAAGAAAAAUGAAUUGCAAGAAAUGAGAGACAAACAAAAAAGGGUCUACCGAACUCACUCCUAAUCACACAUAGCAGAGAUUCCAGACUAGUCAGGAAACCCUGCACCCAAAAAACAGAUGACUAGUCGACUCCUCUAAAACCUCACACAAACAACAAAGGUUGCUCUUGACCGCAACACAAUGUCUCUCCAAGUUGACCCUAGUAGCUAUCUUAUUUUCAAUCACCCUCCAGGUGGUGAUCUGGGCUGAAGGUAAGACCUUGAUCUUCCAAAAUGAUUCAUACAUCUGUUGGUUUCCCCCUUUUGCCUCUCCUAUUAGAAAACCAUAAGCAAAUUGAAUUGAAAACUCUUCAGAAUUGUUGUCCUUCCAAACCCAUCUAUCCACGGACUCCGAAGCAGAACUUACACCGAGUAACAACUCAUUGAGCUGACGGACUAGGGGCACCUCCCACACCAAAAGACCCCUUCUCCAAAAAAGCCUCCAGACCCAAACAUUAUUAACCCAGACCCCGCAAUCAGACAGAGACGCCUCUUUGUUCACAACUAAGGAGAAGAGCCUCAAGAAACUACUUUUCAAGGAACAGGAGCCCAACUAGUUGUCUUCCCAGAAAAGAAUGUUUCUUCCAUUCCCUAACUCCAAUUAAAGCGACCUUAAAACUACCCUCUCCAACCUUCCGACUUCCAGAUCUCCUUCAGGUCAUUCCAUCAAAGAGAAACUUUAUUGGUAGAGAUUCUCCGAUCUUUCAAGCAUCUCCAACCACCAUACUUGGACACAAUGAUCUACUGCCAUAAUCCACCCUUAUCAAAACUCAAACGUCAGAUCCAUUUCCCCAGCAAGACCACAUUAAAAAGCCUAAGAUUAAUAAUGCCAAAACCGCUUACUUCCCUAGACUUGCAUAAUUUAUCCCACACAACCAAACCAUCUUCCUCCUUUGAGACCCCCAACCCCACAGAAAGGUCCUUUGCAAACUCACUAAAUUUUUCAACACAUUAGGCGACUUCCUGAAGAAAGAGAGGUAGAACAAAGGGAUAGACGAAAAAACUGACUUAAGCAAGCAAAUCCUCCCGGCCAACGAGAUGAAUCUUCCCUUCCAUCUAGUUGAUUUGUUGUUGAUCCUAUUAAUCACUUCAUCCCAAAACGCACCCCUCUACUAGCAUUCCCAAAUAUUUGAACAGGAUUUUCAUCACUUCACAAUUGAGAAUUGCUGCAAACCGGAGAAUAAAUGUCUGGUCAACCCCCACCCCACUAAUUCUGCUUUUCAAGAAAUUCACCUUAAGACCAAAAGCUAGCUCAAAGAAAUUUAGAAUAACCUUAAUGUUAAAAACACUUUUGACACUAGCUUUACAGAAGAACAAAGUAUCAUCGACAUAUUGUAACAUGUUCACCUUAACCAUCUUUCUCCCAAUCUCCACACUCUCAACCAAUUUUUUUCAACCACAAUCCUAGAAAUCCUGGCUAAUCCUUCAGUUGCAAUAAGAAAUAAGAACGGGGCCAAAGAGUCACCUUGCCUCAGGUCCUUCUUCGAAAUAAAUUCCUUAGUUGAGCUCCCAUUUACUAGAACUGACACCGAAGCUGACUCUAGACAAUAUUUAAUCCAGGAGAUCCACUUUUCAUAGAACCGGAGCUUUCCUAGCAUGUAGUAAAUAAACUUCUACCUUACUGAGUUGUAAGCCUUCUCAUAAUCAACCUUGAAAAAUACAACUUUUAUCCAUCCUCUUCAUCUCAUUAAGAACUUCAUUAGCCACAAGAACACUAUCCAAAAGCCCCCUUCAUUCUAAAAGAGUAUAUUGUUUGAAAUUAAUGACUUUACCAAUUACCUUUUUCAACUUGAGGGAAAUUUUUGUUGAUACUAUCUUGUACACACACCCUACCAACCAAAUAGAUCAGAACUCGCUAAGCUGUUGUGGAUUCUCUGAUUUAGGAAUCAAACAUAGAAAGGAAGCGUUUGACCCCCUAGGUCAACUUCCUUUUUCCACAAAAUCCUUCACGUCCGACAAAUAAACCUCCUUUAAGUAAUCCCAACAAAAUAUAAUGAAUUUGAACUUAAAACCAUCAGGAUUGGGGCUUUUCGAGCUAUCGCAGCUCUAGAAAGCAUUCUUCACUUCCUCUUCAGUGACAUUAGCUACCUGUGCCACAUUAUCUUCGCCACAAAUAGAGUUAAAACGAACAUUGUCUAACUUGGCUUAAGGCCCGGAGACUCCUUCAAACUUGGCUUUGAAAAAAUACCUGACCUUCGUUUUAACCACCUCCUUAUCCUCAAUCCAAAGAUCAUUCUCUAAAACCCCGUUGAUCCCGAUCCUCACUCUCCUCCACUUCACGGAUGAAUGAAAGAAUUUUGUAUUUAAAUCACCAUGUUUAAACCAUUUAGAGCAGGCCUUUUAAUGUAAAACUUCUUCCUGCUUAAAAGAAUUCCUACUUUGUUAAGUUAAUAAGAGUUUUCUCUCCUCCCUCCCAGCCUCGGGUAGAAUGCCUUCAUCGUCUCUUACAUCCAGCUCUUGAAUCUUCUUAUGUAAGACUUAGGGGUGGCAUUGCGGGCUGGCCCGCCCCGCAUAGGCCCACCUUGCACUUGGCCCGCCCCGUAUAGAAUUUGCGGACUGAUUUUUCUAGCUCGCCCCGCAUAAGGAUUGGCCUGCGGGCCGGCGAGCAAGGCUGCAUAAGAAAUAUUUAUUAAAAAAAUAAAUUUUUUAUUUUUUAUUUAUUUAGAUGCAUUAGGUAAAUGGUCUCAUAAUAUUAUUUUCAUGAAACAUGCGUAGUAAGAUGUUAUUAAAAAUUUUGGAAUGUGGUGUAUAAAAAAAAUUAUACAUUUUAAAGUUAUGCGGGCCAACCAGCCCCACCCCGCACUUGGUCCAUGCGGGUUGUGGGUUAUGCGGGGCGGGCCAGCAGGUUGAAAUAAGCAACCUGCCCCGCAUUUAUUUCAGCGGGUCGGCCUGCACGACCCACCCCACUUUGUCACCCCUAGUAAGACUUCCCUUGCAUGGUUGACAUUCCUGAAGACCUCUCUAUUCCAAAUUUUCAGGUCAGACUUUAACUUUUUUUCAAAUUUUCUUUUAAAACAAAUAGCCCUUUACCAUGCACCUCAUAACUCUGCAAUGUAUUGCUAAUGAAAUCUAAAAACCUGCCAUCAUUUUGUCACACAUCCAAGCUUCUAAACAGUUUUGUCCCCUAGUCAAUGCUCGUAUCUUUUAGCACUAGCACAAAGUGAUCAAAGACCGGUCUACUAAACACAUUUUGUUUACAGUUCGGCCGAAACUCCAACCACUCCCUGGAAACUAAAAUCCUAUCAAUUCUGCUCUUUACAGUCCAAGUGAAUUUUUUCCCAACCAUCGAAAUGUCCACAAAUCUGUUUUUUCGAUUAAUUCAUUAAACCCUCUAAUUUCUCUACUAUAAUGAGAAAUUGAGAUAAAACUCCUUCUUUAUUCCUUAUGCCCGAUAGAAUUAAAAUCCCCAACAACACAUUUGAAAGGAAAGAUAAUAAAUGAAAAUUUCCAAAUAAUAAAGUACAUUUUCUAAAGUUUGACAUUUACACAUAUAAAGUUUAAAAAUGAAAAUAUACCAUUUUCUUUCAUUACAAGAAAUAUUAGUUAUGAUUAUUAUUUAUAAUUAUUAAUAUUUUAAUAACAUUAUUAUAAUCUUAAUAAAAAUAAUAAUAAUAGUAUUAAUGAAUAAUCUUAAUAUCAUUAAUAAUAAUAUUAAUAAUAUUAUUUCUAUUAUUAAGAUUAUUUAUAUGUGAGUUGCUUUUAUUGGUUUACGGAACACUUCAUAUAAAAAAUAUUUUUUUUAAAUUAAUGAAAAAUAAUUUUUUUAAAUACAAAUUUGGAAUACAUUUAUUUAUUUUUAUUAAUUUAAUUUUUCUUCUUGUUUAGAUGAAUUAGGUAAAUGGUCUCACAAUACCAUUCUCAAGACACAUGUGUAAUGAGAUAUGAGUAAAAAAAAUUAUAAUAAUGUUUUGAUUUUCAAUGAAAUUUGAAUUUAAAAUAUUGGUUUAAUUACCUUUUUCGUCCCUAUAUUUAUAGCCAAUAGUCAAUUUGGUACAGUGGUUUUAAAAAAUUCAAUUUGGUCCCUAAGUUUUUUAAAAUGUAUUCAAAAUGGUUUUUUCUGUUAAAUAUCACCAAACGAUGUUAACUGGUGCUUAUGUGGCAGACACGUGUAAGUUACGUGGAUGGUGCUUACAUUACUUUAGUGAAUAAUGAAUUAGGGUUUAGGUUAUUCAAAUUGGAGAUUUCGAAUUUCUGAUUUAGGGUUUCUAAUACGAGGAUUGCUCCCCUGGUUGGAUUCUGUGGUGCGCUUCCCUGCUUCGAUUCCAUUCGGAGGUGUGCUCCCCUCAUUCGAUUCUGUGGUGCGAGUGAAUUUGGAGGUGCGAUCUUGUGGCUUGUGAUUCGUUCGUGUGUGGUUCCGUUUGUGGUGGAAAUGUGAGCAUAUAGAUCUGCAUCUGUAUCAUCAUGUAGCUGUAACCGAAUGGAAGUGCAACAACAACGAUCGAAUUCUAGCCAUGGUGGUGGAAGUAGGACGACUUUUGUUGCUCCCAUUUGCGAUUGUGGGGAAUUUAUGGUUUUGAAAACCGCAACAACGGUCAAAAAUUGUGGGAGGCAAUUUUGGGGGUGUCCAAAGUAUAAGGUGAGAUGUAUUAAACUAUGACUUAUGAAAACAAAAAUGCAUUGGUAUUGAUUUUUUGCUUAUGGUUUUGUCUAAUACAGAGUAGGAGUGGCGUAAGCAUGGGAUGCAAUUUUUUUAGAUGGUGCAAGUGCAUUGAAGACAUUGAGGAUGACAGAGAUGGAACUAUUGCUAGACAAAGAAACAAGAUUUGUAGCUUGGAAAAGCGUUUGAAGAUGUCAAGAAAGUGGAUAAAGAUGUUGUUAGUAGGAUUGUGUGUUGUUGUAAUAAACCUUGCUAUGUUGAUUAUUUUCUUAAAAUUCCCUUGAGUGACGUCUGCAUGUAUGUUUUGGUUGGGAUUAUGAUUAUUAGUGUGUUGAGUUGAUUAUGUCUAGUAUGUAAUAUGUAUCCUGAGAUCUGUAUCAAUGAAAAAUGAAUUUUAGCAAGUGGUUGGCAUAGAAGUUAUGUACUAUUUUCUUGUUUUGUGGUGCUGCAUAAUUUUGGGGUUGAAUAAGUUGGCAUUGUGGGAAAUAAGAAUGGUGUAACCAAAUUAAGAUGCAAAUUCAUUCUUGAAAUCAGUAUCAGAAUAAACUAACAUGGGUUAGACUUGCUUAGCUUGAACAUUAAUGUUAAAUACUGCAUCUAGUAUACAUCUUAAGCUUUUACUUUUUUAUGAGACAAUAAAGUUCAGUUAUCCUGUGUCUGAAUAAGGUGAUAUGCAUCUCAUAAUGGUCUAAUGGACAAUUCCACAAUGGUUGUAGUGAGCGAAGUAAACUUCAUAAUUGAAACUAUGUUGGUUAACUGAUUUGCAAUUCCCAGGGCCAAGGCUGCAUUUUAAACUCAAAGUUUAUUAUAUGUAAAUGAAACCUGAUUGAAGAUUUCACAAAAGUGAUGUAAGGGUAUACGUUGGCUGUUUAGAAGAUAUUUAUAGAAAAGAUAAGCAGUGAUAUUUUCAGAAAAAUUUAAACAACAUUUAAAAAUGUGCAACCGCUAUAUAAGUUUUUUCUCAAAGGGCUUGAGAUUGAAAGGUAUUAUACAAUUGAAAUUAAGAAUCAAACAGAUUAGUAUCAUGAACAAUUAAGAACUCUGAUUUGGGCAACACAACAAGAAAAUUCAGAGCAAGCAGAGGCCAAUCUCAUCAAAGACUAAAUAAAUGAAGGAAAAUUGUGAUGUUAUAAUAAUAUAAAGGUAAAGUAUGUAAAAGUAAUACAAAAGAUAUGUAAUACCUUAGAAGAUAAAGCACAAGCAGAUUUUCUUCACUAAUGAAUCCAUAAGAGCUAACAUAGUUUGGUCCUAUAAUAAUUGUUUUUCAAAAUACAUAUGUUUAGAAAUAAGUGAGUUCCAAAAGCAUUCAUGGCUUCCAAAAGCAGCCUCUGAUGGACUGUAACUUAAGCCUCGUGUUGGGUCUUGAAAAUGUUGCAGUUGUAGUUUCCUGACUUGGAGCUUCCUGAGAUGGCCCUGAUGCCCUUGUAGCUGCCUGACUUGGAGCUUCUUGAGGUGGCCCUGGUGCACUUGUAGCUGCUUGACUUGGAGCUUGCUGAGAUGGCCUUGGGUGAGAUGGUCGUUUUGCACUUGGACCUUGUUCAGAUGACUUUUCAAUGCAAGACUUUCUAUUGUGGCCAAGCUUAUGACAGAUCCCACUUUUUUUCUUUAACCCAGUUUGGCCUAUCUGAGUCUUAUUCUUCAUUACCUCCCAUGGCUCUAACCUUCUCUUCUUUUUUGGUCUUCCAAGCAUCUUCUUUGUGGGAGGUGGCACAACAUCUGGCAUUUCAGUUCUUUCCCAUACUUGUUCACCAUUAACUGGAUAGAUAACUGUGUUGUACACCUCUGCAUAUGUUUCCUUCUUGUACCAAAAUGAAAUGAAGUUCACUGGAUCUACAUCCAUCUAUCACUGUCACAUGACCAUGUUGAUGUAUCACCACCAACAUAUCUCGCAUCACAAAAUAUCCCACUAUGGUGGACCACAAGUUGAAAAUAACCUUCUUUCAUGAUAUGAACUUUAUAAAAGGUAUUCCUGUGAAAUAUAAAUAUGCAUAUGACCACAAAUAACAAACAAAUUACAAACCAAAUCUUCACUUAAAUGUUGGACCACACAUCACAAUAUUAUGUCAGAGACCCAAUGUUGGACCACACAUAAAAAAAUGUUGCACAUGGUGGACCCUACAUCAUAAACAACUCUGUAUAUGUUCUCUAAAAGUAAUAAAAAACAGAACCACUCUGAAACUAAGUAAAAAAUUACUAACCUUAUAAAGGAGCAACCACAAAACGACACCACGGUCUGGAUCGCAAUCGCUGCCCCUUCACCACCUCUGGACCGCACCACAUAAUCGCUCCUCCAAAUCGACCAUGGGAACGCAACUUACCAUCGUAACUCACGAUCGCACCACAGAAUCGAAUGAGGGGAGCACACCUCCGAAUGGAAUCGAAGCAGGGAAGCGCACCACAGAAUCCAACCAGGGGAGCAAUCCUCGUAUCAGAAACCCUAAAUCAGAAAUUCGAAAUCCCCAAUUUGAAUAACCUAAACCUUAAUUUAGUAUUCACCAAAGUAAUGUAAGCAUAAUCCACGUAACUUACAUGUGUUUGCCACAUAAGCACCACUUAACGCCAUUUGGUGAUAUUUAACAGAAAGGACCAUUUUGAAUACAUUUUAAAAAACUUAGGGACCAAAUUGAAUUUUUUAAAAACCACUGUACCAAAUUGACUAUUGACUAUAAAUAUAGGGACGAAAAAGGUAAUUAAACCUAAAAUAUUACAUUAAAUAUAUACGCUUUUUUAAGGUAAUACAUUUAGACACAUGAUUACUAUUCCAAUUUAAAAAUAAUAUAUAUACAUAUAUACAUUCAUAUAUAUAUAUAUAUAUAUAAUACUAUACUUAACUUUUAUUACAAAAAAGACUAAGGUUUAACUACUGUAUUUAGCAUUUGAUGAGUAUUUAAACCUAAACAAUCUAUGCACUUUAGAAAGAUAAAAACACACUAUUAAAUAUUAAAAAAAUUAUUAUUGAAUUUCGUGAAGGUGUUAUGAAUUAGGAAUUGGAGGUAGUUUCUUCCUACACUUCUAUGCCUUUCUUCUUGCACCCCAUACUUAAAAAAAUACUCAAAUUACCCUUUGACAUUUUUCAUUGAAUAUUUUUUCUUUAAUUCCAGAGUGUGGAAUUCAAGAUACUUCCUAGGUUAUAGAAUUUGGAAUUUAAAAUUUGUGUUUUGGAAUGUAUAAUAUUUCAGAUUGUACAAUUAUAAUGUAUUUUAAAUUAUAGAAUUUGAAAUGAAUAAUAUUAGAAUUUUUUAGAAUAUGAAGUUACAAGAAGAAAUUAUGGGGAUACAUAAAGAAAUUUCUAAAUUUUUGAAAUAUGUGGGUUAUGCACGCCAACUCUCCCCGUUCAACACUUAACCCACGUGAGCUGCGAGUUGUGCAAAACGAGCUUAAGAAAACCAACAAAUUGAAAUAAACAGUCCACAUUGCAUUUUUUUCUAGCAGGUUGCGGACUGGUGUGUGGUUGAGCCUGCUUUACCAUCUCUUCUAUUCACAAAUAAUUGAAUAUCUUAUUAUUCACAUCAUCAUGUUCAAGGUAGGUUUAUGUACCCAAUUUCAAGUUAACUAAAAGAAAGUACACGUAACAAGAGUUAACCAAAUCUUUCAUUAUCGAAUUAGUGUUACUAGUUCUAUGCUUCAAAUGUAAAAACUUUCUAGUUAACAAGAUAAGAUAAGAAAUAUGAAUUCUUUUAAGGACAAAAUAUAAAGAAGAAACAUUAGUAGAGGAUACUAUUCCAUAAUAAGAAACUUAGUUUAACUAUUGGUUGUCAUUUACAACUUCUAGUUGUAUCAAUCAAUUAUUAUGAUAUUAUUGAUUGCUGGUAAAUAUUUAGACCACAAACUCUAAGAUUCAUAUACUUUCGAUUUUCUCCAAGAUAGAGACUUGUUUCUUGCCGUGCCGUAAAUGUGUUCCCUUGUCACCCAUGGAUGGUUUUCCUAUUCUUUGGAAUGCUUAGAAUCAUCUAAAAAGACACUUUCAACAACAACAAAAUAGCCACGAAAUUACAGGAAAAAAAAUGUUUCCUGAAUAUUUCUGCAAGAUUUUCAUAUUCAAUUAAUGUGGACCAUGUAAAAUAUACCCCAUGAAUUCAAGUUUCUUUUGUCUCUUUCUCCUCCACUGUCAGAACCAUGUGUGGAUCAGAAUUUGAGAUUGAGAUUGUUUGACAAACAUCUUUUCGAUUUUUUCAUCCUUUUCUUAUCUUAGUCUGCCUUGUGUAUAUUGGAAACUUUCUUGUGUAGCCUUUAAUUAGUUAUAACACAUUCUUUUAGUUUAUCUAUUUAAUUGGUUAUAGCAAAUAUUUUAAUUGUUUAUAUAAAAAAAUGUCAUUCAGAAUCAGUUCGAAAAAUAUAAAAGUUUAUUUCUUAUCUAUACUUGUUAUAGAAUAAGAAACGACCUAUUUUUAUAUUUCAAGAAUAUUUUAUGAAAUUGAAAUAAAUAUGAUUAAUAAAGAAAAUUUAUAAUAAAAUGAUAAAAUAUCUAUUUUUAUCAUAAUUUCUACCAUGACCGUAAGUUUCUAUUUUAUUUAAAAUUAUCGUGAAAUCAACAAAGAAUAAUUCGUAUUUAAAAUUAAUAACAUAAUGAAUUGGGUAUUGCACGUACACAUUUAUUGCCAAUUGUAACUGCAUGGGUUAUCGAAAUGAUUGCAUCCAUUAUUGAGGGACUAUCAUCAUAUAUAAUACAAGCUUUUUUUGUAAUUAGUAUCACGUUAGUUUGGACUGGGAAUAAAGUUUUUUAACUUUUUUUAUAUAUUUGUUUUUUACUGUUUUAUAAAAGACAAUACCAAAUUAAGUAAGGUUUCCUUUUUUUGCUACUGGCUAUUAUUGGAAAGUUCGUCUUGGUAUGAACUGUUUUUCGAGAGUUCUGAUGUAACAUUCUGUGUAUUUUGGAGAGCUACUUAAAAUAGUUUUUUUUUAUAGAUUGGAAUAUGCCUUAAACAUUCCUAUUUGUUUAAUUUAUUUCUGAUAAAAAAAUGGUAAAAAAAAACACUAAUCCAAACCUAGAAUUAACGCAAGCACGAAAUGUGAAGUCUUAUUCCUUUAUCUCCUUCACAAAGCUCUUAAAGUUCUCAUAAGAUGUACCUCCUUUUGCUAUGUUGUUCAUCACUUUCUCCUUCAACACCACACACCUAAAUUUUAUGCUCUCAUCAUUAAAUAAUUGUUCUACCUUGGUUUUCAACUCCCUCCGUGACACAACUCCAUUUUGAUCUUUGUCAAUCCCCACCCCAACCUUUAACUCAUCACAAAUAUGUGUUUUGUUGUAAACUUGGUCUCCAAAGUAUGGCCAACACAAUAAAGGUACCCCAUUGGACAAACCUUCCAUGGUAGAAUUCCAACCACAAUGAGUCACAAAACAUGCUAUGGCAGGGUGGCUUAAAACCUUUUGUUGAGGAGCCCAAUUAACUAUCUUACCCUUAUGUCCUUGGAAUUCAUGAGGGUAUGCCAUUUUAUUGUCUUCUCUUAUAACCCAAAGAAAAGGUCUGUUGGUGAGGUGUAGUCCAAGGGCAAGUUCAUUGAAUUGGUUUUGGUCAAAAAGAGUGAAACUACCAAAGGCAACAUACAACACAGAACCAUCAGCUUGUUCAUCUAGCCAACUCAUGCAGGAGUGGUCUUCUUUCCAGAAUUGUCCCAUUGAUUUUGUAGCUGCACUUUUGUUAUGAUCAUUAUCAUUGCUUCUCAACAAUGGCCCAAUUGGGAUGAUGUUCGGAAGAAAUAAUAAUGUCUCAGGUUCAAGUUCAUGUGUGGUGUUGCAUAGCCACCACUGUGUCAAAUGUAAACUUCGUGCGCAAUACAGCAAAUACUUAAGCACUUUCUUACCAGUUGUUAGGUCACCGAUAUUCAACCAAAAAAAGUCUUUUGGAUCCAUCUCAGGCAUACUUGGCGAAAUCUGAAUUCUCUUUUCUGUAGUUAAUGUUAAACCUUCAGCGAAAAACCAACAAAAAAACAUUAGCUUAUACAAUAGACGUAUAAAUUAAGUUAUAAAUUAUGUUCAAACAUAAGAAUACGAUAAUAUUCUUACCUAAAUCAGAGUCUAUAAUUCCCUCAUCAAUAAGCACAGGGAUGUUGUACAGCAAGGUGAAAAAAGUUGCUGAUGCAGGACACAACACAGCUCCUUUGAUUCCCAGUUUAGUCCCAACAUCCAAAGCCCAAGCCAUGCACAAAUCAGCAACAAUGAAGUUGAUUCUGUUCUCACCUUUCAAAUGAAUAUCCUCUAUGAGCUUCUCAAGUGCUUCUGGCAUGGUGUUUGGAAUGGCAUCACACAUCUUGGCCAGAUCGUUUCUGUCAUCAUCAGGUCCUAAACCAUCAGAGAUUGAAACCAACUUCAGCACUGAUUCUUCAUCAUCAAGGGUAGAACUAUCUUGUUGCUCCACCAUGGAACUCACCACUCUCCUGUGGAUAAAGUCUGUGUUCACAAAAAUGACUUUGCAUCCAUUCUGAACCAACUUCUGCGAGAAGGUCAUCAUGGGAUUCACAUGCCCUUGUGCUGGAUAUGGUAAAGCUAGCACAGUUGGAGUUCUCAUGUUAACACUCUUUUUAUUUGGUUUCUAUUGAUUCUGAUUUUCUGAGACCAAUUAGCAUGCAUCUAUUCAUCUAUAUAUAGGCACAGCCCCUCACUAUAUCAUAAUCGUGUAUAUACGUACCAAUUACAAUCUAGGUCACGAUCAGUCAAAAUCUUCGGCUAUCAUAAAUUUCAUGUAAGAAGAAAUGUAGAAAGUUUGUGUGUUCACAACAAUAAUUUUGUCAUUCUAUACCUCUUUACAUUUCCUUGUACUUCUCUGAUUCGACUUUAGUGUUUUUAUCAUUAAACUUUUGUUUUUUAGUUUAUUAAUUGAUUUAGCAUUAUGGUGUUAUUUAAUUACGAGAAUCAUGUAAUUAGUGUAAGAAAUUAGACGUGAAGGGUAGGGAAAAAACGGAUGGUGGGUCUUUGAUCUGGGAUGUGGUGGAAGGGGGUCACUAUGAGAUUAUGUGUGCAGAGAGUAGGAUGAGGCAGUGCAGAAUUGUGUAGGUGCUGGUCUAGAUUUGCUCUGUCAUGCAUUGCAUAUUUGUUGCUUUAGUUUUAUCAAUCUAUGUCUUAGCCAAAGGCUAGGAGCUGUUUGGAUAGGAAUGUCUUCUUAACAGCAAAACAGCAAAACUAAUUUGUCCUGCAUAAUUUUGCAUACUAGAUAGGAACUUUGGGAAUGGUUUUGCUAGAUCUAAUUUUUAUAUAAGGGUUCAAACAUUCCUAAAAUAUCCCUUCUAAUUUUAUUUACUUUUUGCUUAUAAAAAAAUUGUAAAAAAUAUUUCUUUUAAUUUAGAUGAAUUUGAAAGGAAAGGUUAAUAAAUGAAAAUUUUCAAAUAAUAAAAAGAUUGGUAGAAGGAUAGUUGAGAAGUGCAACAGAUUGCCUCUAACUUUGAAAACAAUUGGAUGUCUUUUACGCACAAAGUCAUCCAUUUCAGAUUGAAAAAACAUAUUGGAAAGUGACAUAUGGGAGCUACUAAAAGAGCACAAUGAAAUAAUCUCUUUGCUAUUUCUAAGCUAUUGCCACCUUCCUUCUCAGGGUAUUUGAUCAUGAUGGGGUUAUUUUUUUUUGUUUUUACCAAAAUGGAGUCCGUUUAAAAAAAAUUACAAAUUUAGGCAAGUCGUGCCAAUUUGGCACGACUUCAUAUGGACAAAUCGUUCCAAUUUGACACGACUCUGCCAUGUCAUACUAAAAUCGUGCCAACUUGGCACGACUUCUGCCCUGUCAUACCGAAGUCGUGCCAACUUGACACAAAUCUGCCACAUCUUAAUUUUUAAUUUUUUUUAAAAAUUUUAUUGUUUAUAUAUUGGAUAGUAAGUUAUGUAAUGCUAAAAAUUAAUUUGAUACAUAAUUUUUUAAGAGGGUUAGUUUCAAGGAACAAAAAAUUGGAUAUAUAUAAUUAUUUUUAAAUUAUUUAAUUAUUUCAAAAUAAUUACAAAUUAUUUAUAUUAUUUGUUUUAUUUAAAAUUUAUAUAAUUAUUUCAAAAUAAUUACCGUACUUAUACCUUUUUAUAUUUUAAUAUAAAUGACAUUAAAAAAAAUAAACAGGUCAAAAAAUGUAUUAUUUGAAUUGUGAUAAAAAAAAUUAUUACUUUAGAAAAAAAUAAAUAAUUGUAAUACACGAUUAUCCAAUUUUUUGUUCCUUAAAACUAACACUCUUAGAAAAUUAUGUAUCAAAUUAAUUUUUUACAUUACAUAACUUACAACCCAAUAUAUAAACAAUAAUAUUUAAAAUAAAAAUAAAAAUUAUGACAUAACAUAAGUCGUGGCAAGUUGGCAUGACUUCAGUAUGACAGAGGCACGACUUGCCUAAAUUUGUAAUUUUUUUUAAACGGACACCAUUUUGGUAAAAACAAAAAAAAAAUAACCCCAUCAUGGUCAAAAACCCUCAUUCUCAUCUUAAAAGGUGCUUUGCUUAUUGUGUCUUAUUUUCCAAAGAUUAUGAGUUUGUGAAGGAGAAGUUAAUAAUUUUCUUGUGAGUCCACAACAUAUUAGACGUCAAGAAGAAGUUGGUGAACAUUACUUGAAUGAUCUAUUGUCAAGGUCUUUCUUUCAACAAUUAGGGGUCAAAAAGUGUUUUGAACAAUCAUGUCUUAGGAGGUGUUUCGUCAUGCAUGACCUUUUCAAUCAUUUGACAAAUUCAAUAAUUUGACAAAAUAUGUCUGUGUGGAUUUUUGUUCCAGAUUGAAAUUUGAUAAAGGUUUUAAUGGUUUUGGGAGUUUAAGUGAAACUAAAAGCUUCGUUAAUUACGUGUUUAAUAUGUGAAGCUUCUGUCUUGUUCUAAGACAUCUUUGUAGUACUUUUUUCUUCCUGCCCUUACAAGCCAGUGGAUGUAUGUAUCAUAAACUAAUAACUAAUUCCAACUAACUAUAUAAAGAUAACCUUUGCAACACUUAUACCAAAUCAAGUCCCUAUAAAUUUAACCAAAUUCUCUGUUUUUUUAAUUUGGUUCUCUUGAAUGUUUAUUCAGAAAUGUUGUCCCAAUACUGGAUUAUGCUAAAUCAUGGAGAAAUUGAAUUAUUCAUAAUAAACCAUGUCAUUAUGUAACAUGCUUGUCUCAAGUCUUAAUGUGAAAUGCUUUUAAGCUGAAAUCUAAUAUGGUAUAAGAUUCUAUAGCUCAUUUGUGUUUAAUUACAAUAAACUGAGACAAUUUGGGCAUUGAAAUUGUCUUAAAACAGGGUCCAAUGUGCAAGGCCAUACAUCCAUCCAUUUUAUUUUCCUUAAUGUUCAGAACUUUAGACUACUAAAUAUUUUAUUUUUCCUUUUUCUCAUACUUUUGACCCUUCAUGUAUCAUAAUCCAGCAUUCUAUACUUAUAUAAACCAAGAAAAAUGAACUUUUCUAUUUGGACUGAGGAGUGGAUUUGUGAGGAUUAGAGAGUAUGUGUGAGAGGAUAUGUGAGGUUGUUUGGAUUGAGGGAUGAUAGAGUGGAUUUGUGAGGAUGAUUUAUUGUAAGUUUACAAAUUUACCCUUGUUAUUAAAAAAUAUUUAAAUAAUGAAUUAUGAUUUUUUUUAGGUUUGAAUUAAUUAAAUAUUUUUAACAUAUAAUAUCUAUAAUUGUUUAUAUUUUUUAAUAAAAGAUUAAAUAUUUUUUUGUGUUAAAUUGAAAUAAAUUUAUUAAAUACAUUAAAAUUUAUGAAAAUAAUAUUUAUUAUUAUAUUCAUUUGUUACUUUAUAUAACUAUAUAUGGUUGAUAUUAUAAAUUUUUUUGUAUUUUUUAUUUUAUUAUUUAUAAUUAUAUGUUGUUAUUAAUAGUAUAAUUAAAUAUUUUUGAAAUUAUAAAUAAUAAAUAAAUUUAUAUAAUAUUUAAUUUUGUAUAUUGUAAAUAAAAUGGAUGGACAAGAAUAUUUUGGUAAAAUACAAUAAUCCUACAUUAAUCGCCACAAAUCUCUUCAUCAGCAGGGAGAAGGUUUGUCUUCUUUGGGGGACUAACGAAGUAGAUUGGGUCGAAAACAAAGCUACAAACAACGCAGGGGGGUUCUUACGAUGUGGAGUAAUAAGUCGUUUCAGAUGUUUAGUUUUGUAAACGGAAGGAACUAUACUGUGAUUGAAGGUUUUUGGAAGGUUAUUAAUGAGGUUUUUGUAACUAUAGUGAAUGUAUAUUGUUGUGGCUCUUUACGGGAAAAGAAAGAGAUGUGGAAAAAGAUCAAUGGAGUCAGGUUGAAUCAACUAUCAAAGGCGUGGUGUAUUAUUGGAGAUUUUAAUUCUAUUAGACGUAAAAGAAGAGAGGAAGAGUUUGAUUUCGACGUCAGAUUAUUCUAGAGAAAUAAAAGGGUUUAAUGAUUUUAUCAAAAAAUCAGAAUUGGUUGAUAUCCCAUUGGUUGGAAGGAAGUUUACUUCGUAUAAACCCAAUGGUUUGGUGAAGAGCAGAAUCGACAGGGUUCUAGUUUCAAAGGAGUGGCUGGAAUCUUGGCCUCACUGCCAACAAUUCGUUUUAAACAAAUCAAUCUCUGACCAUUGUGCGGUUAUACUUAAAGAGGUGUCAGUGGACUGGGGCCCGAAACCUUUUAGGUGUUUGGAUGUUUGGCAAAAAGAUAGCAGAUUUAAAGAGUUUGUGAGUUCGAGUUGGUCUUCUUAUAGGUUAUAGGAGGUGGGAUUUUUAUUUUCAAAGAAAAAUUGAAAAAACUAAAAGCAUAUUUAAAAGUAUGGAACAAAGAAGUCUUUGGAGGUGUAAAUCUUGCCAGUAAGGAAGUGCAAAAGAAGAUCGAUGAAUUAGAUGUACGAGACAAUGAUGGUGGUUUAGUUGAGUCAGAAAGGGAAGAAAGAAAGUUCCUCUUUGCAAAACUUAAUAAAUUCAAAUUUAAGCAAGAGGCUAUUAUGUUUCAGAAAGCAAGACAAAAGUAGUUAAAACAGGGGGAUCUUAAUACAAAGUUUUUUCACUCUGUAAACUGGAGAAGGGCAAGGAAUCAGUUGCAUGGGGUUUUCGUUAACGGUAAAUGGUGUGAAGAUAAGGAGGUGAUCAAGGACAAGGUUCGUGUUUCCUUUGAAGAUAGGUUUGCCAUGAACGAUGCUUGUCAAGUUAGAUUGGACAAUGUCAGGUUCAGUUCCAUUUCGGAGUCCGAUAAUGAGUUGUUGAUUGGAGAUUUUCUGAAGAUGAGGUUAGGGCUGUAGUUUGGAGUUGUGACAGUUCAAAGAGCCCUGGCUCUGAUGGUUUCAAUGAAAUUUUGCUGGGAUAUCAUUAAAAAGGAUGUGGUGUCGGCAGUGAAGAAUUUUGCGGUUAAUGGUCAUUGACCCAGAGAUUCAAACGCUUUGUUUCUUUGUUUAAUACCAAAAGUAGAAAAUCCUCAGCAGCUCGGUGAGUUUAGACCUAUUUCAUUAGUUGGGUGCUUGUAUAAAAUCAUAUCUAAAGUGCUAUCUCUACGAUUGAAAAAGGUAACUAGUAAAGUUAUUGACGUUAGAUAGUCGACUUUCCUUGAAGGAAGGGGUUUUUCUGGACAGUGUGUUAGUCGCCAAUGAGGUUUUGGAAGAAUAUAAAAGAAAGAGGAAGAGUUGUGUUUUCUUCAAAGUUGACAAUGAGAAGGCGUAUGACUCGGUCAGUUGGGAGUUUAUUUAUUAUAUGCUAAGGAGGUUGGGUUUCUGUGAUCUUUGGAUCUAUUGGAUAAAGGGUUGUUUAGAAUCAGCCUCGGUUUCAGUUCUAGUUAACGGUAGUCCACCUAGGGAGUUCUUUCCUAGGAAGGGACUUCGUUAAGGUCAUCCGCUAGCACCGUUUCUCUUCCUUAUUGUGGCAAAAGGGUUGGCUGGGGUAUCAAGGGUGGCUGAAGAAAAGAUUUGAUUGACAGUUUGGAGGUUGGCAAGGAUAAAGUGAAGGUAAAUAUGUUACAAUAUGCAAAUGAUAUUUUGUUCUUCUGUGAAGCUAACACCAAAAGCGUUUUCAAUAUUAAGGCGAUUUUGCAAUGCUUCGAGCUUUCUUCUGGGCUUAGGGUGAAUUUUUUGAAAAGUAGAAUUGGUGGGACGGGGCUGGAUCAGCUUUCGCUUCAGCGUUUGGCAGCUAUUCUCAACUGCGACGUGAUGGUUUCUCCUUUUGUUUACUUGGGAUUGCCAGUUGGAGGGAAUCACAAGCGUGGUGCCUUUUGGAAUGGGGUGAUAGAGAAAGUUCAGGCUAGGUUGAGCAGGUGGAAAGGGAGGUGCCUUUCGAUGGCUGGGAGGAUCUGUUUGUCAAGUCAGUUCUUUCCUCUAUCCCGUUAUUUUUUAUGUCCUUAUUCAAAUUGCCUUUAGGGGUGGCAAAUAAAUUAGUUAGGAUUCAAAGGAAUUUUCUCUGGGGGUGGGGAUCUGAAGGAAGGAAGAUCGUUUGGGCUUCUUGGCAAAAGGUAUGUAAGCCUCGCGAUUUUUGGGGGGGCUUGGUAUUAUUGAUUUAAAAAAUUUUAACUUGGCUUUGUUAGGAAAAUGGAUUUGGAGGUUGGGUACGGAUAAGGGUGGUCAUUGGAAGGAGAUUCUGGUUUCAAAAUAUGGUGGUUGGAAGUGCUUGAGAAAGGAAGGAAAAAGUCGUAGAAGCUCUCUUUGGUGGAAAGAUUUGAAAGAGGUGUGAGCCUCAGAGGGUUGGGGAAGAAGUUUUGAAGAUGGGUUCAACUGGAAAGUUGGUGAUGGAAAGGAUAUUUCCUUCUGGGAGGAUAAUUGGUUGGGUUGCGAUGCGUUGAAGAGAGCCUUUCCGAGACUGUUCUCUUUGUGUUUGGCCAAAGAGACAAAGGUGGCAGAGCUUGGAUCUUGGUCUAAUUGUGUUUGAGUUUGACAUUUAGUCCGGCGAAGACCUUUUUUCGAAUGGGAGAAGCCUUUGGUGGAUCAAUUUUGGCAGGUAUUGCAAGGUGUUAGGUUGAUUUUGGGAGAGGCGGAUAGUUGUGUUUGGAAGGUCGGGGAUCUUCAGAAGUUUUCAGUUAACUCUGCUUAUAUGCAUGUUAGGAGGGAUAGUGAGGUGGAAGGUUCUCCGGUAUUCAAUAAGUUGUGGAGAUGUAAAGCCGUACCUUUUGCUUUAUUUACUGUUUGGAGGGUUCUGGAGAAUAAGACUGCUACUAGGGUCAAUCUGGAAAGGCGAGGGGUGAUGGUUGAAAAUGCUUUGUGUUGUCUGUGUGGGAAGGAGGAAGAGUCUUCCGCCAUUUGUUUUUUAUUGCAAUUUUACUUGGCGUGUUUGGUGUUUUUGCUAUAAGUGGCUUGGAGUUUCGUUUGUGUCUCACAUUGAUCCUAAGUCCAACUUUGCUCAUUUCUGGAUGAGUCAGUCUUCAAACUCGGUUAACAUUGUGUGGAGUACAAUUUGGGUGGGGGUUGUGAGUGAAAUCUGGAAUCACAGGAACCUUAUCAUUUUCAAAAGGGGUGUGACUGAUGUGUCAGAAAUGCUUGCAAUGGUGCAAGUAAAGGUUUGGUCUUGGAUUUCCACAAAAUCUCGUUCUGCUUCGUUUUCCUAUUCUGAUUGGUGUUUAGAACCUUCGGCAUGCAUGAUGAUUGUUCCUUGAAGUUUUUACGUGUUAGUUUGGUUAGUGCUUUCAUCAGUUAGGUAGGCGGUUCUAGUUAAAAGUUGGUUCUCAUUUAUUUAUUGUUUAUUGCUGAUAAAAAUAAAAUAAAAUAAAAAGAACCAUCCACCCUCUCUCCAUCCACUCUCCCACCCUCAAAAUCUUUGAAACAAACAAAAAAAAAAUAUUCCCUCCCUCCUGAAAACAAACAUGUGGACCACCAUGAAUUAAGUUUCUUUUGACUCUUUCUCCUCCACUGUCAGAAUCAUGUGGUGGAUCAGAAGUUGAGAUUGAAAUUGUUUAACAAUCAUCUUUUCGAAUUUUUAAUCCUUUUCUUAUCUUAGUCUGCCUUGUGUAUUUGUAUGUGUAUUAUUUGUGUGGUUAUUGGAAACUUUCUUGUGUCUUUUUAUAGUUAUAACACAUUCUUUUAGUUUAUCUAUUUAAUUGUUUAUAUAAAAAAAUGUCAGUUUAUUAUCAUGUAACUUGAACUAUAUUCAGGAUCAGUUCGAAAAAUAUACAAGUUUAUUUCUUACCUAUUAUAGAAUAAGAAAUGACCCAUUUUUACAUUUCAAAAAUAUUUUAUGAAAUUGAAAUAAAUAUGAUUAAUAAAGAAAAUUUAUAAUAAAAUGAUAAAAAUAUCUAUUUUUAUCAUAAUUUCUACCAUGACCGUCUAUUUUAUUUAAUAAUAUGGUGAAAUCAACAAAGAAUAACAUAAUGAAUUGGGUAUUGCACAUACACAUUCAUUGCCAAUUGUAACUGCAUGGGUUAUCGAAAUGAUUGCAUCCAUUAUUGAGGGACUAUCAUCAUAUAUAAUACAAGUUUUUUUUGUAAUUAAUAUCAAGUUAGUUUGGACUGGGAAUAAAGUUGUUUAACUUUUUUUGAUUUAUUUGUUUUUGACGGUUUUAAAAAAGACAAUACCAAAUUAUGUAAGGUUUACUUUUUUGCUAUGGCUAUUAUGAACUGUUUUUUUGAGAGUUCUGAUGUAACAUUCUUUUACUGAUGUAAUUUUAGAGGACUAUUUAAAAUAGUUUUUUUUUAUAGAUUGGAAUAUGCCUUAAACAUUCCUAUUUGUUUAAUUUAUUUCUGAUAAAAAAACGGUAAAAUAAAACACUAAUCCAAAACUAUAAUUAACCUAAGCACAAAUCUGAACUCUUAUUCCUUUAUCUCCUUCACAAAGCUCUUAAAGUUCUCAUAAGAUGUUCCUCCUUUUGCUAUGUUCUUCAUCACUUUCUCCUUCAACACCACACACCUACAUUUUAUGUUCUCAUCAUUAAAUAAUUGUUCCACUUUGGUUUUCAACUCUCCACGUGAAACAAUCCCAUUUUGAUCCUUGUCAAUCCCCAACCCAACCUUUAACUCAUCACAAAUAUGUGCUUUGUUGUAAAGUUGCUCUCCAAAGUAUGGCCAACACAAGAAAGGUACUCCAUUGGACAAACUUUCCAUGGUAGAAUUCCAACCACAAUGAGUGAGAAAACAUGCUAUGGCAGGGUGACUUAAAACCUUUUGUUGAGGAGCCCAAUUCACUAUCUUACCCUUAUGCCCUUGGAAUUCAUGAGGGUAUGCCAUUUUAUUGUCUUCUCUUAUAACCCAAAGAAAAGGUCUAUUGGUGAGGUCUAGUCCAAGGGCAAGUUCAUUGAAUUGGUUUUGGUCAAAAAGAGUGAAACUACCAAAGGCAGCAUACAACACAGAACCAUCAGCUUGUUCAUCUAGCCAACUCAUGCAAGAGUGGUCUUCUUUCCAGAAUUGUCCCAUUGGUUUUGUAAUUGCACUUUUGUUGCCAUCAUUACCAUUGCUUCUCAACACUGGCCCAAUUGGGAUGAUCUUGGGAAGAAAUAAUAAUGUCCCAGGUUCAAGUUCAUGUGAGGUGUUGCAAAGCCACCACUGUGUCAAAUGUAAACUUCGUGUGCAAUGCAGCAGAUACUGAAGCAUUUUCUUACCAGUUAGGCCACCCAUAUUCAACCAAAAAAAGUCUUCUGUAUCCAUCUCAGGCAUACUUGGCGAAAUCUGAAUUCUCUUUUUCGUGGUUAAUGUUAAAUCUUCAGUGAAAAACCAACAAAAGAAUAUAUUAGUUUAUACAACGUAUAAAUUAAAUUAUAAAUUAUGUUCAAACUUAACUAUACAUAAUAUUCUCACCUAAAUCAGAGACUAUAAUUCCCUCAUCAAUAAGCACAGGGAUGUUGUACAGCAAGGUGAAAAAAGUUGCUGAUGCAGGACACAACACAGCUCCUUUGAUUCCCAAUUUACUCCCAACAUCCAAAGCCCAAGCCAUGCACAAAUCAACAACAAUGAAGUUGAUUCUGUUCUCACCUUUCAAAUGAAUAUCCUCUAUGAGCUUCUCAAGUGCUUCUGGCAUGGUGUUUGGAAUGGCAUCACACAUCUUGGCCAGAUCGUUUCUGUCAUCAUCAGGUCCUAAACCAUCAGGGAUUGAAACCAACUUCAGCACUGAUUCUUGUUCAUCAGGGCUAGAACUAUCUUGUUGCUCCACCAUGGAACUCACCACUCUCCUGUGGUUAAAGUCUGUGUUCACAAAAAUGACUUUGCAUCCAUUCUCAAGCAGCUUCUGUGAGAAGGUCAUCAUGGGAUUCACAUGCCCUUGUGCUGGAUAUGGUAAAGCUAUCACAGUUGGAGUUCUCAUGUUAACACUGUUUUUAUUUGGUUUCUAUUGAUUCUGAUUUCUGAGGCCAAUUAUGCAUUCAUCUGUUCAUGUAUAUAUAGGCACAGCCCCUCACAUUAAAAACGUUAAUCAAUGCCUUAACUAUAUCAUAAUCACAGUAAGAAAUAUCUUUGGAUGAAUUUGAAAGGAAAGGUAAUAAAUGAAAAUUUUCAAAUAAUAAAAUACAUUUUCUAAAGUUCAGGUAUACAUAUAAAUGUUAAAAAUGGAAAUAUACCAUUUUCUUUCAUUAUAAAAAAUAUUGCAUAUAGUCACUAGUGUGGGCCAAAGACAGGACAUAAAGAGGUAAACACUGAUCCUAGAUGCUUGUUAGUGUCGGCAACUGAGCUCAAAAGCAAAUGCAGAUUGAAUCAGCUAAAUCGAUGCAAGCUUGAUCACAACCCAUAUUUGUAGUACUUUUUUGUUCUAAGGCAUCUUUGUAGUACUUUUUUCUUCCUGCCCUUACAAGCCUGUGGAUGAAUGUAUCAUAAACUAAUAACUAUAUAAAGAUAACCUUUGCAACACUUAUACCAAAUCAAGUCCCUAUAAAUUUAACCAAAUUCUCUGUUUUUUGAAUUUGGUUCUCUUGAAUGUUUAUUCAGAAAUGUUGUCCCAAUACUGGAUUAUGCUAAAUCAUGGAGAAAUUGAAUUAUUCAUAACAAACCAUGUUAUUAUGAAACAUGCUUGUCUCAAGUCUUAAUGUGAAAUUCUUUUAAGCUGAAAUCUAAUAUGGUAUAAGAUUCUAUAGCUCAUUUGUGUUGAAUUACAAUAAACUGAGACAAUUUGGGCAUUGAAAUUUUCUUAAAACAGGGUCCAAUGUGCAAGGCCAUACAUCCAUCCAUUUUAUUUUCCUUAAUGUUCAGAACUUUAGACUGCUAAAUAUUCUAUUUUUCCUUUUUCUCAUACUUCUUGACCCUUCAUGUAUCAUAAUCCAGCAUUCUAUACUUAUAUAAACCAAGAAAAAUGGACUUUUCCCUGAGCACUCAUUAAGCCAUUAACCCUCUUGCAGAAACAAAACUGGAUGAAAUUAAAGAUAAAAGAUUGCAAGCCAUUUGUUAAAACGUCAUCAAGUAUCCAUUCUCAAACAAUUCUGAUUCUUCCAAUAAAAACUCAUUUCUCUCCUGUUUUAUUUCACAUCCUUCUAAUCACUCUUCCCAUUCAAAAAUAACAGUUAAUUAUAUUUUACUAUUUUAUUACCUCUCCUCUACAAUCUCGAGAUCCUGCUGCAGCAGAAAAGCUCUUGCUCUGCACUAAAAGUUUAAAGACUCUGAACAGCAACAACAAAGUUACACAAGUGUAAAGUUUCUUGUUGACCAAGUAUUGUCUUGUAUAGAUGGAGAUAAAAAGUGAUUAUUUGGAGCCAACACCUCUCUACAAAUCUUGUAUAUUCAAAGAGUGGAUUAAGAGUCUUUUACCGAUGAAGAUUUACUUCUACUCCCUCUCACUUUGCUAAAUGCAAGUGAUUCAAAAUAUAAGUUAAGUAAGAGUUAGAUAAAUUCAACAGUUAGAUUUAUUCAUUAAAUACGACUGCCAUAUCAGAAAAUUCAACCUUUUCUAGAUGCAGAUUUUCUACACUAUGGAUUUAUACACUCACAAGUCCAACUCAUCAAAACCCUUGAAUAAAAGUCAAACUGCUAUAGUUUGAACCAUCCACUACUAGUCCAACUAUCGCUUUUUCUUAUUGGUGGCUAGAUCAGGGAAUUCAUCAAGUUUGAACCAUUCACUUCUAAUUAAUCCAACUAUCACUCUUUCUUAUUCGUGGCUGCAUCAGUGAGAAUAUUCUAGUUUUCAACAAGACUCAAACAAAAGAUGUUCCACCAUCUUAAAGUCAAGUCAUCCUCUGUAGAACAUCGUAUACUCAUCUCAUCAAUAAUUGUUACGAACUGAAACUGAUUUCUAUUAACCCUAUCCCUCACCAAUUUCUACCAUGGCAGCAGAACUUGUUGGUGGUGCUCUUCUUUCGGCUUUCCUUCAGUUUGCAUUCGAUAGGCUGGCCUCUCCUCAGGUUAUAGACUUCUUUCGGAGAAGAAAACUUGAUGAGAAACUGCUCGGCAAUUUGAACAUCAUGCUACACUCCAUCAAUGCUCUCGCUGAUGAUGCUGAACUAAAGCAGUUCACAGAUCCACAUGUCAAAGCAUGGCUUUUUGCGGUCAAAGAGGCUGUCUUUGAUGCAGAGGAUCUUUUGGACGAAAUAGAUUAUGAACUCACCAGAUGUCAAGUGGAAGCUGAACUUGAACCUCAAACCAUCGCUUACAAGGUAUCAAACUUCAUCAACUCUACUUUCAGUUCAUUUAACAAGAGAAUUGACUUAGGGUUGAAAGAAGUCUUAGAAAAAUUAGAAUAUCUUGCAAGGCAAAAGGGUGCUCUUGGUUUGAAAGAGUGUACUCAUUCUGGUGCUGGAUCAGGUAGUAAAGUGCCAUCAUCUUCUUUGGUGGUUGAAAGUGUUAUUUAUGGCAGAGAUGCUGACAAAGAUUUAAUCAUUAAUUGGCUCACAUCGGAAACCAAUAAUCAAAACCAGCCAUCAAUUCUUUCUAUUGUGGGUAUGGGUGGGUUGGGUAAAACCACACUCGCUCAACAUGUAUACAAUGACCCAAAGAUUAACAAUGCUAAAUUUGAUACCAAAGCUUGGGUCUGUGUUUCAGAUCAUUUUCAUGUUUUGACCGUGACAAAAACUAUUCUUGAGGCAAUCACUGAUAGAAAAGAUGACAGUGGAAACCUAGAAAUGGUUCACAAAAAACUGAAACAAAAUUUGUUAGGAAAGAAAUUUCUUCUUGUAUUGGAUGAUGUUUGGAACCAAAGACGAGACGAAUGGGAAGCUGUGCAAACUCCUCUUACCUACGGCGCUACUGGAAGUAGAAUUCUUGUGACAACACGUGAUGAGAAAGUUGCUUCUAACAUGCAAUCUAAAGUGCAUCGCCUAAAACAAUUACGAGAGGAUGAAUGCUGGAACGUUUUUGCAAAACACGCAUCAAUAGAUGAUAAUCUUGAAUUGAACAAUGAGCUAAAGGAGAUUGGUAGAAGGAUAGUUGAGAAGUGCAAAGGAUUACCUUUAGCUUUGAAAACAAUUGGAUGUCUUUUACGCACAAAGUCAUCCAUUUCAGAUUGGAAAAGCAUAUUGGAAAGCGACAUAUGGGACUUACCAAAGGAAGAGAGUGAAAUUAUUCCUGCGCUAUUUCUGAGCUAUCACUACCUUCCUUCUCAUCUUAAACGGUGCUUUGCUUAUUGUGCCUUAUUCCCUAAAGAUUAUGAGUUUGUGAAGGAGAAGUUAAUUUUGUUGUGGAUGGCCCAAAACUUUCUAGGAUGCCCUCAACAGGUUAGACAUCCUGAAGAAGUUGGUGAACAAUAUUUCAAUGAUCUUUUGUCAAGGUCUUUCUUUCAACAAUCAAUCACCAAAAGGGGUUUUGUCAUGCAUGACCUUCUGAAUGAUCUAGCAAAAUAUAUUUGUGGGGACAUCUGUUUCAGGUUGAGAUUUGAUAAAGGAAAAUGUAUACCAAAAACAACCCGUCAUUUUUCAUUUGCAUUAGAUGAUGUCAAAUGUUUUGAUGGUUUCGGGAGUUUAACUGAUGCUAAAAGACUGCGUUCAUUUAUUUCAAUUACAGAAAUUGGGAGAACAUGCAUUGGCUAUUAUCCUUGGGAGUUCAAGAUUUCAAUACAUGAUGUGUUCUCCAAGUUUAAUUUUUUACGUGUUAUAUCUCUCUAUUCUUGUUUGGACCUUGUAGAGGUCCCAAAUUCUAUAGGUAAUCUUAAACAUCUCCAAUCGUUAGACCUUUCGAAAACUGGGAUACAAAAGCUACCCGACUCAACAUGUUUGCUCUAUAACUUGCUAAUACUAAAGUUGAACUUUUGUGGAUAUCUGAAGGAGCUGCCAUCAAAUUUGCAUAAACUCACCAAAUUACGUUGCCUGGAGUUUAAAAAUACAAAAGUGACAAAGUUGCCAAUGGAUUUGGGAGAAUUAAAGAAUCUUCGAGUACUGAGUACCUUUUUUGUCCAUAAAAAUAGUGAAUUCAGUAAUAAACAGCUAGGAGGACUCAAUCUUUAUGGAGACCUAUCAAUUAAGGAGCUGCAAAAUAUUAUGAAUUCAUCGGGAGCAUUAGCAAUGGACUUGAAAAACAAAACACACCUUAUGAGGUUAAAGUUAAAAUGGAAUAAAAAUCACACCCCUGAUGAUCCAAGGAAAGAAAAGGAACUACUUGAGAUUCUGCAGCCCUCCAAACACUUGGAGCGUUUGUCAAUCAGAAACUACAAAGGUAUAGAAUUCCCAAGUUGGAUAUUUGAUAAUUCGUUAUCAAAUUUGGUGUUCUUACGGUUGGAGGACUGUAAAUAUUGUCUAUGUUUGCCUCCCCUUGGGCUUUUGUCAUCUCUGAAGAUCCUCAAAAUUAGACGGCUUGAUGGAAUAGUGAGCAUUGGUGCUGAAUUUUAUGGGACCAACUCUUCAUUUACGUCCUUGGAAAGGUUGGAAUUCUACAACAUGAAGGAAUGGGAAGAAUGGGAAUGUAAAACUACUUCUUUUCCACGUCUUCAACAUCUUUCUGUGGAUCAAUGUCCCAAGCUGAAAGGUUUGUCAGAGCAACUUAUUCAUUUAAAGAAAUUAUUUAUUUCUCACUGUGAUAAGCUCAUCAUUAGCGGCAUGGACACAUCAUCGCUUGAACUCUUGGAAAUUGUUUCAUGCCCACUUGUGAAUGUUCCCAUGAUCCAUUACAAUUUCCUUGAACAAUUGACGAUUGAUGCUGCCUGCAACUCUCUUACAAUUUUUCUGCUAGAUUUCUUUCCAAAGAUCCGUUUAAUUCACCUGAGAAGGUGCCAAAAUCUGAGAAGAAUUUCACAGGAGCACACUCAUAAUCAUCUCAAGGAAUUAACAAUUGAUGAUUGCCCUCAAUUUGAAUCAUUUCCUAGUGAAGGAUUAUCUGCACCGUUGCUACAAAAUAAUUGUAAGUCGAGGAGCUGAGAAUUUGAAGCUGUUGCCAAAACGCAUUCAAAUACUGGUGGGAUCCCAGAGGAUGGUCCAGCCAAGCUUACAAGAAGAUGGUCUGCCCAAAUCUGUCUCUUCUCUUACAACUUGGGAAUGUUCAUUGCUCAAACAGAGUUGUCAGAAUCCAGAAGGCGAAGACUGGGGAAAGAUUAAUCACUUUCAGAAACUGAGUGUUAGGUAAUAAGAUGAAGCUAAAGUUCAGAAAAAGAUGUGGAGCAAAUCCCAUUUUUCUGCCUCUUCUACAGGUGCUAAUUAAUUUUCCACAAUAUCCCUCUCCCUUUUCAAUUACAUUUUUCUUAAGUUGCAAAUAUUUCACUCUGUAAUCAGCAUUUACUAAACCUUCAAAAGUAAUGGUAACGUUAUGCAUGUGUUUCAACCCAAAUUUGCAUAGGCAUGAUUGUGUAGCCUGUCACCUGACAUGUAGAUUAGGUAUGUAAAGCUUGUGUAAUUAUUGAACUGUAAAAGGUAUACAUGUGUGUUAAUGGAAGCAACAUUACAAUAUAUUUUAGAUAUAUGAUCUGCAUAUAAAGUCAUCCAGUUUUCCCCAUGGAUGUGUAUAUAUAUAUAUACAUGACAGCAUAAAACAAAACCACUGUCUCCUCAUCAAGUUUCUGCACUGCAGGGAUUUACUUUAUGUCAGGAUAACAAGUGGCAAAUAGAAAUUAUAUUUCACUUUAUUCAUAUUUAUCUUCCAAUAUAUAUAUAUAUGAACGGUUUUGUCAUCUGUUUUAGGAGAAAACUAUAAUCUGUUUCUACCAAUGUGUCAAGAUAUAAUGAAGAGAAAACAAGUAGAGGGGUUUGAAAUUGGAUCAUCAGAGGAUGAGUAACUAAAUAAGUCCAGGCAAACUACUACAUCUGAGAGAGAGAUUGAAGGAAUAGGAAUUGUGACAUGUAAAGGCUUCUAAGCAUCCAUUCUUAGAACUUGAAAUUAUACAUGCUUUUCUUACUGAAUUGUGAAAUAGCAUUCCAGUUGUUUUCUAGCAAUGUACCAUGAUAAUAUAAAGAGAAAAUAAGUACAAGUGAUUGAAAUUCUGUUAUCUGAGGAUGAGUUUUCCAAUACAAUUCCCAGGCAAACUCCUACAUCUAAGAGGGAAAUUGAAAUAAAGGAGGAGUGAAAGGAAAAUACUUUUAAACAUUACUUCAUAGAACAUGUACUGGUUUUCUAGCUGAUUGGGAAAGUGGAAUUGAAAUAGUGAGCAUUGUAACAGCUUAUACUUUUUGCUUUUCCACCUUGGAUUUUCAUUUGUUCAUAAAAUUAGAAGAGGAGAGAUUCAAGUAAGUAACCUGAUUAGUAAAGCUUGAGUACUUGAACCAAACAAAGUACAUGUAUUUGUUAAUGGAAGAAGCUUUAGAUAUUUUACAAUAUAUUUCACUUGAUACUUCAUUUUUCUAACUAAACUGUUUUUCUGAACCUCUUCGUGGGUCUAUUUUCAAGAAAUCUUGUAUAUAUUGAAACUGUCACCUCUUUGACUCUUACAUUAGAGAAAUGAACUCAUGCAAUUCACAAUUUCAACUCAUUGUUGAACUGUCAGAACUUUGUGUAGUUAUUCUCUUCCACCAUGGAUCCUCAAAUUUCCAAUAACUCUUCCACCAAUGAGUCUUUUAUUAUGAUUGAUGUACAACUAAACAUUGAUUUGUGUUAAAAGUCUGUAAUAUACAUUGUUAAAAAAAUUGUAUUCCUACUAAUUAAUAGAAAAUGACUUGGCUUACUGCAACUAAAAAAUUUAAGUCAAUAUGAUAAAUACAUUUUUAUAAAUUAAUUAAAGAUUAGAUGAGAAGUAAACAUACAAGCUUUAAAAAGUAAUUAAACAUUUUUUUGAAUUUUGAAAACAAUAUACAAGUGAAAUUAUAAGUAUUUAAAAAAUCUAGCAAUUAAGAAAACAGUGCAGACGUGAUUGUUUGAAAUUCAGCACAGUAGAUAUUAAAGAAGUAAGACGUUUUCCUUCUUCAUACAUUGUUUCCUAAAUAUAUAUAAAAGCAAAAUUAUUCUCGAAAAACAUGAUUAUUCUCUGAACAUGAUUUUGGAGAGGUCCUUUCUGAGCAUGUUGUAAACUAUAUUAAUAUUAAUAAUAUAAGGUAAUAGUCUAUGCUUAUAAAAGGAAAAAAAUGAAGCAGAACAUGGUGAGAAGAUGUAAUGCAGAAGCUUAAUAGAAAGAAAUGACUUCUGUCUUGUGACCUUAAUUAACUCAAACAAUUACUUAAAGAAUUGAGAUUUGGGAAAGUUACAGAGAUCACUCUUGCUUCUCAUAACCAAAUGCUCUUAAUAUAUAUUGCCUCAGUAUUUCACACAGAAGCUGAGACCUAUCACAGAAGAAUUUCAUUAGUUUUUUAUUCAUACACGCUAAACAUAGCAUAAUAAUAUAAUAUAAAGUCAUACAUCAGCAUUAUUUUAAUUUUAAAAUGAAGAUUUUAUAUUCAAACGAUAAGAUUUUUCUUUUCUUUUCUUGAAGUAAUAUUUUAAAACUUGAAAUACAUAAAAAAAAACUGUUAACAAAUUAUAUAAUUGAUCAAUAUUUAAGGGUAUCUUCUUUCCACAAGUUGAAGCUACAGAGACAGAACAAGAAAAUAAAGACGUAUAAGACACCACUAUUGUCCGACUUUUAUUCAUUAAAUACGUUUGUGAUAUCAUAUCAGAAAAUAAACAAUUAUUUCAUGACUUUGGGGCUAUCGACCUUAUUUGGAUACUCAUUUCCUAGACUCAGGAUUUUAUACAUUCAACAUUGAAUAUAGAACUAAUCGAACAUAAAAUAUGUAUCCAAUGUUUGAAAACCAAACUUCAAUCACUCUUUAUGAUUGGCUGAAUCUUUGAAUGCAACAAAGAAUAGUGGUAUUAAUCUUUUAAGAAAGACUAUAUUGGUUGAGUAGCCAUCAAAGAAAACUAUGUUCUAAAAUACUUUACUACUCAUCCUAUCAACACAUACUGCAGUUCAACACAUCCUUAGUCUCAUUUUCCAAUUCCUACCAUGGCAGCAGAAGUUGUUGGUGGUGCUCUUCUUUCGGCUUUUCUUCAGGUUGCAUUCGAUAGGCUCGCUUCUCCUCAAUUUCUACACUUCUUUCGUGGAAGAAAACUUGAUGAGAAACUGCUAGCCAAUUUGAACAUCAUGCUGCACUCCAUCAAUGCUCUCGCUGAUAAUGCUGAACUAAGGCAGUUCAAAGAUCCACACGUCAAAGCAUGGCUUUUUGCAGUCAAAGAAGUUGUCUUUGAUGCAGAGGAUCUUUUGGAUGAAAUAGACUAUGAACUCACCAGAUGCCAAGUGGAAGCUGAAUCUGAACCACAAACCAUCACUCACAAGGUAUCAAACUUCUUCAAUGCUACUUUCAGUUCUUUUAACAAGAAAAUUGACUCAGGGUUGAAAGAAGUGCUAGAAAAAUUAGAAUAUCUUGCAAGGCAAAAGGGUGCUCUUGGUUUGAAAGAGUGUACGUAUUCUGGUGAUGGAUCAGGUAGUAAAGUGCCACAGAAAUUGCCAUCAUCUUCUUUGGUGAUUGAAGGUGUUAUUUAUGGCAGAGAUGCUGAUAAAGAUAUAAUCAUUAAUUGGCUCACAUCUGAAACCGACAAUCCUAACCAGCCAUCAAUACUUUCCAUUGUGGGAAUGGGUGGGUUAGGCAAGACCACACUUGCCCAACAUGUGUACAAUGACCCAAAGAUUGAAGAUGCUACAUUUGAUAGCAAAGCUUGGGUCUGUAUUUCAGAUCAUUUUAAUGUUUUGACUGUGACAAGAACAAUUCUUGAGUCAGUCACUCAUAAAAAACAUGAUAGUGAAAAUCUAGAAAUGAUUCACAAAAACCUUAAGGAAAAAUUGUCAGGAAAGAAAUUUUUUCUUGUUUUGGAUGAUGUUUGGAACGAAAGACUAGAAGAAUGGGAAGUUGUGCAAACUCCUCUUAGUUAUGGAGCUCCAGGAAGUAGAAUUCUUGUCACAACUCGUGGUGAGAAAGUUGCUUCUAUCAUGAGGUCUAAAGUGCAUCACCUAAAGCAAUUAGAAGAGAAUGAAAGCUGGAAAGUUUUUGAAAAUCAUGCAUUAAAAGAUGGUGAUCUUGAAUUUAGCGAUGAGCUAGAGCAUAUUGGUAGAAGGGUAGUUAAGAAGUGCAAGGGAUUACCUUUAGCUUUGAAAACAAUUGGAUGUCUUUUACGCACAAAGUCAUCCAUUUCAAAUUGGAAAAGCAUAUUGGAAAGUGACAUAUGGGAAUUACCAAAAGAAGACAGUGAAAUCAUCCCGGCGCUAUUUCUAAGUUAUCACUACCUUCCUUCUCAUCUUAAAAGGUGCUUUGCUUAUUGUUCCUUAUUCCCCAAAGAUUAUGAGUUUGUGAAGGAGGAGUUAAUUUUGUUGUGGAUGGCCCAAAAUUUUCUACAGUGUCCACAACAGAUUAGACAUCCAGAAGAAGUUGGUGAACAGUACUUCAAUGAUCUAUUGUCAAGGUCUUUCUUUCAACCAUCAAACGUCAAAAGGCAUUUCAUCAUGCAUGACCUUCUGAAUGAGUUGGCAAAAUAUAUUUGUGCAGAUUUCUGUUUCAGGUUGAAAUUUGAUAAAGGUCAAUGCAUACCGAAAAUAACCCGUCAUUUUUCAUUUAAAUUCUAUGACAUAGAAAAAUUUGAUGGUUUAGAGAGUUUAACUUAUGCUAAAAGACUGCGGUCAUUUCUUCCACUUACAAAAUAUAGGACUCUUGAGCUUGGCCAUUCUCCACGAAUAUCCAAGAUUGUGAUUACAACUAUUAUAAGAGCUUUCAAUCAGUAUCCAUGGCAGUUCAAGAUAUCAAUACAUGAUUUGUUCUCCAAAAUUAAGUUCAUACGCGUCUUAUCUUUUAAUGGUUGUUUGGACCUUAAAGAGGUCCCAAAUUCUGUAGGUGAUCUUAAAUAUCUCUAUUCGUUAGAUCUUUCGUAUACUGAAAUAAAAAAACUACCUGACUCAGUAUGUUUGCUCUAUAACUUGCUAAUAUUGAAGUUGAACAAUUGUUCAAAGUUGGAAGAGUUACCCUUAAAUUUGCAUAAACUUACCAAAUUGCGUUGCCUGGAAUUUGAAGAUACAAAAGUGAGAAAAAUGCCAAUGCAUUUUGAGGAAUUGAAGAAUCUUCAAGUACUUAGUACAUUUUUCAUGGAUAGAAAUAGUGAGCUAUGUACUAUGCAACUGGGAGGACUCAAUCUUCAUGGAAUGCUAUCAAUGAAAGAGUUGCAGAAUAUUUUGAAUCCUUUGUAUGCAUUAGAAGCAAAUUUGAAAAAUAAACACCUUGUGAAACUAAAGUUAGAAUGGAAGUCCGACUACAUCCCUGAUGAUCCAAGGAAAGAAAAGGAAGUACUUGAGAAUCUACAACCUUCCAAACAAUUGGAGGGUUUGUCAAUCAGAAGCUACGGUGGUACACAAUUCCCAAGUUGGUUAUUCAAUAAUUCGUUAUCAAAUUUGGUGUUUUUAGUGUUGGAGGAUUGUAAAUAUUGCCUAUGUUUGCCUCCUCUUGGACUUUUGUCAUCUCUGAAAACCCUCAAAAUUAGAGGGCUUAAUGGAAUAGUGAGCAUUGGUGCUGAAUUUUAUGGGAGCAACUCUUCAUUUGCAUCCUUGGAGAGAUUGGAAUUCUACAGCAUGAAGGAAUGGGAAGAAUGGGAAUGUAAAACCACUUCUUUCCCACGUCUUCAACAUCUUGAUGUGGUUGAAUGUCCAAAGCUGAAAGGUCUGUCAGAGCAACUCCUACAUUUGAAGACACUGGAUAUUAAUCACUGUGAUAAGGUCGUCAUUAGCGGAAACAACAUGUACACAUUGUCGCUUGAACUCAUGAGGCUUUAUUCAUGUCCACUUGUGAAUAUUCCCAUGACAACCCAUUACUAUUUCCUUAAAGAAAUGCAUAUUGGUGGUUGGGACUCUCUUGCAAUCUUUCCACUAGAUUUCUUUCCAAAGCUCUGUUCACUUGAAAUGAAAGGGUGCCAAAACCUAAGAAAAAUCUCACACAAGGACACUCAUAAUCAUCUCAAGGAACUAGAAAUUGUUGAUUGCCCUCAAUUUAAAUCAUUCCUGGUUGAAGGAUUAUCUGCACUAGGAGCUGAGAAUUUGACGUUUUUGCCAAAACCCAUGCAAGUCUUGUUUCCAUCCCUUACUAUGCUGUGGAUAAUUAACUGUCCAGAAGUGGAGAUGUUCACAGGUGGAGGUUUUCCAUUAAAUGUAAAAUAUGUUUGUCUUUCAAGUUUAAAACUUAUCGCCUCCCUGAGAGAGGCUUUGGAUGCAAACACAUGUCUUGAAACCUUGAUUAUUAGACACUUGGACGUGGAGUGUUUUCCUGAUGAAGUUUUGCUGCCACACUCUCUAUCCUAUUUAGAAAUCUAUGGUUGCCGAAAUCUUAAAAAGAUGGAGUACAAAGGUCUCCGCCACCUCACCUCUCUCGUACUUUUUGAUUGUCCCAGCCUUGAAUGCUUACCGGAGGAGGGUCUGCCCAAAUCCAUCUCUUCUCUUUCAAUCAUUGGUUGUCCACUGCUGAAGAAGCGUUGUCAGAAUCCAGAUGGCAAAGACUGGGGAAAGAUUGCUCACAUCCCAAAACUGUUUGUUGAGUAAUAAGAUGAGGCACAAGUUCAAAAUUAGAGUUGCAGCUAUUUCCAUUUGUUUGCCACUUCAACAGGUGCCAAUUCUCCACAAUAUCUCUUUACCUUUUCAAUUACAAUUUUCUUAGUUGCAAACAGUAACCCUAUAAUUAUUGCCAUUUUCCAAACAAUAGCAGCAUACAUUAUACUUCAACUUGAUUUUUAAAUUAAUAAUAUAAUUGGAAGCCAAGAUCCUUACUUCUUUACCUGACUUCUCAGCUUUCUGAACAGAGUUCUUAGUGAUAUUCUUCAUGACCCCUCAUUCUGUCUUGAAUAAGAGAUGAUGACAUAAUGUUUAAUAGAGUACUUCAGCUUCUAUUUUCAACAAAGUUUGGUCUGGCUUCUCACUCAAACAAAAUUACAGUAUGAGUUUCAAUCUUUUGGUUUCUCCUUCCUUUCACCUCUCUAUCUGUCCAUUCAACUAAUUUUAUCUUAUGUAAAGAAAAAAAUUAAAUUACGGCUUUGUUGUAGUUUCUGGGAUGAUACGAAUUGUAUUUAUGGGGAUGUUUUCCUUUUGCAGAAUAAUAUGUAAAUGGAAAGACUCUGAUAUAUGUAAAGGGAUGCUGUUGGAGUGAGUUUUCUUGGUAUGGUUAUUGCUGCAUAGCAAUUCUGAUGGCUUAGGUGCUUAAAAAGUGCUAUGGUGAAGGUCUGGAUGGUGACGGCAAUGAUGUUGAAGUGUGCUGUUUGGCAAGUAAUUUGCUGCAUAAUAUGUUUGCUGCCACAUACACUUUUUAAUGCUUUUCUGUGCUGCUGGUGCGUCCUUUGCAUGCUGCUCCUAGUGGCUUUUAGACAAAUGCAUUGUUCCUUUUCAGGCUUUUUCAUUGCAGGAUGGGUGUAGGUUUUUUUGUAAGAGCUGAUGCAGACUUGUUUAUCUAGUUUUGGCUCUGGAAAUAUGUAUAUUAAGCCAUAGAAUGUUUGUUUUUGUUCUAAGCCAUAAGGGGAGUAACCUUGUGGUUAUAUAUAUGGGUUGGGAUACCCCUAAAGUAUUCUGUUAAUUUAGAUAAAAAAAAAUAUAUAUAUGUAAAGGGAAGCCUUCAGCUUUUGGACUCACCCAGUUGUGAAAAUUCCCAUGAUCCAUUAUGACUUCCUUCAUGAAAUAGUGAUUGAUGGUUGUGACUUGAAUAUUCAGAAAGUGGAUGUUGACACUAAAAAUUGUGAAGUGAAGAAUUUCUAGCAAGUGCCAUUUAUUCUCGAAAGAUUACUCUGUAGUUGGAAGGUAUAGUUCCAUCCAUCACCAUCCUUUAGCUUGGUAUUCCAGAAAAUUUAUUUUCUUGUCCACACUUAUCCAUCUUUCUUCUUAAUCCAUGCUUGCUUGGUGCGUUAAAUUAAUAAAGUUUCUGACAAAAAAAAACAAACUUAACAGAAUGCAGUUAUUCACACCAGUUCUCAUGUUCUUGGUUCUUUUUUAAAGAAAAUACAGAUUCAUGAUAUAUUGAAAAUCCUGUCCAUGAUAAAAUGAAGCUAGGGGUAUUGACUGGAGACAAGAUGAAAGAAACAGCUGAGAACAUUGGGUACAUUAACAAUGGCUUGUUCUGAAUAAUCUUUCUCUUUUAUUUUCUUCUUUUCUUUGAUAAAACCUUUUUCUGGAAUAAAAGUUUAAAGAUUCUCAGCAGCAACAAGGUCCAUAAUAUGCUUAUCCAAUCUCCAAUCCAAUGCUAAUGUAUCGAUGAUGUGUUGACUUAUCUUUUGUUAGGUUUUGAUUUUAAAUUCAUGAUUUAAUUGGAAGACAAGAAGCUUUACUAAUCAAUCAUUCAUACUAUUUUUUUUACAGUAUCCUUUUUUAUAUCUGGAGGGAGUAGAAGAGACCCUCUUUAGAGAUCUUACUCUUGAUCACUAUUUCUGUCUUGAAUCAAGCCUUCACAAGAGAUGGUAAAGUGUUGUGUGGACUGUGAUGUUAUAAGGCUUUCCAAAGUCUGUUUCUACCAAUGUGCCAAGAUAUGAUAAAGAGAAAACAAGUAAAAGGAUUUGAAAUUGGAUUAUCAGAGGAUGAGUUACCUAAACAAAUUCAGGGCAAACUACAAUAUCUGAUAGAGAGAUAGAAGCAAUGGGAGUUGUGAAAUGUAAAUGCUUUUAAGCAUCCAUUCUUAGAACUUGAAACUAUACAUGCUUUUCUUACUGAGUUAUGAAAUAGCAUUCCAGUUGUUUUAUAGCAAUGUACCAUGAUAUUAUAAAGAGAAAAUAAGUACAAGUGAUUGAAAUUCUGUUAUCUGAGGAUGAGUUUUCCAAUACAAUUCCCAGGCAAACUCCUACAUCUAAGAGGGAAAUUGAAAUAAAGGAGUGAAAGGAAAAUACUUUUAAACAUUAAUUCAUAGAACAUGUAUUGGUUUUCUAGCUGAUUGGGAAAGUGGAAUUGAAAUAGUGAGCAUUGCUAACAGCUUUUACGUUUUGCUUUUCCACCUUGGAUUUCCAUUUGUUCAUAAAAUUAGCAGAGGAGAGAUUUCAGUAAGUAACCUGAUUAGUAAAGCUUGAGUACUUGGACCAAACAAGGCACAUGUAUUUGUUAAUGGAAGAAGCUUUAGAUAUUUUACAAUAUAGUUUACCUGUGGCAGCAUAAAACAAAACCAAUUUAUCCUCGUCCACAGUGAACUAUUAUUGAUUAGUUCAGUGAACUAGUUAUGUACUAAAAAAUUGAAGACUUCUAAACUUCAUUUUUCUGAACCUCUUCGUGGGUCUAUUUGCUUCUGAACCUCUAGCAGAAACAAAAGGUAGAUGAAAUUAAAAAAUAAAGAUUUGAAGCCAUAUAUAAAAUGUGAAUGAAAGAAAUUCAAGAUCACCAUCCAUUCCACUUCUUAAGCUUAGAUAUCAAUCCCUUCCUCACACAGAGGAUCAAAAGGAAACUGGUGCCAAGAUGGUUGGACAAAGUGCAACUGUUAAUUGAAUCUAUGGGUGGUUCUGAGUGCUGCGUGUGGUUUGAGACUGAAUGGUUGUAUUGUGAUCAUUGACACAUUUACACAUUUAACUGUUCAAAAUUUCAUCCACAUGAUUCAUGACUGUUAUAUUAAAAAGUUGAAUAAAUGAUUUCUUUCGUAAGGCUUCCAUUAGAGAGAAGAAAUUGAACACAUAUUAACCGUUCGAUCCAUACAUAAUAUAAUAUAGUUCACCACGUUUUCAAGUUCCAAGAAUGGAUGCUUAGAAGCAUUUACAUUUCAAAACUCCCAUUGCUUCAAUCUCUCUAUCAGAUGUACUAGUUUUCCCUGGACUUGUUUAGGUAACUCAUCUCUUAUAAUCCAAUUUCAAACCCUUCUACUUUCUCUUCAUCAUAUCUUGACACAUUAGUAGAAACAGACUUUGGAAAGACUUAUAAUAUCACAGGCCACACAACACACUGUGACCAUAAGUAUUUCAAAAACAGCCACCUUACCCUCUCUUCUGAAGGCUUCAUUCAAGACAGAAAUAGUGGUAAAGAGUAAGAUCUCUAAAGAGGGUCUCCUCUCUUCUACUGAUACUGUAAAAAAAAGAUAGUAUGAUUGAUUAAAAUAAACUUCCAAUAAACUCUUCAAAAUACUUCCUUGGUUAGAAUUAAAAUCCUCAAUUCCUUCAUUUGUUAUGAAUAACGUUAAGCUUUUUAAAGGCAGAUAAAAUCAUAGAUCACGUAGGUAAAAUCUUUAGGAUUUCCAAUUCAAUCCUGGGAGAUCAAGUAGAGAAAAUAAUUCAAAUAUCCAACACCAUUCAGUCCAACAAUAGAGACAAAACUCAUCGAGAAAUAAGGAUAUCCUGAUUUGCAGCCGUUUUAAACUCUUUUUAGGAUUUAAGUCCAGAAACUCGAAUUGCUGAACCGUGGUCACAACCCUUCUCAUCCGUGUGAUUAUAGGCACUGAUUCCGCGAAAAUAGCCACGACAAUCCAAUAAAAAACAGAAAAUCUAAAGUGUAGCCGAUAACGAAUAAAUGCAUAACAAAAUUCAAAACACAAAGCUUCACUGUAUCACGUGUGCUAGAAUGCCUACGUUCUACCCGUGAAAGUUGGGAAAAUUGUUUAUUUUUAAACAAAAAUAACCCAUUUCAUUAUUAAAAAAAUUUAAUAACAAAGAUGUAUUUGGAAAGUAAAAUUUAACAAUUUAAAAAAAAAAAAUUAAAACUCUUUCACAACCAUCAUAUCACUCACAAAUUCUCAUAAAUUUUUCUCACAUAUUCACUCUAAAAUACUCCAAUUCAAACAAUCUCACUUUUUCCACACUUUAUUCUCACAUCCUCACACAUCCACUUCCUCAAAUUUUCACACAUCCACUCUCUCAAAUUUUCACACAUCCAAGUAAGUCAUUUUAAGCGAUUUGAUACGUUGAGAGCCAAGAGUUGUUACUAUAAGAAAGUGAAGCAUCCAAUCACACUUUGUAUUCUCAACCAUGGCGGAUAUCAUCAGCAAUUUUCCAGAUUCAAUCCUUUGUUACAUUCUCUCUUUUCUCCCAACCAAACAAGUUGUUACAACCAGUAUUCUCUCCAUGCACUGGAACCUUCUAUGGCGUUCAGUUCCUUCUUUGGAUUUCGACGUGGAUACAAUGAGUAUAGAUUAUGACAAAGAAAAAGAGGGCAUCUCUCGCCUUCUUCUCUCAGUGAACUCUUUUCUACGUGGACGCGAUAUGGACCAACUCCUUCAUAGAUUUCGUCUUAGAUGUCCCUGUUUAUAUAAUCAAAAUAGUAUCGAGACAUGCAUUGAGGAUGUUUUGAGAAAAAGUGCUAGACUUCAACACCUCGACCUCGACCUGGGUUUUGUCACUGCGGUGCCCUCUGUGGUGUUUAUAUGCAAAACUCUUGUAGUUCUCAAAUUGGCAUUCGUAUCACCGAAAAAUGUUUCUUUUGUAGAUUUGCCCUUGCUUAAAAUCUUGCAUUUGAAUUCUGUUAGCUUCUUAGACUGUGAAUAUCUUCUUCAACAGUUUCUUUCUGGGAGUCCUAAUAUAGAGGACUUGGAAGUCGAGACUUUUAAUAAUUUUACUAUAAAAGAAUUCCACAGUUUGCCCAAGUUGGUCAGAGCUAAAAUCGAUGCACCAGCUGUACUUCCAUUGGAAAUUAUUAAGAACGUUGAAGUUUUUGUGACAAAUAGGGUAUGCCUGUAAAAUUUGUUUCUUAUUUACUUUCUAUUUGUAUGGGAAAAAAAUGUGAUUUCUGAUGUUUUUUACAUUAUUUUGUAUCUCUUGCAGAUAUAUAAUCAAGACCUGGUUUUUGAUUUUCAAAAUUUAGUUCAACUUGAGUUUGUUACUUGGGAGGAUAGUGAGGGAUGGCUUGAUGUCUUGAAGGUGUUCAGGCAUUGUCCAAAGCUUCAAACUCUUUUCAUUCGCAUUAAAGACGAUGAAGAAGAUCCAGUUUUGCCAUACCCACUUACUGUUCCUACCUGCAUUUCAUUACACCUUAAAACCUGUUGUCUUCAAUACUACAGGGGUUCUGAAUUUGAGUUUCAAUUUGCGGAAUAUAUUAUGCUGAAUGCAAAUUAUUUACGCACCAUGAAAUUCCUCAUUCGCAGUGAUGAUUAUAGUAAUCUUUUGAGAAGACAUGAUAUGAUAAGAGAUUUAUCAUCAUGCAGUAAGAGUUCAGAUGCUUGUACACUUUCAUUUGAAAAGUAUGUUUGACUUUUAUAUUUGUGAAUGUUUAUCAAAUUAAUCUACUUUUCUUCUUCGCAUGUUUCUAAAUUUAGUUUAGUUUCUGUUUCAUAUUUUUCUUACCGAUUAGAGGAUGAUAUCAUGGUUUUGUGCUUUUAAUUCUUGAAUAGUUUAAAUUUUAUGAAAAAAUGUAAAAGAAAAUCAUUGCAAAGACUCGUAAUUCAGUAUUGGUAUGAAAGUAUUUACCUACCAUCACUCAAUUAUAAAGAUAUAAAUUUUACUAAUAUUCUCAAGUUAGAAUUAGAAUAUAUCUUAAUACAAUUGCUGCGAUGGAUCUGUGAUGAAGAGCCAUGUGUGAAGAAUGAUGAAAACACCUCAGCAAUCGAAAAGAAAAGCACACAACACUGUGAAACGAUCUCCAUAAACAGAGAAAGAAAAAGAGCACGAACAGAAGAACCUACAGAAAAGGGAAAGUGAAGAACGAAGAUGAUGCAAGUUUUUUGUUAAAGAGGCACCAAACAAAGAACUUUGCAAAACACCUCAUAUCUUAGAGUAACUUCCCUCCCAUACAAGGACGUUAGGUGAAUACAAGGAAGGGUAUUCUGGUGCUUUAUCCGGGUGUGCUCCUGCAUGGAAUCCAUGAUCCUUCUUCCGCUUUCCUGCUGCAUUCCCAAACUGCUGGUACAUGUUGUAUUCUUUUGCAGGUUUUACGCUCUAGAGUUGCUACACAUUUUUUAGAAGGAAGUACUGUUAUCAUAUGGUUCUGUUUUGGUUUGUAGAGGAAAAUAGGGUCUGUUAGUUUUAGUUUGGUGGUGCGCUUUUGUCAGCAGCUGUUUAAGCGAGCGUUAGUCCUGUGCCUAAGGUUUUAGUUGUAUUCUGCUUGUAACCUUGGGUGUUUGCGUGGUAAACCCUGCAUUGUGCCUUUAUGUGUACGCUGUGCUAGUUGGUAUAAGGGUUGGGACACCGGUAUAAGGGUUGGGACACCCUAAAGUGUCCCGUUCUAAUUUACUUUAUUCUUUGCUGAUAAAAAAAAAUAAAAUUCCUCCCAUAUUUCUAACAACCUGUAUUCUAUAAUUUCAUAAUCAAAUUUGACAAUAAAACCAUAAUCUUCAGAUCUGCACCACUUCCACUUAUCAUCCUUCAAGUCUUCCUUCACAAGGGUGUAUCCUUGUGAUUGUGUUUAUGGGUUGGGUUACCUUGAAGUAACCCUUAAUUUAAUUUAUUCAUUGCUGAUAAAAAAAAAAUCUUUCAAGUUUUCCUUCAAAUAUUAUAAAGUGGACUUUAAGUAUAACUUAACCCCAUAAAACCGACUAAUGAGUUGAGGUUGAGGUGAAGUUUGCACCCACUUAUAUACAAUGAAAUAUUAUCAUCUCUUGUCAAUGGGCACAAUUGUCUCAUUUUUUACAUCAAUUGAAACAAACUUACCUGGUUGAGGAUAGAGGUCCAACUCAUAAUGUACAGUUGAUGCACGCGUGGACACAUGACACUCAAGUCAAAGGUUGACCUGGUUAGCAAGACUAACCCAUAGUUAAGGGAUGACCUAAUCCAACCCUAAUCACAAACCAACUCCUUAAUCUGGUCCAACAGCAAGGGCCCAUCAAGGUAAUAUAAAUAUCACGCACUCCAAGGAAAAGGUACGUCAUUAUGAAUAGUAUUCUGACAGCCGAAUACGACACCACACUGACUUGAGCGUUGGAGUGUCAUCUGUAGGUACCCACCCGUCUGAGAAACCACUCGACGAGAAAGACCGAAGAAGGAGCGUUGAACACGUGAAGACCGACCGAAUAGCAUCUGGAGUCAAUAGUUUUCCCAGUCUCCAAACUAGUUCCAGAACAGAAUCAGUUCUUAAAAACCUCUUAGAUGGAUAACAAUUAGAAUACUACAACACAUAAACAAUUAGUAUACACAAUAGGUAAUGAGCAAUAACAAAUUUUACACCUAAAUAAAAGAUAUUAAUCUAACUUAAUUCUUGACCAGAAACAAUCAGAAUCUGGAUUCUUUUGUAUAACAAUUGAAAAUCUGUUCACAAGUUAAUUAACCAUUUAAAAUUGCAUGAGCUGUAACUAAGAUCAUAUAAUUAAAACCUAAAUCUUACAAGUCUUUGCUAAUAGAACAUAAAAUUUAAGAUCAUGAAUCUUAAAAAAAAAUAUCUUUUUCAAUUUUAAAAACUUCAACAACCAAAUAAUAUAUUAAUUAGAGUUUAAGUCUUAUUAAUUUUUUUUCAAUUGAAGAAAAAUGACAAAGAUGCUUUAAAAAGUAAUGUAGUAUAAUAAGACCAAAAAGUAGUGUAAAUGAAACCUAAACAAAAAUAUUUUAAGGACCAAAACAGAAAAAAAAAACUAUUAAGGAACAUAAACAACCUCAACUUCAAUAUAAUAGAAAUCAUAUUUAAUACAAGCAUUAAGACUGCAUUGAGAAGAAGUGGUAGACUUGAAACCUUGAUAUCAAUCUGGAAUGGUUUGUUGAGCUGCCCUCUGCGGUGUUUAGCUGCAAAACUCUUGUAGUUCUCAAGUUGUCCACCAUAUCACUGAAAAAUAUUUCUUUAGUUGAUUUGCCCUUGCUUAAAAUCUUGCAUUUGAAAUCUACUUCAUUUAAAUGUGAAGAUCUUCAACGUUUUCUUUCUGGGUGUCCAAAUGUAGAGGACUUGGAAGUCGGGUCUGGUUUAACCCAGAGAUCGGCUGCUAAUACUGCAGAAAAGUUCAAGAAACUUCCUAAAUUGAUAAGGGCUAACAUCCAUACACAUUUAGUUUCAUUGGAAUUUGUUAAGAAUGUUGAAGUUUUGGUCACAGAUAGGGUAAUGCGUGUAAACUUUCUUUCUUAGUUACUUUUCAUUUCUAUGGAAAUUCUAAUGUUUUGAUAUUAUUUUGUAUUUCUUGCAGAUAUAUAAAGAAGACCUUGUAUUUGAUUUUCAGAAUUUACUUCAACUUGAGUUGACCAGUUUCAUGCAUAGUAUGAAAUGGUUUGAGUUCUUUGAAUUGCUCAAGCAUUGUCCAAAACUCAAAGCUCUUUUCAUUGACUUUGAUGAGGUUUAAUAAUUUAAGUUUUUCGAGUAUGAUUCUUCUUGUUAUCUUUUCUUAAAACAUUAGGAUUAAUGUAGUUUUAUAAUUGUUUUUAACAGGAGAAGGAUGUAGUUGCGGAAGGCGAUAAAGAAGCACUUUUUCCAUGCCCCGAUACUGUUCCCACAUGCAUUUCAUUACACCUUAAAACCUGUCGUCUUAACAAUUUCAGGGGUUCCGUAGUUGAUCUUCAGUUUGCAGAAUAUAUUAUGAAGAAAGCAAAUUAUUUACAGACCAUGAAAUUCAGCUUUCACCUUUAUGAUUGUAAUUCUUCUUUGAGAAGACAAGAAUUGACGACAUAUAUCUCCUCAUGCAUGAAGAAGAGUUCUGAUACUUGUACGCUUUCAUUUGAGUAUUUAAUGCCUGAGCCUGACCUCUCUUUCUUUUGAGUAUUUAAGGUCUGUAAUAGUGAUGGUUUAUUUUUGUUUGUAUUUCAUGUAGUAACUGCAAGAAUGUAGUUUUCUUUAUCAAAUGAAUCUACUUUUUUUUCAUUUAAUCAAAGUUUGCUGCACGUUACCGGUUUUGUGUUGUUUUAGUAUAAUUUGUUUAAGAUAUGUUCCUAGGUAUGUAAAUUAUAAAAAAUUAGAUGGUACUAAAAUUAGAGGAAGACAUAAUAAAAAGUAUAUUUAUGAACUACUUGUCUAACUGAAUCAAGUUAUAUAUUUAAAUUAUUAUUGUUCUUUUUCACAUAUUUUUGCUAUUAUUUUUCUCACGACAAACAUUCUUAGUUUAUUUCUGUUGUGACAUUAAAUAUCCAAGUCCACUAAAAAGAAGAUGCAGUGGUAGCUUCCAGAAGUGGCGAUAUUAAUAUAAGGGGAACCACCUGCCCUAGUUGCAAGUGCAAACAUCUUGAUAGGUGUUGCAUAAGGGUGGCAGAAUCUUUAACCAGAAAUGGUCUAUAUUUCAGUGAUCAAGGCUUUAGUCUCAAUUAGAAGUAUUAGUCUUAAAAUGUACUGAUAUUUACUGAUAGAUUGACUAGGUUGGUUUGGUUGCCAUAGAAUUCCAAUGUGAUCCUACUUUUCUGUCAUUGUAAACAGUGAAAUCUUUUAACUAUGAUGCAUUUGUAACUAAUAAUUGGUAUGCCAAUUGGUAAUUAGCAAUAACAAAUAUGGGGUUUAAUGCAACAUUUUUGGCUAAAUGGAUUUGGAGAAAGGGAUCGGAAAGCAGAGUGAUAUUUUGGAGUCUAAAUAUGGAGUUUGAAGAAAUUUAUAGAAAAUUUAUCUGUUACAAAAGGAGUCUUAUUAUAUGAAAAGUUUUCGCACGUGUUAACACAUGAUAAAUUCAUAAAAAAUAAAUUAACAAAAAAUGGAAACUUUACAUGGCAUGAAAACAUGGAGUGUUUACAUGGAAGGUGUGCAAACGAAGAGAAGGGAAGUAUGCAUGGCAUGAAAAGUCAUGACUGUCACGUUUUCAUGGAGUGUUUACUCCCAAUAUGUUUUCGGUCAUUGCCAGAGUUUGUGUGGAGUGCCCUUGCUGAAUUAAGUCGAUUCUUUAAAGAUCUAUGUUCUAAUACAUUGAGGAUGAAUGAUCUUGUCAGAAUGAAAGAAAACAUACCAAUCAUCUUAUGUAAGUUAGAACGAAUAUUUCCACCAGCUUUCUUUGAUUCAAUGGAACACCUUGUCGUUCAUCUUCCUAUGGAAGCAAUACUUGGUGGUCCUGUUCAGUAUCGUUGGAUGUAUCCCUUUGAAAGGUAAAGAUUAUGUUAAUUAUUUUAAUGUUUAAGAACAUGUGCAACUUAUAAUAAUUACUACUUUGCUUUAGGAUGAUGGGAGAUGCAAAGAAAUCGGUGGGUAAUUUGGCACGAGUAGAAGGAUCAAUAUGUGCAUUCUACCUACAUCGUGAGAUAACAUAUUNNNNNNNNNNNNNNNNNNNNNNNNNNNNNNNNNNNNNNNNNNNNNNNNNNNNNNNNNNNNNNNNNNNNNNNNNNNNNNNNNNNNNNNNNNNNNNNNNNNNUAGACCUGGGAAACAUCCAUUAUUCUGGUAUUUUACCAUCAUCUGAUCCUGGUAGUCCAUAUAUUUCAUCCCAUUCCUCGACACCAUCUUCUAGCCCGUCUUCCUCCAUCCCCUCGUCCUCUGGGCAUGGAGAAUUUCGGCAUGCUUAUCCACACCCCACUAUAUCACCUCGUCCUCUUAGUAUUCCAGUACCACCACGACCAUCAUCCUCUGCUCCGACUUACCAUCAGAGUGUCCCUGAACCACUCCACCAGACUCAGAGUUUUCCACUCCACCCUACCUCUGGUACAUUUGUGCAGCCCACCCCUGGUACAUUUGUGCAGACUACUCCUUAUCCCAUUGUCCACACCACAUCUUCUUCAGCUGUCCCGACUACUACUGGCUCUGUGCAAGGCCUCUCUAACCAUGUUGACCAUGGUGCCACUGCUGCUUCAGNNNNNNNNNNNNNNNNNNNNNNNNNNNNNNNNNNNNNNNNNNNNNNNNNNNNNNNNNNNNNNNNNNNNNNNNNNNNNNNNNNNNNNNNNNNNNNNNNNNNUUUAUAAAUGAGGAAGACCCGCACACAUUGUCGAUUUUGAAUAAAUGUGGACGCCCUAGUGGUUCUAGCAAGGACUAUUGGUUAAGUGAUAAAGAACAUCGUUUUGCCCAUGUUCAUGUCCUCAUCAAUUGCGAUGAGGUCAAACCAUUUCUUGAGUAAGUUUAAUUGUACAUGAUUUGAAUUAAAUUAUUGUAGGUUGUGUAAUUCGCUAACUAAUUGUAAUCAAUAUUUAAAGAUUGUUCUUACAAGUGUACUCAAUCAAUGAUGAAGAUGCUUCGACAGUUAUACAUGCUAAUUUUCCCGAAUGGUUCAAGAGCUACGUAAGUGUAACCUAAACCCAUAUGUGUUUCUUAUUAAAUCACACUUUCAUAAAUAAAUGUCAUGUUUUCUUAUGACUAAAACAUAGGUUCACGAUGAAAGGAAUGUAAUAAACCCAAACUUGAAGGGACUUUCUUGGGGACCUAAUUCAAAGACAACAUCAUGGAACAUCUACUUCGUUAAUGGAUAUAAAUUUCAUACAAAGGCAUGGGCUGAUGGUAAGAAAACAACAAAUAGUGGGUUGUAUGUUAAAGGUGUCACUGGUGGAGGAGAAGAUGACUUUUAUGGUACAAUUCAUCAUAUAUAUGAAUUGGAGUAUGUUGCUCUCAAUAAGAAGGUCCCGCUUUUCUAUUGUGAAUGGUUUGAUCCUACAAUUAAUGUUGGGACUAGAUUUCAUUCACAAUAUAAUUUAGUUGAAAUCAAGUUAAGUGGCAGAUAUGGACCGUAUGAUCCAUUCAUUCUUCCGCAAAAGGUCAAACAAGUUUAUUAUCUCACUUUUUCAAACAUAUGUAAAAACCUUNNNNNNNNNNNNNNNNNNNNNNNNNNNNNNNNNNNNNNNNNNNNNNNNNNNNNNNNNNNNNNNNNNNNNNNNNNNNNNNNNNNNNNNNNNNNNNNNNNNNCUCCCCCCUAAGGUCGCCUUCAAUUUGGAAGCACGGUAGGGUCAUCAUCCGACUUCUUGGAAGAGGGUAAGUCAUCCUAAAUGUACAUUUAAUUUUAUCUUUAUAUUACUAUGUUUGUAAUUUUAUUUGUUUGUAUUUGUAGUUGGACACCAAAUCAUUUUGCUAGUGAGGCCAUUGGACAUUGCAUUCGAUCUCAAUUUAGAGGUCCAUAUCAUCAUUAUGAUGUCAUGCCUGAGGAGGACAAACUAAAAUGGUGGACUGACUUUCAGGUAAUUUUAAUUUUUGACAAACUACAGUCACUUGUUUUCUUGUUUUUCUUGUGGACUCAAAGUAACUAUUUUCUUCUUUUUAACAGACUAGAGUCACUUGGGCACCCCAUGAUGAAUGCCAAAUUAAAAAGGUCUACGAGUCUAAAGUCAAAAAAAGACUUUGUGAUAUGUUGACUAAGGCUAGGAGAAAGGCUGUCCGCCCUAUUUGGAUAGGUCAGCAAGCAUGGGUUGAACUUCUAAACUAUUGGGAUUCACAAAAAUUCAAAGAUAAAUCAACUCAAAAUAAAGCCAAUAGGAGUUCAGCUCGUGGUGGAGCACUGCACUCCACAGGUAGAAAAUCACAUUCAGAUAUUGCAGUUACCUUGGUAAGUACUUGUCAAUGCCUUACAUGAAAAUCAUUUUACAUUUGCAACCUAUAAUGCUUUUAAUUGUACAACAUUAUUAGGAACGUCAAUAUGGCCGUCCUCCAGAACCUGAUGAACNNNNNNNNNNNNNNNNNNNNNNNNNNNNNNNNNNNNNNNNNNNNNNNNNNNNNNNNNNNNNNNNNNNNNNNNNNNNNNNNNNNNNNNNNNNNNNNNNNNNCCACCCACACAAAUAAGAAGGGUGAAUGGGUUGAUUCUCGUGCUCGAGAAACUUAUGUAAGUUAUUCUUUUAAAUUGUUUUAUAUUUAUAUUUUAAUUUUCUAACAUUUUCAUUUUGUAAUGAUCUGUGUAGGAAAAGUAUCAUGAGCGCUUGAAGGUCCUUCAAGCAAAUAGUUCUCAGGACUCUAACACUGAUGUCCACCAACUUGAUCCUGCAACUAAGCUUCAAACAUGGAAGGAAGCUGCCGGAGGAAAGAGUAGAGGUCGGGUAUAUGGUACGGCAGACUUGGCUGCUAACAUCCGCCAAGGAGUCUCUUCUCUCACCCAAGCCUCUGCGUCCGACACUUCACAAUCUGGACAAGUGACUGAAAAUCAAAUGCUUCGUGCUGAACUUAGUAUGUGGAGUCAGAAGUAUGCACACCUGGAGGAUGAGCUGAAGGUUAUAAAAGAUAAACUUAUCUCUAUGGAUCAAGAAAAAACUACUUCCAAUAGCACAACACAAUUCCAUCAUGAGUAUGAUCCAGAACAGGAUGAUCAACCUAUUUCUUAAAGUACAUCCUAUAAUGUAAGUUUAACUAUUUGAUAUUUUUAUUAUAUACUAAAUAUUUUAAUUANNNNNNNNNNNNNNNNNNNNNNNNNNNNNNNNNNNNNNNNNNNNNNNNNNNNNNNNNNNNNNNNNNNNNNNNNNNNNNNNNNNNNNNNNNNNNNNNNNNNNNNNNNNNNNNNNNNNNNNNNNNNNNNNNNNNNNNNNNNNNNNNNNNNNNNNNGCUUUUCUACUUUGGAUGUGUUUCUGGAUUUUGAUUUCAUACUUUGGAUGUGUUUGUGGAUUUGGGUGUUUAUAGAUGUAUUGUGAAUGAUAGUAAUUUGUUUCAAUGUGAUUUGGUUUGGUUGGUAUUUAAUUUUUACAGGUAAUCUGGUUAGAAAGCAAAAUAAAAUGUUUUUUUUUUCUUCAUCACAUGCGUCGGCCAUAGGCCCACGCAAGUUUUUUUUAAAGAUGCGUCCGCUUUUGCGUGGGCCAAGCCCACGCAAGUUUUUUUAAACAUGCGUCCGCUUUUGCGUGGGCCAAGCCCACGCAAAUUCUGAUAUUUUUUAAAUAUAUAUUUUUAUCAUUUUCGUCGGCUAGACCGACGCACACGCGAAAUAAAAAUUCUACGUCGGACCGCCCACGCAAAAGCCGCCGCAUAUGCGUCCAACCUAUCUUCUGCAUGUUGCGUCCGUUUUGCGUGGGCUUGGCCCACGCAAGAUGCACCCAAUUUUCUGGCCCACGCUAAUUUUCAUUUGCUUCCAGGCUUUUUUCGUGGGAGGUGUAACGGACGCGAAUCGGACGCAUAAGCGUCCGUUUUCUAGCUUUUGCGUCCGUUUUUGGCCCACGCAAAUUGGCUUUUUUCUUGUAGUGAGUCUUAUUAUAUGAAAAGUUUUCGCACGUGUUAACACAUGAUAAAUUCAUAAAAAAUAAAUUAACAAAAAAUGGAAACUUUACGUGAUUCAUUGUAGGGAGAAUACGUGUCUUUUUUUACAUAUUGUGUCACUGGUUUCUCAUUUAUUCUCUCACUUGCCCUCUCUCAUUGUCUUGUUCUUUUUAUUUUCUUUAUUUUCGUAUUUUUUUGUCAUAACCUCCUCUAUUCCUUCUCUCGUUUUGUCUCUCAUAGUUUUAUUUUUGUGCAUUUCCUUCUUUGUGGUUUCUUCUGUCACAACCACCUGUUUCCUCUCUAAUAUAAUCUUGCUCUGUGCAUUUUCUUUUUUUUGGAAAUGAAUGUAGGUAUCUUCAACCAUUGUAUCUCCAAUCACGGUAUCCUCAACACGCUGAGGAAAGAUUUUUGCCUUUUUUUUUACGACUAGGAAAGCAAAAUUGCAUAGUUUGUUGAGUCUUAACCCCAAAUUGUGUUACAUCUCUCUAGGCUUUUCUUCGUGAUAAGACCUUUUUGUUCGUUUUUUGAGUUUUUUUUUUGUUAUGGACAUGUUUUGUAGUAAAUAAAUAGGUUGUUUGUCUAUAUUUCAAUUGUUUUUAUUAGUAAAGAACUGAAUAAAUAAAAUGGAGCAUUUAAGGAAUACUCCAACCUUUAUAUAAAACCUAGACAGUGUCCCUACUUUACUAGAUACAAAUAUCCCGUGCUAAAGCUUAAGCUUUUUAGCUAAACUUUUACAACAAUAGACACCCAAUGGAACUUGAUAAGAAGUUCUUAAAACCCAACUUAAACCAGAACUCUAGACAAAAAAAACCUACAAAAUAACACUCAUGGACAAAACAAAAAUGAAAUCAAACCUACAAAAACAACUUUAUAGACAACCACCAAGCAUGCUGUCAAGUUAUGCAUCUUAAGCUCUAUUUCCUCUCCUAACAUCUCGCUUAAAUUAGAGAUUAUUUUAUAAACUAAAAUAUAUUUAUCUAAACUAGUUUAUACUAUUAAUAAAAGUUAAUAAAAUAAUUUUAAAUUGAUAUCUAACCAUUGUUUACCAAGAUUUUAGCUAUUUACUACUUUAUAUUCUAAAUUAAUGUCUAUUAGUUUUUUAAAGAUUAAUUUAUAAUAUAAAAUAUGAAUAACUAAAACUUGAGUAACUAAUUUAGAUAACAAUUUAUAAACUAUUUUAUAAUUUUUUUAUUAAUAAAAAAACCAUUUUAGAUGAAAAUAAUUGUUUAGAAAUUAGUACCUUUUUUUAUUAGCAAAGAAUUAAGUAAAUUAAAUGGAAUGCUUUAGGGACAUUCCAACCCUUAUAUAGAGACCCACAUUUAAUCUAAAACUAAAAAGAGAUAUUACAAACCAAUCCUAUGCUACGUCCAUUUCCUCCAAUCGUGAAAAUCAGCUCCACGAACACAACUCCAAACCAACUUGCUGAUAACUAUGUCUACACCUAUCUCAUAUAAGCCAACCAAGACCAUCCAGAUCUGUUCAACAUAGAAAACCCAGCAUCAUAGAAAUUAGUAUCUAAUUUAGUUGAUAUAGUGACAAUUUUUUUUUAAAUUUAAUUUUUAUUUAAUAAUCUUUUUUAGUGUAUAUAAAUAUAUGAAUAAAAAAGAAAAUAAUAAAAUUAUAUCUUACAUAAAAAAUUUAAAAAUAUUUUAUAACAAAUGAAAAUAGAAACUUAAAAAACAUAAUAAACUACUAGAAAAAACCUAUUUAGCGAACAUUUACAUUAGUAAUAAUAAAUAAUACAAUCAUAUCAUAAGUUUUUCAAUGUAGAAUAUGGGGAAUAUAGCCCUACACUUUUCCUUUCAGUUCCCAAGGUGUAGGUUUCCCAUGGCAUGCACAUCAAUUUAAUUUCCAAUGCAAAACUAAAAAUAAAAAGAAACAUCCUUUAUAAUGUUUUUUCAUGAUUGAAGUUUAAUACUUAACCAGUUUUUCACGCAAGUCAACAUUAAAAACAUACAAAAUCAAUUUGAUUUUUAUUUAUCAUUUAAAUAAAGAAUAUUGAAAGGUAAACAGGGAUGCGAAAUGUAACUGAAGGAAAAUUAAGUUAGGUUGGAUCAUAUUGAUUAUUUUUUAAAAUAACAUCUUAAUCCUAUUUAUUCUUAAUAUAUGAAUAGUUUAUCACUUAAAUAUGCCAACACUGGAAUAAAACAAAUUAUAAGGAAACUUGAAAAAUUUAUUUAGGACCAAAACCAACACAUACAAAUUUAUUAAAAGAAAAUAUAAGUAUUAAUUUCACAUGCAAAGUGAAAUAAGAUUUAUCACUUAAUUUCAUUGUAAAAGUCAUAAAGUUUAAAAUCUAUAUCUUAAAAAACUUGAAAUAUAUUAACAUAAUAUAAAAUUUAAGACUCUCGAUAAUAGGACACUGAAUCAUAAUAAAAAAAUAUUUUUCUAUUUUAAAUUUAGCAAUACCAAUCACCAAAUAAGAAACUAAUUAUAGUAUAUGAAUAUUAUAAAAAUAAAUAAUACAUUGUAAAAUCACUAUUACUAUAUAGAUAAGCUACACUUAAAGAAUAUUAAGAAUAUAUUUUUUAUUAAGAUCAAAUCAGAAAAAAAUUAUUAAGCAACAUAAAGAACCAAAAAUUUAAAAUAUUUUUUUUCACAACAUUAAAAUACUAUUUAAUUAAUCUAUUAUUUUCAAUUGUUAUAUAUUUUUAUACUGUAUAUUUGUUAUUAAUCUUAUGUUAUAUCUUACAAUAUUUCUGUUCAAGCUUUAAAUAAAAUAAAAUAAGACAUUUCUAAUAUAUAUAUAUAUAUUUAUAUUUGAUAUUAAAAAAUAAAAAUAGAGUUAAAAUAUAUUAUGUAAUACAAUUUUUUUUAAAUAAUUAAAUGAAACAAAUUUACGAUCUAUCUUAAUUAAAGUAUAGUUCAAAAAUAGUAAAAUUAAUAAAUAUUGUGAAUAAUAUAAUAGUUAAAUAAAUUAUAUAAUAUAAAAGUACGAAAGUAUAAAGAAAAAUAAUAGUAAACUUAUUCUCAAAUCUCUUACCUAUUAAAAGAUACAAAAUAUCACUUUCGGUACAAAAAUUAAAAUUCUAAAAUCAUAGUAUAAAUGAAUAACAAGAUAAAUUAAUAAAAUUGUAUUUUAUAUAAAAAAAAACCUGAUAAAUAUUUUUAAAUAAAUAAAAAACUACAAAUGAAAAAUUUAAAAACAUUACAAACUAUUAAAAAAUUAUUUACCAAACAUUAGUAACAAAUAAUAAAUAAACUUUAAGAAUAAUUUUAUUCCAAAAAUAAUAAUAUUGACCUCUGAAUUUUAUAAGAUUUCUCUCACUGAAAUAUCUUAACAUAAAAAUAAAUAAAUAAAACUUUCGAUUAUAAGAUAUCUUCACAUAAUAUAAAAGAAACGAAAAAAAUCUUGAAUGGUAAAAUUAUAAAAAUCAUUAUAUUGAAAAUAUUUUUGUUAGUUAUGAAACAAAACAUUAUAAUAAAAAUUUGAAUUUACCUGUUUGAGUAAAAGUUGUGAAAAAAUAUAUUAAAAGAAAUAUAACCCAAUAUAAAAAAUAAGACAAAAAAAAUCUUGAAUUAUAAAAAAUCAUUACAUUAUAAAGAUAUUAAAAGAAAUCUAACUGAGCAUAAUAAUACUGAAGAAAAUGUAUACUAAUUAAUACACUGUAGUAUGACUCCUAUUGAUAUUCUCAAAGCUUGUCCUUUCACUUCCCAAGGUUUAGAUUUGCCAUGGCAUGCACAUCAAUUCCAAUGCAAACAUAAAGUCUCUUUAAGCGAUUUGAUACAUUGAGAGAGAUGAGUUAUUCCUAUAAGAAACUGAAGCAUCCAUGCACACUUUGCAUUCUCAACCAUGGCUGAUAUCGUAAGUGGUUUUCCAGACUCAAUCCUUUGCUACAUUCUCUCAUUUCUCCCAACCAAACAAGUUGUUGCAACCAGUGUUCUCUCCAAACGCUGGAACCUUCUGUGGCGUUCCGUUCCCUCUUUUGAUUAUGAACAUCAUGACCCAACUGGUGAUUAUGAGGAUGACCUAGAUGCCUGCUCUGACUUUCUUUACUCAAUGUUCUCCCAUCUGCUUUUGCGUGAUAUGGACAAACCUCUCCAUAGAUUACGCCUUACAUGCUGUUCUGGGUAUAACCAUUAUAGCAUUGAAAUAUGGAUUGAGGCUGCACUGAGAAGAAGUAGUAGACUUGAACACCUCGACCUCAAUGUGUAUAAGGAUUUUGUGGUGCCCUCUGUUGUGUUUAGCUGCAUAACUCUUGUAGUUCUCAAGCUGGCGAACUUAGUGCUGAAAGAUGUUUCCUUUGCUGAUUUUCCCUUUCUUAAAAUCUUGCAUUUGAAUUCUAUUUCUUUCUCAGGAUGUCAAGAUCUUUUUAAACAGUUUCUGUCUGGGAGUCCUAAUCUUGAGGAUUUGGAAGCCAAGAAUUUGGAUUCUAAUCCUGCAGAAAAGGUCAACAGAUUGCCCAAGUUGGUCAGAGCUAACAUCGAUGCACAUAUAGUUCCAUUGGAAAAUGUUAAGAACGUUCAAGUUUUGGUCACAAAUGGGGUAAUGUGUGUAAAUUUGUUUCUCAUUUCUUUUCAUUUUAAAGGGAAAAAAUGAGAUUUCUGAUGUUUUGAUAUAUUUUGUAUCUUUUGCAGAUACAUCCACCAGACCUGGUUUUUUAUUUUUGGAAUUUAGUUAGACUUGAGUUGAACCGUUUGAAGUCUAGUAAGCAAUGUUUUCAGGUUUUGGAAGUGCUCAAGCAUUGUCCAAAGCUUCAAACUCUUUUCAUUAACAUUUGUCAGGUUUAAUGAUUUAAGCUUUCGAAGUUUGUAUCUUCUUGUUAUCUUUGCAUCAAACAUUAGGUUUAAUAUAGUUUUAUAAUUGUUAUUAACAGAAACAAAAUUUAGUUGCUGAAGACGAUGAAGAAGCAAUUUUGCCAUGCCCAGAUCCUGUUCCUGCAUGCAUUUUAUUGCACUUAACAUGCUGUUGUCUUACGAAUUACAGCGGUUCUGCAUUUGAGUUUAAAUUUGCGGAAUAUAUUAUGCAGAAUGCAAAUUAUCUACAGUUCUUUGCAUUCCGCAUUUACAGGAACAAUCCUUCGAGAAGAGAUGAUAUGAUAAGAGAUUUAUCUUCAUGUAAGAAGAUUUCAGAUACUUGUAAACUUGAAUUUGUGUAGUUAAGGUCUGAGCGGUAACUGUGAUGUUUUCUUUUUUUUUUGUAUUUCCAGUAUUAACUUCAAGAAUGUGGAUGUUUAAUAUACUAAUCUAUUUUUCUUCAUCUAAUGGAAGUUUACCGCACAAUUAUCUUUUUUGUCCAGAAAUCUUAUGAAAGUUUUUUUUAGUUUUAAAAUUUUCUUCUUGCUUUAGGAAUUUUCUCAUAUCUAAUUUGCAAUUAUCUUUGUUUGACAUAUAUUAUAUAUACACACGUACAUAUAUGGUUUGCUUUUAUAGUUUUUUGUACUUUUCAUUCUUGAACAGUAUGAAAGGAAAAUGUAAAGAAAUUUAUUGCAAAAAAUCAUAAUUCUGAAUUGGUAUCUGUUGCAAAAAAAACUCAUAAUCUCUCUCUAUAAAUAUAUAUAUAUAUAUAUAUAUAUAUAUAUAUAUAUAUAUGCAAAAUUUGUAUAAAUGAAUGAUGGAGGAUGUGUGUGCAUAUAAGCAGCAUUUCUGAAAUGGCUUUUUUAAUUUUUUUUUUUUUUGAAAAAACAAAAUUAUUAAAAUAAUUGUAUUGCUACUCGAACUACAAAAUUGAAGUCAAUAUUAUAAAUAAAUUUAUAUAAAUUAAUUAAAUAAUAGAUGAAAAGUAAAGAUACAAGCUAUAAAAAGUAAUUUUUUUUUUAAUUUUGAAAAUAAUAUAUAAGUGAAAUUAUAAAUGUUUAAAAUAUCUAGCAAUUAAGAAAACAGAGAGCAUCAGUUCAGACGUGAUUGUUUCAAAUUGAUCAGCACUAAAAAGUAUCCUAUGUACUAAUUCAUGUAUUAGAAGAAGAAAAAAAUUGUCAUAUGACAAUACAUGAAAGAACACCCAAGAAUAAACAACGAUAAUGAAAAAAAUAACAAUGUGUAUGAUGUAAACUAUAUUAAUAUUAAUAAUAUAAAAUAAAGUCAUACAUAAGCAUUAUUUUUAAGUUUAAAAUGAAGAUUUUAUAUCUAAAUGAUAAGAUUUUUUUUCUUUUAAAUUCAAAUACAUAAAAAAAGAAUUAUUAAAAAAAUAUUUAAGUGAUCGAUAUUUAAGGAUAUCUUCUUUCCACUAAUUGAAGGUAAUAAAAUAACGACGUAUAACACACCAUUGCUGUCAGACUUUUAUGCAUUAAAUACGUUUGUGAUCUCAUAUUAGAAAAUAAACAAUUAUUGCUUCACUUUGGGUCUAUCGACCAUAUUCAACUCACCAAAACCAUUGAAUAUAAAACUAAUCAAACAUAAAAUAUGUAUCCAAUGUUGAAAACCCAACCAUCAAUUACUCUUUAUGAUUGGCUGAAUCUGUGAAUGGGACGAAUAAUUGUGGAAUUAAGCUUUUAACAAAGACUCAAAGAAAACCUUAAAGUCAAGUAAUCCUUUAAUUUCUGCAGAGGCAAAAAACUUCACUUCUAAGCUUUAUAUAAAAGUAUCUGUAUUGCCUUAUCAAUGAUGGUAAAACCAUGCAUUCAUCUAUUUCUCUCGGUCUAUAAGAUUUAAAACAAGAAGUUUUAGUUGCUUCUUACAUAGAAGUCUUUUAUUAUUAUUUUUUUUCCAUUUUUUCUCAAUUUUUUUACCCUCUCCAUGAUUUGAUUGGUUUAGUCUAGAUGAAAAAGGUCAUGAUUUAAAGGUACUAUGUUUCAUAUUUUUUCUGCAAAACUAUUUACACUCAAUUUCAAUUGGUUUUAAGAUGAAAUCUAACAUGCCAUUAGAGCCUAUAUACCAUCUUUGAGAGUUGAAUAUUUUGUUAAGCAUUGCCUUUUCUUGCAUGAAUAUAAUAUAUUUGUUGCACUGGGACCCACAACCCUCUUCCCAUUUCAGCAUUUCAUACUUUCAUUGGUUGAGUUGCCAUUAAAGAAAAAGAAAAAUAUGUUCUUAAAGUCAAAUCAUCCUUUCUAACUACUCUUUCCAUCACUCUACCAUUCAUUACUGCACUGAAUCCAUUUCACUUCAUUUCCAACUCCUACCAUGGCAGCAGAAGUUAUUGGUGGUGCUCUUCUUUCGGCCUUUCUUCAGGUUGCAUUCGACAAGCUCGCUUCUCCUCAAUUUCUAGACUUCUUUCGUCAAAGAAAACUUGAUGAGAAACUGCUCACCAAUUUGAACAUCAUGCUGCACUCCAUCAAUUCUCUCGCUGAUGAUGCUGAACUAAAGCAGUUCACAGAUCCACACGUCAAAGCAUGGCUUUUCGCUGCCAAAGAGGCUGUCUUUGAUGCAGAGGAUCUGUUGGGUGAAAUAGACUAUGAACUCACCAGAUCCCAAGUUGAAGCUCAAUCCGAACCUCAAACCUUUACUUAUAAGGUAUCGAAUUUCUUCAACUCUACUUUCACUUCAUUUAACAAGAAAAUUGAAUCAAGGAUGAAAGAAGUCUUGGAGAAACUAGAAUAUCUUGCAAAGCAGAAGGGUGCUCUUGGUUUGAAAGAGUGUACUUAUUCUGAUAAUAGAUUAGGUAGUAAAGUGCUACAGAAAUUGCCAUCAUCUUCUUUGGUGGUUGAAAGUGUUAUUUAUGGCAGAGAUGCUGAUAAAGAUAUAAUCAUUAAUUGGCUGACAUCUGAAAUUGAUAAUUCUAACCAGCCAUCAAUACUUUCCAUUGUGGGCAUGGGUGGGUUGGGUAAGACCACACUUGCCCAGCAUGUAUACAAUGACCCAAAGAUCGACGAUGUAAAAUUUGAUAUGAAAGCUUGGGUUUAUGUUUCUGAUCAUUUUCAUGUUUUGACCGUGACAAGAACAAUUCUUGAGGCAGUGACUGGUAAAACAGAUGAUAGUAGGAACCUGGAAAUGGUUCACAAAAAACUAAAAGAAAAAUUGUCUGGGAAGAAAUUUCUGCUUGUUUUGGAUGAUGUUUGGAACGAAAGACGGGAAGAAUGGGAACUUGUGCAAACUCCUCUUAGUUAUGGAGCUCCAGGAAGUAGAAUUCUUGUCACAACUCGUGGCGAGAAUGUUGCUUCUAACAUGAAGUCUAAAGUGCAUCGCCUAAUGCAAUUAGGAGAGGAUGAAUGCUGGAAUGUUUUUGAAAAUCACGCAUUAAAAGAUGGUGAUCUUGAAUUGAAUGAUGAGCUAAAGGACAUUGGUAGAAGGAUAGUUAAGAGGUGCAAGGGAUUACCUUUAGCUUUGAAAACAAUUGGAUGUCUUUUACGCACAAAGUCAUCCAUUUCAGAUUGGAAGAACAUAUUGGAAAGUGAGAUAUGGGAGUUACCAAAAGAAAACAAUGAAAUUAUUCCAGCGCUAUUUAUGAGCUAUUGUUAUCUUCCUUCUCAUCUUAAAAAGUGCUUUGCUUAUUGUGCCUUAUUCCCCAAAGAUUAUGGGUUUGUGAAAGAGGAGUUAGUUUUGUUGUGGAUGGCCCAAAAUUUUCUGCAGUGUCCCCAACAGAUUAGACAUCCACAACAUAUUAGACAUCUAGAAGAAGUUGGUGAACAAUACUUCAAUGAUCUAGUGUCAAGGUCUUUUUUUCAUCAAUCAAGCGUCGUAGGACGUUUCGUCAUGCAUGACCUUCUGAAUGAUUUAGCAAAAUAUGUUUGUGUGGAUUUUUGUUUCAGGUUGAAAUUUGAUAAAGGCGAAUGUAUACCGAAAACAACCUGUCAUUUUUCAUUUGAAUUCCGUGAUGUCAAAAGUUUUGAUGGUUUUGGGAGUUUAACUAAUGCUAAAAGACUUCGUUCAUUCCUUCCUAUCUCGCAAUAUUGGGGUUCUCAAUGGAAUUUCAAGAUUUCCAUACAUGAUUUGUUUUCCAAGAUUAAGUUUAUACGCAUGUUAUCCUUCCGUGAUUGUUCAUGUCUUAGAGAGGUCCCAGAUUGUGUAGGUGAUCUUAAACAUCUCCAUUCGUUAGAUCUUUCGUGGUGUGAUGCGAUACAAAAGCUACCUGACUCGAUGUGUUUGCUCUAUAACUUACUAAUACUGAAGUUGAACUAUUGUUCAGAGUUGCAAGAAUUGCCCUUAAAUUUGCACAAACUUACCAAAUUGCGUUGCCUGGAGUUGAACUAUUGUUCAAAGUUGGAGGAAUUGCCCUUAAAUUUGCAUAAACUUACCAAAUUGCGUUGCCUAGAAUUUGAAGGUACAGAAGUGUCAAAGAUGCCAAUGCAUUUUGGAGAAUUGGAGAAUCUUCAAGUACUGAGUACAUUUUUCGUGGAUAGAAAUAGUGAGCUAAGUACUAAGCAACUGGGAGGAUUGGGAGGACUCAAUCUUCAUGGAAAGCUAUCAAUCAAUGACGUGCAGAAUAUUAUGAAUCCUUUGGAUGCAUUAGAAGCAAAUGUGAAAGAUAAACACCUUGUGGAGCUAGAAUUAAAAUGGAAGUCGGACCACAUCCCUGAUGAUCCAAGGAAAGAAAAGGAGGUACUUCAGAAUCUACAACCCUCCAAACACUUGGAGGAUUUAAAAAUCUCGAACUACAAUGGUACAGAAUUCCCAAGUUGGGUAUUCGAUAAUUCGUUAUCAAAUCUGGUGUUCUUACAGUUGCAGGACUGUAAACACUGCCUAUGUUUGCCUCCCCUUGGAAUUUUGUCAAGUCUGAAGGACCUUGAGAUUAUGGGGCUUGAUGGAAUAGUGAGCAUUGGUGUUGAAUUUUAUGGGAGCAACUCUUCAUUUGCAUCCUUGGAGAGGUUGGAAUUCCACAAUAUGAAGGAAUGGGAAGAAUGGGAGUGUAAAACUACUUCUUUUCCACGUCUUCAUGAGCUUUAUAUGAAUGAAUGUCCCAAACUGAAAGGUACUCAAGUAGUUGUUAGUGAUGAGCUCACAAUUAGCGGAAAGAGUAUCGACACAUGGCUGCUUGAAACCCUGCAUAUUGAUGGAGGUUGCGACUCUCUUACAAUGUUUCGGCUAGAUUUCUUUCCAAAGCUUCGUUCUCUUGAACUGAAAAGAUGCCACAACAUAAGAAGAAUUUCACAGGACUACGCUCAUAAUCAUCUCCAGCACCUAAAUAUUUUUGAUUGCCCUCAAUUUAAAUCAUUCCUGUUUCCCAAACCCAUGCAAAUCCUGUUUCCGUUCCUUAUGAGUCUGGAGAUAACUGUUAGUCCACAAGUGGAGUUUCAUGGUUUGCCAUUAAAUGUAAAAUAUAUGUCUCUUUCAUGUUUAAAACUUAUUGCCUCCUUGAGAGAGACCUUGGAUCCCAACACAUGUCUUGAAACCUUGCUUAUUCAAAAUUCAGACAUGAAGUGUUUUCCCGAUGAUGUUUUGCUGCCACGGUCUCUCACCUCUCUACUAAUCAAUUCUUGCCUAAAUCUUAAAAAGAUGCACUACAAGGGUCUCUGCCACCUCUCCUCUCUCACACUUCUUGAUUGUCCCAGCCUUCAAUGCUUACCAGCGGAGGGUCUCCCCAAAUCCAUCUCUUCUCUCUCAAUCGGGCGUUGUCCAUUGCUGAAAGAGCGUUGUCAGAAUCCAAAUGGCGAAGACUGGCCAAAGAUUGCUCACAUCCGAGAACUGAAUGUUUGGUCAUAAGAUGAGUCACAAGUUCAAAAUUAGACGUGCACCUAUUUCAAUUUGUCUGCCACUUCAACAGGUUAUAAUUCUCCACAAUAUCUUUGUAUCUUUUUUCUAACAAUUUUCUUAGUUGCAAACGGUAACUCUAUAAUUGCCAUUUUCCAAACAAGAGCAGCACAUGUUAUACUUAAACUGAUGAUAUUUAUUAAAGGAGGCUCUGCUACGAUUUUCAUGAAUCAAUUACUUUUAUUUUAUUCUUAUUUUCGUGCAAGAUUAUUUCAAUUGUUCUGUUGAAAUUAAAUUCCAACCAAAUGUGUUUCCUAUUUUUAGAAUACUACGAAAAUCGUGAAGGUGGUCUGGCAUUUGGCAUCCAUUCCGAACAGAGUAUUCUGUAGUUGGAAGUUAUGGUGGCAUCAUCUUCCUUUUUCUAGCUAUCUAAGUAUAUUUGUUUUCAUAGCCACAUUUUUUCUUCUGACAAAAAAGAUGAACUUAAACUUAAUAAUAGAUCACUGAAGCUAAAUGAUCCCAAAAUAGAAGUCAUGGGUUUUGAGUGGAGGAAAGAUGAAUGGAAACUACUGUGGACAUAAGGGACCUUAUGUAUCUAAGGAACUUGUAAUUGGAAUUUAAAAGUAUUUUUAUACGACUUUUUACUUUAUUAAAAAGCUCUUGUGACAUUCCAUCAAUGAAGACUGAGUUUUACAGAAAACAUAGUAAUAGAAAUAGCUUGAAUAUUGUUCAGAAUAUGAGUGUUAAGCUGCCAAACCCUCAUGAAGUUCUUUGGUGACAACCAAACUGCUAUGCAUAAUGAACCUAAACUGAGAAAAUUUCAGUAAUAUUUUGAAAACAGGGUCUAAUGUGUAAGGCCAUGCAUCCAUCCAUUUUAGUGUUCACCCAUACAAUCUCUUACAAUGAUUGGUAUAUGUCAUUUUACAAUGUCUUCACUUCACUUCUAGUAAUUGCUCUAGGUGUUUUUGAUUACUACACAUUUUUUAUAAUUGCUAUAUGAUCAACACCAAAGUUUAUAUUUAUUAUUUCCUUUUGUAAAAGUCUUGGUUCUGCCUUAAGGCAAUGGAAAAAUGAUUUUGCUAGCAGUGAGGUUCCUACAUUCACUUAAAAUAUACUAUUACUUAUUUGAUAUUUUUAAAGGUCUGUUUCUCUAGUUUCUUUGUGCCUAAAUACAUCUGCUUUGAAUGUAGAGUUCUUCACAAAGCAUUAUCAACUUUGAUGUAAAAUUCACCUAAACACUCUGAAGGCCUUGUUUUUUCUCUUACCCAGGUGUUUUAACUACUACACUUUUUCAACUAUUUAACAAAACUAGCUUGUACCUUUUCCCCCUCCCUCUCGUUACAAAUAGUUUUUCUAUUUUGUGGAAGAAAACUAUUCACACUCAAUGUCAAUUGGUUUUAAGAUGAAAUCUAACAUGCCAUUAGAGCCUAUAUACCAUCUAUGUGAGUUGCCUAUUUUUUUAAGCAUUACUUUUUUUUUUCUAACAUUCCCACUACAAGAAAAUAAUUAAAUAGAAACUAAUUUUAGACACUAAAAAUAAUUAGUUGUUGUAUUAACUAAAUUAGAUACUAGUUUAGAGACUAAAAAAGUUAUUGAUUUCUAAAUUAGUUUCUAUUAUGGAUAAAUAGUUUCUAAAUUGGUAUCUAAUUAACUAACAAGGUUUUAACUACCAAUUAUUUAGAUUCUAAAUUUAGUAGCAAAAUCCAAAUUAUUUAUCUACUGAUUUCUUCUGUGGCUCUUGAUUUUAGAUAAUGAUUUGUUAAGAGCCAAGAUGCUGUGCUAAUCAAUAACCAUAUUGUCUGUUUUACAGUAUCCUGUUCUAUAUCUAGAGGGAGUAGAAGACACCCUCUUCAGCUGGCCCAGGAUUCUUGGGUAGAUGUUGAAUGGAGUCCUUAGUUCUUUAGUGAUCUUCUUCUUAACCACUAAUUCUGUGUUGAAUCAAGCCUUCAGAAGAGAUGGUAAGGUGGUUGAUUUUGAAAUACUUGGGGUCACAAUGUAUACAUGUGUGGUGUGGACUGUGAAUUGCCAAAUGGCACUAUCCAUCAAUUACUUUACUUGGAUACAACAUUUUUUUAUAUGGGGCAGCAUUGUCUUCUGGUAUGUGUUUGUGUUGGUCUGUGGUUACCUCUCUCCAGCAAUAUCCACAACAGCUUACAGGGUUUUUGUGGAAGCAUGUGCUCCUAGUGCUCUAUAUUGGCUAGUAACCCUUUUGGUUGUUGUGUGUGUUCUGCUACCCUAUUUCUCCUAUAGCUCUUUGCAAAGUCGGUUUCUACCAAUGUACCAUGAUAUUAUACAGAGAGAACAAGUAGAAGAGAUUUAAAUUGGGUUAUCAGAUGAUGAGUUACCUAAACAGGUCCAGGGAAAACUAAUACACCUCAGAGAGAAAGAUUGAAGCAAAGGGAGUUGUGAAAUGUAAAUGCUUCUAAACAUACAUUCUUAGACCUUGGAAUUUUAUUUGAUUUCUUUCUGAGUUGGGAAGUGGCAUUGAAGUAGUGAGCAUUGCAAAUAGCUUUUAGUUUUUUAUUUCUUUUCCUCCUGAUUUCCAUUUGUUUAGAAAAUUAGGAGAGGAGAAUUUUUGUAGCAGUCACCUGAUGUAGAUUAGCUGUGUAAAGCUUGAGUAUUUGUUGUAUUUGUUAAGGGAAGAAGCAAUAGAUAUUUUACAUGUUCUAAGAUUAAGAGGGUUUGAUUUUCAAACUGGUGUAUAGUAAAUACAUAUUGGAAGAAAGAAAGUUUAGUAUUUUGGUUAGAUGAGAUAGGACCAUGCUUGUGCUGACUUUAAGAUGAAAGGAAAUCUAAGAAGUAUGAAUAAAAACUCAACAAUAUAAUGAACACUUUUUUCUUUCUUUAUCAUCAAAGAAUUAAAGGAAUUAAAAGAAGGGGUGUUCCAACCAUAUAAAAAAAAUUCAACAAUAUAAUGAACACUUAAAUAAGAGUGACAUAAACAAAAGGCUAAGGUACAUAAACAUGCAUUAAUCCAAAUUGAAUCCAGUUACUAAUUUUGUCCACUUUGGCCAUCUGCAAAGAUUGAACUAAGUAGAUAACUGACACUCCUAAAAAAGAGAAUAAGAAUUUUUAUAGAGAGAGGACAUUGUUGCAACAUGUUAUUAAAAAAGACUUAAAGCUUAAAGAGAUAAUUGUUUUCUGUCUUCACUGUAAUAUAACUGCAGGGUAUGAGGCUAUAAAAUUCUACAACUUGUCAUAGAUAAAUCAAAAUAUCAUGAAAAUCAUCAAUACCACUUAUUUAAAUGGAUUGCUUAACAAUCUCAGGAAGUAAGAUGAAAUUCAAUUAGGAAAUGUUUUUGUAAGAUUGUGACUUCAACUCUCUAAAUUUUAUACACUCGUAAUGUCUUUACAACAGGCACCAUUUCAGAAAAACAACAUUGAAAAUAUUUGCUUAAUAUAUUUUUAGGAAAUCUUUAAGUUUUUUAAAAAUAUCUCUUACAUAAAGAUAAAAAUAUAUUCAUUUAUUAUUUAGAUUUAGGAAAUUCAAAUUGAGAUAUUGUUAAUACUUGAUAUUUUGUUAUAUUUUACUAUAAAUCAAACUCCUCCAUAUCAUAGAUCUUUUAUAUUUUCAAACUAUAUUAAGUGAUUAAUAAAGAGACAAAGAAAGACGAUAAACCAAAUUAAGUGAAUAACGAAAGGAUGCGAAUUAGUACAUCAACUAAAUUUGCACGAGUAUAAUAUAAAUGUUGCAUAAAAGAUAUUAUUUGAAGUCAGAUAUUAUCCAAGCAAUUAAAAUUUUGGUUUCGAACUACUGUCAGAUUUGACUCAUCAUUUAUUAUUUCACCUAAUGAUCAGACAUACAUUCAUGGAUUACAGUUGUGAACAAAUAUUGCAUUGUACUUUCAUUCAUCACAACCCUUGAAUGAAUAUCCAACUGCUCACAUUUUAUAUUGGUUGAGUUGCCAUUAAAGAAAAAGAUGUUCUUAAAGUCAAGUCAUCCUUUCUAACUGAUCAUUAACAUCACUAUAGCAUUCAUCCCUGCACUGAAUCCAUUCACUUCAUUUCCAACUUCUACCAUGGGAGCAGAACUUGUUGGUGGUGCUCUUCUUUCUGCCUUUCUUCAGGUUGCAUUCGACAGGCUCGCUUCUCCUCAAUUUCUAGACUUCUUUCAUGGAAGAAAACUUGAUGAGAAGCUCCUCGGCAAAUUGAACAUCAUGCUGCACUCCAUCAAUGCUCUUGCUGAUGAUGCAGAACUAAGGCAGUUCACAGAUCCAAACGUCAAAGCAUGGCUUUUCGCUGUCAAAGAGGCUGUCUUUGAUGCAGAGGAUCUUUUGGAUGAAAUAGACUAUGAACUCACCAGAUGCCAAGUCGAAGCUCAAUUCGAACCUCAAACCUUUACUUACAAGGUAUCAAAUUUCUUCAACUCUACUUUCAGUUCAUUUAACAAGAAAAUUGAAUCAGGGAUGAAAGAAGUCUUGGAGAAACUAGAAUAUCUUGCAAACCAAAAGGGUGCUCUUGGUUUGAAGGAGGGUACUUAUUUUGGUGGUGAUGGAUCUGGUAGUAAAGUGUCACACAAAUUGCAAUCAACUUUUUUGGUGGUUGAAAGUGUUAUUUAUGGCAGAGAUGCUGACAAAGAUAUAAUCAUUACUUGGCUUACAUCGGAAACCGACAAUCCUAACCAGCCAUCAAUACUUUCCAUUCUGGGCAUGGGUGGCUUGGGUAAGACCACACUCGCCCAACAUAUGUAUAACGACCCAAAGAUCGACGAUGCAAAAUUUGAUAUCAAAGCUUGGGUCUGUGUUUCUGAUCAUUUUCAUUUUUUGACUGUGACAAGAACAAUUCUAGAGGCAAUCACAAAUCAAAAAAAUGAUAGUGGGAACCUAGAAAUGAUUCACAAAAAGCUGAAAGAAAAAUUGUCAGGAAGAAAAUUUCUUCUUGUUUUGGAUGAUGUUUGGAACGAAAAACCAGCAGAAUGGGAAGCUGUGCGAACUCCUCUUAGCUAUGGGGUUCAAGGAAGUAGAAUUCUUGUCACAACUCGUGGUGAGAAGGUUGCUUCUAACAUGAAGUCUAAAGUGCAUCGCCUAAAGCUAUUAGGAGAGGAUGAAUGCUGGAAUGUUUUUGCAAAUCACGCAUUAAAAGAUGGUGAUCAUGAAUUGAAUGAUGAGCUAAAGGAGAUUGGUAGAAGGAUAGUUGAGAAGUGCAAUGGACUGCCUCUAGCUUUGAAAACAAUUGGAUGUCUUUUACGCACAAUGUCAUCCAUUUCAGAUUGGAAAAACAUAUUGGAAAGUGACAUAUGGGAGUUACCAAACGAGAACAAUGAAAUUAUUCCUGCAUUAUUUUUGAGCUAUCGCUAUCUUCCUUCUCAUCUUAAAAGGUGUUUUACUUAUUGUGCCUUAUUUCCCAAAGAUUAUGAAUUUGUGAAGGAGGAGUUAAUUUUGUUGUGGAUGGCCCAAAAUUUUCUACAAAGUCCACAACAUAUUAGACAUCAAGAAGAAGUUGGUGAACAGUACUUCAAUGAUCUAUUGUCAAAGUCUUUCUUUCAACACUCAGGUGUCAAGAAGUGUUUUGAGCAAUCACAUGCUAGGAGGUGUUUCGUCAUGCAUGACCUUCUGAAUGAUUUGGCAAAAUAUGUUUGUGCGGAUUUCUGUUUCAGGUUGAAAUUCGAUAAAGGCUGAUAUAUACCGAAAACAACUCGUCAUUUUUCAUUUGAAUUAUGUGACGUCAAAAGUUUUGAUGGUUUUGAGAGUUUAAUUGAGUCUAAAAGACUUCGUUCAUUUCUUUCUAUCUCACCAUAUUGGGAACCUCAAUGGCAAUUCAAGAUUUCAAUACAUGAUUUAUUCUCUAAGAUUAAGUUCGUACGUGUCUUAUCUUUUAAUGGUUGUAAGAAACUUAAAGAGAUCCCGAAUUCUAUAAGUGAUCUUAAACAUCUUUAUUCGUUAGAUCUUUCGUGUGCUGAGAUACAAAAGCUACCUGACUCGAUAUGUUUUCUCUAUAACUUAUUAAUACUGAAGUUGAACUAUUGUUCAAAGUUGGAGGAGUUGCCCUUCAAUUUGCAUAAACUUACCAAAUUGCGUUGUUUGGAAUUUGUACAUACAAAAGUAACAAAGAUGCCAAAGCAUUUUGGAGAAUUGAAGAAUCUUCAAGUACUGAGUACAUUUUUCGUGGAUAGAAAUAGUGAGCUAAUUACUAAGCAACUAGGCGGAUUAGGAGGACUCAAUCUUCAUGGAAGGCUAUCAAUCAAUGACGUGCAAAAUAUUUUGAAUCCUUUGGAUGCAUUAGAAGCAAAUGUGAAAGAUAAACACCUUGUGGAGUUAGAAUUAGAAUGGAAGUCGGACCAUAUCUCUGAUGAUCCAAGGAAAGAAAAGGAAGUACUUCAGAAUCUACAACCCUCCAAACACUUGGAGCAUUUGUCAAUCUGGAACUAUAAUGGUACAGAAUUCCCAAGUUGGGUAUUCGAUAAUUCGUUAUCAAAUCUGGUGUUCUUAAAGUUGGAGGACUGUAAAUACUGCCUAUGUUUGCCUUUCCUUGGAAAUUUGUCGUCACUGAAAACCCUACGAAUUAUAGGGCUUCAUGGAAUAGUGACCAUUGGUACUGAAUUUUAUGGGAGCAACUCUUCAUUUGCAUGCUUGGAGAGUCUGUCAUUCUACAAUAUGAAGGAAUGGGAAGAAUGGGAGUGUAAAACUACUUCUUUUCCACGUCUUCAAGAGCUUUGUGUGGAUAAAUGUCCCAAACUGAAAGGUACUUAUUUAAAGAAAGUAGUUGUUAGUGAUGAGCUCACAAUUAGCGGAAACAGUAUAAACACAUCGUCGCCAGAAACCAUGCAUAUUGAUGGAGGCUACGACUCUCUUACAAUCUUUCGACUAGAUUUCUUUCCAAAGCUCCGUUCUCUUGAACUGAGAGACUGCCAAAACCUAAGAAGAAUUUCACAGGAGUACGCUCAUAAUCAUCUCAUGGAUCUAUGUAUUUAUGAUUGUCCUCAAUUUAAGUCAUUCUUGUUUCCCAAACCCAUGCAAAUCCUGUUUCCGUCCCUUACCACGCUUCAGAUAACUUUUUGUCCACAAGUGGAAUUGUUCCCAGAUGGAAGUUUGCCAUUGAAUUUAAAAGAGAUGUCUCUUUCACGUUUAAACCUUAUCGCCUCCUUGAGAGAGACCUUGGAUCCCAACACAUGUCUUGAACGCUUGUCUAUUGAAGAUUUGGACGUGGAGUGUUUUCCUGAUGAAGUUUUACUGCCACGCUCUCUCACCUCUCUACUAAUCCAAUAUUGCCCAAAUCUUAAAAAGAUGCACUACAAGGGUCUCUGCCACCUCUCCUCUCUCACACUUCUUGAUUGUCCCAACCUUCAAGCCUUACCAGCGGAGGGUCUCCCCAAAUCCAUCUCUUCUCUUACAAUCUGGGGUUGUCCAUUGUUGAAGGAACGUUGUCAGAAUCCAGAUUGCGAAGACUGGGGAAAGAUUGCUCACAUCCAAGGACGGCAUGUUUGAUCAUAAGAUGAGUCCCAAGUUCAAAAUUAGACGUGCACCUAUUUCAAUUUGUCUGCCACUUCAACAGGUUCUAAUUCUCCACAAUAUCUUUCUACCUUUUCGAUUACAAUUUUCUUAGUUGCAAACGGUAACCCUAUAAUUGCCAUUUUCCAAACACGAGCAGCACAUGUUAUACUUAAACUGAUGAUAUUUAUUAAAGGAGGCUCUGCUACGAUUUUCAUGAAUCAAUUACUUUUAUUUUAUUCUUAUUUUCGUGCAAAAUUAUUUCAAUUUUCUGUUGAAAUUAAAUUCCAACCAAAUGGGUUUCCUAUUUUUAGAAUACCACGAAAAUCGUGAAGGUGGUCUGGCAUUUGGCAUCCAUUCCGAACAGAGUAUUCUGUAGUUGGAAGUUAUGGUGGCAUCAUCUUCAUUUAUCUACCUAUCUAAGUAUAUUUGUUUUCAUAGCUACAUUUUUUCCUUCUAUCUUCUUAUAUCAUGCUACUACAGUUUCUGACAGAAAAAAUGAACUUAAACUUAAUAAUAGAUCACUGAAACUGGACAAAAAAUUAUCCCAAGAAUGAAGUUAUGGGUUUUGAGUGAGGAAAGAUGAAUGGAAACUGCAGUGGACAUAAGGUACAUGCUGUAUCUAAGGAACUUGUAAUUGGAAUUUGAAAGUAUUUUUAAACCAAUUUUUUCUUUAUUAAAAAGCUCUUGUGAUAUUCCAUCAAGAUUUUUAAACAUUAAAAGAAGUCUUGUGGUGUUCAAUCAGACUGAGUUUUACAGAAAAAUUAGUAAUAGAAAUAGCUUUGAAUAUUGUCAAUGCUUGGGUUGUCAAAACAUAUAAUCACAUCUACAUAUGCAGGUGUGCAACAGGCUGAGGGAAGACAACAUUAUCUAUCAGCAAUGCUCAGAAUAAGCUGCCAAACCCUCAUGAAGUUCUUUGGUGACAACCAAACUGCUAUGCAUAAUGAACUAAACUGAGAAAAUUUCAGUAAUAUUUUUAGAACAGGGUCUAAUGUAUUUGUUUAUGGAAGAAGGUUUAGAUAUUUUAAAAUAGAUUUUACCUGUGACAGCAUAAAACCAAGACAAAUAAAUAGACUAAAAUAUUAUGCAAAGUACUAAGCCAUGUACCAAAUACUAUGCCAGGCACUGAUAAUGCUGCAUGCUAUAAUUAUAUAAACCAGGACAAUCAAACUUUUCCCCCAGCACUCAUUAUGCCACUAACUCUCUAGAACAAACAAAAACUAGAUGAAAUUAAGGGUAAAAGAUUUCAAACCAGAUAUGAAAUUUGAAUGAAAGAAAUUCAACAGUUCAAACGUGAUUGUUUGAAAUUCAGCACAAUAGAUAUUAAAGAAAUAAGACCCUUUCCUUCUCCAUGCAUUGUUUCCUAAAUAUAUAUAUAUAUAUAUAUAUAAAUAUAAAAGGAAAAUUAUGACUGCUAUGUUAAUAUCAACAUGUUUGCUCUAUAAUUUAUAGUAUUUGCUGAUAAAAAAAAUGUUUGCUCUGUAAUUUGGCUAACGAGUAAGAUGAAACACCAGUUAAAGAGGUAAUCCUAUAUACUGAUUCUUGUAUUAGAAGAAGAAAAAAAUUGUCAUAUAACAUAAUACAUGAAAGAACUCCCAAGAAUAAACUAUAAUAAUAUUAAUAAUAUAAGAUAAUAGUCUAUCCUUAUAAAAGGAAAAAAAAAAAAAGCAGAACAAGGUGACAAGAUGGAGUGCAGAAGGUUAGUGGAAAAAGAUGACUUCUGUCUUGUAACCUUAAUUAACUCAAAACAAUUAGUUAAAGAAUUGAAAUUUGGAUGCAACUUUCUUGCAAUCUUUCGGGUAGAUUUCAUUCCGGAGCUCCGUAUACUCCUUCUGAUAAAUUCGAAAUAUUGAUAGCUAAUUAGAUACUAAUUUAAUAAUUAUUUAAUAAUAAUAAAAAAAUUUAGAAAUUAAAAAAAAAUUAAUUUCUAAAAUGAUAUCUAAUUUAGUUAUUAUUGUAAUUAAUUAUUUUGAUAUCUAAAAAUUGAUUUUUAUGUCAUGAGUUUUUUAGUGUUCUACUUUAUAUAUUGUAUAUGAAAAAAUAAAUCAAACUCCUCCUUAUCAUAUAUCUUUUAUAUUUUCAAACUAUAUCAAGUGAUAAAUAAAGAGCCAAAGAAAGACCGAUAAACUUACCAAAUUAAGUGAAUAAGGAAAGAAUGCGAAUUAGUACAUCAACUAAAUUUGCAUGAAUAUAAUAAUUGUUGCAUAAAAGAUAUUAUUUGAACUCAGAUAUUAUCCAAGCAAUCAAAAUUUUGGUUUGGAACUUUUGUCAACACUUUUCUUCUCAGAAACAGUCAACAAUUAUUGCUUCAUUGGGGCCCACAACCCUCUUCCCAUUCGUUCAUUCAUUAGAACCCUUGAAUGAAUAUCCAAUAGCUCACAUUUUCUAUUGGUUGAGUUGCCAUUAAAGAAAAAUAUGAUCUUAAAGUCAAGUCCUCCUUUCUAACUACUCUUUUCAUUCAUCACUGUAUCAUUCAUUCCUGCACUCAAUUCAUUUCACUUCAUUUCCAACUCCUUCCUACCAUGGCAGCAGAACUUGUUGGUGGUGCUCUUCUUUCGGCCUUUCUUCAGGUUGCAUUCGAUAGGCUCGCUUCUCCUCAACUUCUAGACUUCUUUCGUGGAAGAAAACUUGAUGAGAAGCUUCUCGACAAUUUGAACAUCAUGCUUCACUCCAUCAAUGCUCUCGCUGAUGAACUAAAGCAGUUCACACAUCCACACGUCAAAGCAUGUGUUAGCAUUAAACUCAGCCUUCAGCCGUAAUUAGUUUUAUUUUAGCAUCUGAAUAGCCAAUAAUUAUUAUCUUUAAUUCUAGUUUUGAAUGUCAUUUAUACUAUGAUUUAAAUGUAAAUUAUAGUAUAGGUUUUAUGAGAGAGAAGGUAGAAUUUUGAGAAGUCUAUUGUAAGACUAUUUAGAGAGAUUGUAUUCUUAUUUGAAAAACAGUAGUGAAAUAAAAUAUAUAUUUCCUGUUCACAAAUAUCUUGCUCUGUUUUAUUCCCUCAACACCAACAAUUGGUAUCAUAGCUAUUUUCUUGAGGGAUCUGUGAGGUUAGUAGAGUGCACCAAUGGAAGGAGGAUCAAAUUUUUCAACAAUGGCACCACCUGUCUUUGAUGGAGACAAUUAUCAAAUGUGGGUUGUUCGUAUGGAGACUUACCUAGAAGCAUUGGAUUUAUGGAAAGCUGUAGAAGAGGACUAUGAAAUUCAGUCCCUUCCAAAAAAACCCUACGGUGGCACAAAUAAAAUCACAGAAGGAAAAAAAGAUAAAGAAAUCAAAGACAAAAGCAUGUUUAUUUGCAGUUGUAUCUCCUAUGGUAUUCACAAGGAUAAUGUCCUUGGAGUCAGCAAAAGAAAUAUGGGAUUACCUCAAGGCAAAAUAUGAAGGUGAUGAGAGGAUUCGUGGAAUGCAAACUCUGAAUCUAAUCAGAGAGUUUGAAUUGCAGAGAAUGAAGGAGUCGGAAUCCGUAAAAGAGUACUCGGACAAACUUCUAAGCAUUGCCAACAAAGUGAGGUUGCUUGGAUCUGUGUUAAAAGAUUCAAGAAUUGUGGAAAAACUGCUUGUAACAGUUCCAGAGAGGUUUGAAGCCACCAUAACAACCCUGGAGAACACAAAGGACCUAUCAAAGAUUUCUCUUGCAGAGCUCUUAAAUGCUUUACAAGCACAAGAACAAAUGAGAGCCAUGAGACAAGAUGGAGCAAUAGAAGGAGCCUUACUAGUCAAACAUGAAGGUGGAUGGNNNNNNNNNNNNNNNNNNNNNNNNNNNNNNNNNNNNNNNNNNNNNNNNNNNNNNNNNNNNNNNNNNNNNNNNNNNNNNNNNNNNNNNNNNNNNNNNNNNNNNNNNNNNNNNNNNNNNNNNNNNNNNNNNNNNNNNNNNNNNNNNGAGCAACAAGAUGUAGAUGCUCAAAUUGCAAAUGAGGAGGAGGAUGUACUUUUCGUUGCAACUGGUUUUUGCAGCAAUAUUUCAAGUGCAUCUUGGUUAAUUGACAGUGGCUGCACCAACCACAUGACACAUGAUAAGGAACUCUUCAAGGAAUGGAGAACUACUGAUAUUAAAAGGGUGAGGAUUGGAAAUGGUGCAGUAAAAGGAAAAGGCACAAUAGCUAUCACAAGCUAUAAAGGUAUAAAAAUCAUUACAGAUGUUCUUUUUGUGCCAGAGAUUGAUCAAAAUCUUUUGAGUGUUGGUCAAUUGUUGGAAAAAGGCUAUAAGGUGAUGUUUGAAAAUAAACAUUGUUUAAUCAAAGAUGUUGAUGCCAGAUAUUUGUUUAAAGUUGAAAUGAAGGGAAACCGAGACUGCCAAAUCCAAUGGAGGAGGAGCACAUUGCCUUAAAAUCCAAAGAAAAUGUCACAGAAAUUUAUGUACCUGACUUGAAGAAUAAUAUUCUCGGUAUGGGAAAAUUAUUGGAGAGUGUUGAAGCAAAAUUUGAUAACCUGGAAAAAAGGUUUACAAAAUUGGAAGAAAAAUAUGUUGAUAUGGAGAAAGACAAGGAAAGUAGAGUCAAUCAAGUUGAAGAACUCCAUUUGUUGCUUUUGGCACAAAAAGAAAAGGUGAAUGAAUUACAAUUCAAAUUAAAAGCCCCUUUUGGUUCAUGUGUUUUACUUGAAAAUAAUGGUUUUGACUUAGGAGAAGACCAUAAAUGGAAUGGUGUUGAGACAUCAUCUGAAAGGGAAAUAUGGUAUAAUCAUUAUCUUCGAAGCUCAUUGAAGUCAAAGUCUUUCUUAAAUCCUUUUUAAUUCAAAGGGUGAAAGUGGAAAGAUUUUGUUUGGAAAAUUAAAAGUAAUUCAAUUCAAAAUUAUGCACGGAUUGAUGCAGUGAAGAAAAAUAUUGGAGGCAGUGUGAGCGAUGACAAUCAGAAAAGCAACAAUCUGAAUGAAUAAUAUGAAAUGUUUGAGUUUAAGGGGGAAUUUGUUAACAUUAAACUCAAAGCCUUCAGCCGUCAUCAAUUUUAUUUUAGCAUCUGAAUAGACAAUAAUUAUUAUCUUUAAUUCUAGUUUUGAAUGUCAUUUAUACUAGGAUUUAAAUGUAAAUUAUAGUAUAGGUUUUAUGAGAGAGAAGGUAGAAUUUGAGAAGUCUAUUGUAAGACUAUUUAGAGAGAUUGUAUUCCUAUUUGAAAAACAGUAGUGAAAUCAAAUAUAUAUUUUCUGUUCACAAAUAUCUUGCUCUGUUUUAUUCCCUCAACACCAACAACAUGGCUUCGUGCUGUCAAAGAGGUUGUCUUUGAUGCAGAGGAUCUUUUGGUGAAAUAGACUAUGAACUCACCAGAUGCGAAGUCGAAGCUCAAUCCCAACCUCAAACCUUUACUUACAAGGUAUCGAAUUUCUUCUACUCUACUUUCAGUUCAUUUAACAAGAAAAUUGAAUCAGAGAUGAAAGAAGUAUUGGAGAAACUAGAAUAUCUUGCAAAGCAAAAGGGUGCUCUUGGUUUAAAAGAUUGUACUUAUUCAGGUGAUGGAUCAAGUAGUAAAGUGCCACAAAAAUUUGGUGGUUGAAAGUGUUAUUUAUGGUAGAGAUGCUGACAAAGAUAUAAUCAUUAAUUGGCUCACAUCUGAAACCGACAAUCCUAACCACCCAUCAAUACUUUCCAUUGUGGGCAUGGGUGGCUUGGGUAACACACUUGCCCAGCAUGUGUACAAUGACCCAAAGAUCGAAGAUGCAAAAUUUGAUAUCAAAGCCUGGGUUUAUGUUUCUGAUCACUUUCAUGUUUUGACCGUGACAAGAACAAUUCUUGAGACAGUGACUGAUAAAACUGAUGAUAGUAGGAACCUAGAAAUGGUUCACAAAAAACUGAAAGAAAAAUUGUCAGGAAGGAAAUUUCUUCUUGUUUUGGAUGAUGUUUGGAACGAAAGACGAGAAGAAUGGGAAGUUGUGCGAACUUCUCUUAGCUAUGGGGCUCCAGGAAGUAGAAUUCUUGUCACAACUCGUGGGGAGAAAGUUGCUUCCAGCAUGAGGUCUGAAGUGCAUCUUCUAAAGCAAUUACGAGAGGAUGAAUGCUGGAAAGUUUUUGAAAAUCAUGCAUUAAAAGAUGAUCUUGAAUUGAAUGAUGAGUUAAUGAAGGUGGGUAGAAGGAUAGUUGAGAAGUGCAAGGGAUUACCUCUAGCUCUGAAAACAAUUGGAUGUCUUUUACGCACAAAGUCAUCCAUUUUAUAUUGGAAAGUGACAUAUGGGAGUUACCAAAAGAACACAGUGAAAUUAUUCCUGCGAUAUUUUUGAGCUAUCGCUAUCUUCCUUCUCAUCUUAAAAGAUGCUUUGCUUAUUGUGCCUUAUUUCCCAAAGAUUAUGAGUUUGUGAAGGAGGAGUUAAUUUUGAUGUGGAUGGCCCAAAAUUUUCUACAAAGUCCACAACAGAUUAGACAUCCAGAAGAAGUUGGUGAAGAGUACUUCAAUGAUCUACUGUCAAGGUCUUUUUUUGAACAAUUAGGUGCCUAGAGACGUUUCGUCAUGCAUGAUCUUCUGAAUGAUUUGGCAAAAUAUGUAUGUGCGGAUUUCUGUUUCAGGUUGAAAUUUGAUAAAGGUCGAUGUAUACCGAAAACAACCCGUCAUUUUUCAUUUGAGUUACGUGACGUCAAAAGUUUUGAUGGUUUUGAGAGUUUAAUUGAUGCUAAAAGGCUUCGUUCAUUUCUUCCUAUCUCAAAAUUUUGGGAAAUUCAAUGGCAUUUCAAGAUUUCCAUACAAGAUUUGUUUUCCAAUAUUAAGUUUAUACGCAUGUUAUCUUUCUGUGGUUGUUCAUUCCUUAAAGAGGUCCCGGAUUCUGUAGGUGAUCUUAGACAUCUCCAUUCGUUAGAUCUUUCGUGGUGUGAUGCGAUACAAAAAGCUACCUAACUCGAUAUGUUUGCUUUACAACUUACUAAUACUGAAGUUGAACCAUUGUUUAGAGUUGGAGGAAUUGCCAAUUUUCAUAAACUUACCAAAUUGUGUUGUCUGGAAUUUAGAGAUACAAAAGUCACAAAAAUGCCAAUGCAUUUUGGAGAAUUGAAGAAUCUUCAAGUACUGAGUACAUUUUUCGUGCAUAGAAACAAUGAGCUAAUUACUAAGCAAAUGAGAGGAUUGGGAGGACUCAAUCUUCAUGGAAGACUAUCAAUCAAUGAAGUGCAUAAUAUUUUGAAUCCUUUGGAUGCAUUAGAAGCAAAUGUGAAAGAUAAACACCUUGUGGAGCUAGAAUUAGAAUGGAAAUCAAACCACAUCCCUGAUGAUCCAAGGAAAGAAAAGGAGGUACUUCAGAAUCUACAACCCUCCAAACACUUGGAGCGUUUGUCAAUCUUGAACUAUAAUGGUACAGAAUUCCCAAGUUGGGUAUUCGAUAAUUCGUUAUCAAAUCUAGUGUUCUUAAAGUUGGAGGACUGUAAAUACUGCCUAUGUUUGCCUUCCCUUGGAAUUUUGUCGUCACUGAAAACCCUACAAAUUGUAGGGCUUGAUGGAAUAGUAAGCAUUGGUGCUGAAUUUUAUGGGAGCAACUCUUCAUUUGUAUCUUUAGAGAGGUUGAAAUUCCACAAUAUGAAGGAAUGGGAAGAAUGGGAGUAUAAAACUACUUCUUUUCCACGUCUUGAAUGGCUUUAUGUGAAUGAAUGUCCCAAACUGAAAGGUCUUCAUUUAAAGAAAGUAGUUGUUAAUGAUGAGCUCAGAAUUAGCGGAAACAGUAUGGACACAUCGCCGCUUGAAACAGUAUGGCUCAGCUACUUUUUCAUGAAUCAAUUACUUCUAUUUUACUCUUAUUUUCGUGCAAAAUUAUUUCAUUUUUUCUGUUGAAAUUAAAUUCCAACCAAAUGUGUUUCCUAUACUUAGAAUACUACGAAAAUCGUGAAGGUGGUCUGACAUUUGGCAUCCAUUCCAAACAAAGUAUUUGUUUUCAUAGCCACAUUCUUCCUUCUAACUUCUUAUUUCAUGCUACUACAGUUUCUGACAAAAAAAAGUGAACUUAAACUUGAUCAUAGAUCACUGAAACUAAACGAUCCCAAGAAUGAAGUUAUGGGUUGAGUGGAGGAAAGAUGAAUGAAAACUUCAAUGGACACAAGGGACAUUCUGUAUCUAAAGAAUCAAGACUUUUAAACAUUAAAAUAAGUCUUAUGGUGUUCAAUCAAGACUGAGUUUUACAGAAAAAAGAGUAAUAGAAAUAGCUUGAAUAUUGUCAAUGCUUAGGUUGUCAAAACAUUAUCAUCACAUCAGCCAAAAAAUACAACAGCCUCAGGGAAGACAACAAACUGCUAUGCAUAAUGAACCUAAACUGAGAAAAUUUCAGUAAUAUUUUGAAAACAGAUUCUAAUGUGUAAGGCCAUGCAUCCAUGCCUUUUAGUGUUCACCCACACAACGUUGUCAUGCUCCAAUUUUAGUUUCCUUAAUAUUCUGAUCUUGAGACUCAAGCAAAUAAAUGUAACACAACUGUCUAAUAGAAAAACAACUUUAUACUCCAUUGGUUCAGUAGUGUGAGUUAUUGAAAACCUUCUGCUACUUGUGUUCGAUUCCAACCAUUAGGAAAAACAAUCAUACACUUGCUAGUUAGUACAAUUAAUGCAUGAGUUCAACUAAAUAAAAUAAAUACCUGGGAUGAGAAAUAUCUUAAUUAUAAUUUUUUUUAUCGACAAUGAGUAAAUAAAUUAAAAGAUGGGUAAGAUUCUAUACCUCAUUUGCUAGUCACCUGCUACUAUUUAUGAUGGAUACACUCAUUCUUUCUUGAUUUUUAAGUUAAUGAUUUAAAUGGAACAAUGUGCUAAUGCUUUUGUUUCUACCUUAUUUCUUCUACAGGUCUUCCAAAGUUGGUUUGUAGCAGUGUAUCAUAAAUUAUAAUGAGAAAAUAACUACAAGGGCUUGAAAUUGGGUUCUGAUGAGGAAUUGGAAUGUGAAGCAAACUGUUUUGUUGAACCUCUUAGUGGGUCUAUUUGCUUUUAAAUUUGUCUUUAAAGGAAUAAAAUAGAACCCACUUUUCUUAUUUGCAGGCUACUGUUUCAAUUAGAAUUUUGCCACUUUCAAGGACUAAAAGUUUAAGGACUCUCUGAACAGCAACAACAAACUUACAGAAGUGUAAAGUUUCUUGUUGACCAAGUAUUGUCUUGUAUAGUUGGAGAUAAAAAGUGAUUAUUGGAAGCCAACAACUCUCUAGAAAUCUUGUAUAUUUAGAGUCUUUUUUACCAAUGAAGAUUUUCUUCGACUCCCUCUCACUUCGCUAAAUACAUGUGAUUGUGCAUGUCCAGACUCAUCACUCCCUCUCUCAGAGGCAUGUUACCACUCAGGCCUUCUAAAUUUUGAUUAAAUAUAUUUAAUACAAAAAUGUUCAAAAUAAUCUCCAAGUAGUAUUACCCUUUUUGGUCAGAACUAAAAAACUAAUCUCUUGUGAUAUAUUAAAGAGAUAAUCACUUUUGAUACAUUUUUUUGGUAAGUACGAAUUUGAGAUCAAAUUUUUGACCACAUAUUUAAGAGAGAAAGUUACAUGCUAAAUAUGUCACACUCUGUAGUUCUGUUAAGUUGUGAAUGUCAAUGGAAGACUUUGCUUCAUUUCUUCCAUAACCUUCCAGUAAACACAUCUUUCUCCUAAAUUUAUUUCUACACUUCUUUUGUAGAAGAAAGUUCGAUGAAGCACUGUUCAUAAAAUUAGUAAAGCUGAGUACUUGAACCAAAAGAGGCACAUGUAUUUGUUAAUGGAAGAAGCUUUAAAAAUUUUACAAUAUAUUUUACAUGUGCCAGCAUAAAACAAAACCAAUUUAUCCUCGUCAACAGUGAACUGAACUGUUAAAACUUGAAAUACAUAAAAAAACUGUUAAAAAAUUAUAUAUGGGUAUCUUCUUUCCACAAGUUGAAGCUAGAGAUAGAACAAGAAAAUAAAGACGUAUAACACACCAUUAUUGUCCGACUUUUAUUCAUUAAGUACGUUUGUGAUAUCAUAUCAGAAAAUAAACAAUUAUUUCUCGACUUUGGUUCUAUCGACCUUAUUCAACUCACAAAAACCAUUGAAUAUAAAACUAAUCAAACAUAAAAUAUGUAUCCAAUGUCUGAAACCCAACCAUCAAUCACUCUUUAUGAUUGGCUGAAUCUUUGAAUGCAACGAAUAAUUGUGGAAUUAAUCCUUAAGAAAGACUAUAUUGGCUGAGUAGACAUCAAAGAAAACUAUGUUCUAAAAUACUUUACUACUCAUCCUAUCAAUACAAACUGCAUUUCAACAUACUGAUUUCCAUCCUUCCAAUCAUUUUCCAAUUCCUGCCAUGGCAGCAGAACUUGUUGGUGGUGCUCUUCUUUCAGCCUUUCUUCAGGUUGCAUUCGACAGACUCGCUUCUCCUCAAUUUCUAGACUUCUUUCAUCGAAGAAAACUUGAUGAGAAGCUUCUCUGCAAUUUGAACAUCAUGCUGCACUCCAUCAAUGCUCUCGCUGAUGAUGCUGAACAGAAGCAGUACACAGCUCCACACGUCAAAGCAUGGCUUUUUGCUGCCAAAGAGGCUGUCUUUGAUGCAGAGGAUCUGUUGGGUGAAAUAGACUAUGAACUCACCAGAUGCCAAGUCGAAGCUCAAUCCGAACCUCAAACCUUUACUUACAAGGUAUCAAAUUUCUUCAACUCUACUUUCACUUCAUUUAACAAGAAAAUUGAAUCAGGGAUGAAAGAAGUCCUGGAGAAACUAGAAUAUCUUGCAAAGCAAAAGGGUGCUCUUGGUUUGAAAGAGGGUACUUAUUCUGAUGACAGAUUCGGUAGUACAGUGUCACAGAAAUUGCCAUCAUCAUCCUUGGUUGUUGAAAGUGUUAUUUAUGGCAGAGAUACGGACAAAGAAAUCAUACUUAGUUGGCUCACAUCUGAAAUCGACAAUCCUAGCCAGCCAUCAAUACUUUCCAUUGUGGGCAUGGGUGGCUUGGUUAAGACCACACUCGCCCAACAUGUGUACAAUCACCCAAAGAUUGAUGAUACAAAAUUUGAUAUCAAAGCCUGGGUCUGUGUUUCUGAUCAUUUUCAUGUUUUGACGGUGACCAGAACAAUUCUUGAGGCAAUCACUAAUAAACAAGAUGAUAGUGGGAACCUAGAAAUGCUUCACAAAAAAUUGAAAGAAAAUUUGUCAGGAAGGAAAUUUCUUCUUGUUUUGGAUGAUGUUUGGAACGAAAGACGAGAAGAAUGGGAAGCUGUGCAAACUCCUCUUAGCUAUGGGGCUCCAGGAAGUAGAAUUCUUGUCACAACUCGUGGUGAGAAAGUUGCUUCCAACAUGAGGUCUAAAGUGCAUCGCCUAAAGCAAUUAGGAGAGGAUGAAUGCUGGAAUGUUUUUGAAAACCACGUAUUAAAAGAUGGUGAUAUUGAACUGAAUAAUGAGCUAAAGGAGAUUGGUAGAAGGAUAGUUGAGAAGUGCAAUGGAUUGCCUCUAGCUUUGAAAACAAUUGGAUGUCUAUUACGCACAAAAUCAUCCAUUUCAGAUUGGAAAAACAUAUUGGAAAGUGAAAUAUGGGAGUUACCAAAAGAAGACAAUGAAAUUAUCCCUGCGCUAUUUCUGAGUUAUCGCUACCUUCCUUCUCAUCUUAAAAGGUGUUUUGCUUAUUGUGCCUUAUUCCCCAAAGAUUAUGAGUUUGUGAAGGAAGAGUUAAUUUUGUCGUGGAUGGCCCAAAAUUUUCUACAAUGCCCACAACAAAAAAGGCAUCCAGAAAAAGUUGGUGAACAGUACUUCGAUGAUCUACUGUCAAGGUCUUUCUUUCAACCAUCAAGUGUCGAGAGACAUUUCGCAUGCAUGACCUUCUGAAUGAUUUGGCAAAAUAUAUUUGUGCAGAUUUAUGUUUCAGGUUAGGAUUUGAUAAAGGAAAAUGUAUGCCGAAAACAACUCGUCAUUUUUCCUUUGUAUUCCGUGACGUCAAAAGUUUUGAUGGUUUAGGGAGUUUAACUGAUGCUGAAAGACUGCGUUCAUUUAUUCCAAUUACACAAAUUGGGAGAAAUUUUUUUGGCAGUUUUGCAUGGCAAUUUAAGGUAUCGAUACAUGAUUUGUUCUCCAAGAUUAAGUUUAUACGCGUCUUAUCUUUUAAUGGUUGUUCGAAAAUUAAAGAAGUCCCACAUUCUCUAGGUGAUCUUAAACAUCUCCAUUCGUUAGAUCUUUCGAAUACUGGUAUACAAAAGCUACCUGAAUCGAUAUGUUUGCUUUAUAACUUGCUAAUACUGAAGAUGAACUAUUGUUCAGAGUUGGAAGAGUUUCCCUUAAAUUUGCAUAAACUUACCAAAUUGCGUUGUCUGGAAUUUAAAUAUACAAAAGUGACAAAGAUGCCAAUGCAUUUUGGAGAAUUGAAGAAUCUUCAAGUAUUGGAUACGUUUAUCAUUGAUAGAAAUAGUGAGGUCAGUACUAAGCAGCUGGGAGGACUUAAUCUUCAUGGAAUGCUAUCAAUUAAAGAGGUGCAGAAUAUUGUGAAUCCUUUGGAUGCAUCAGAAGCAAAUUUGAAAAAUAAACACCUUGUGGAGCUAGGCUUAGAAUGGAAGUUGGACCACAUCCCUGAUGAUCCACGAAAAGAGAAGGAAUUACUUCAGAAUCUACAACCUUCCAAUCACUUGGAGAAUUUGUCAAUCAAGAACUACAGUGGUACAGAAUUCCCAAGUUGGGUAUUCGAUAAUACAUUAUCAAAUCUGAUAUCCUUACUAUUGAAGGACUGUAAGUAUUGCCUAUGUUUGCCUCCCCUUGGACUUUUGGCAUCACUAAAGAUCCUCAUAAUUACAGGGCUUGAUGGAAUAGUGAGCAUUGGUGCUGAAUUUUAUGGGACCAACUCUCCAUUUACGUCCUUGGAAAGGCUGGAAUUCUACAACAUGAAGGAAUGGGAAGAAUGGGAAUGUAAAAAUACUUCUUUUCCACGUCUUCAACAUCUUUAUCUGGAUAAAUGUCCCAAACUAAGAGGUUUGUCAGACCAACAUCUUCAUUUAAUGAGAUUCUUGAGCAUUAGUUCAUGUCCACUUGUGAAUAUUCCCAUGACCCAUUACGACUUCCUUGAAGGUAUGAUGAUUGAUGGUGGUUGGGACUCUCUUACAAUCUUUCUGCUAGAUUUAUUUCCAAAGCUCCACUCACUUCAUUUGAUAAGAUGCCAAAACCUAAGAAAAAUUUCACAGGAGCACGCUCAUAAUCAUCUCCGGUCUCUAGAAAUUAAUGAUUGCCCUCAAUUUGAAUCAUUCCUUAUUGAAGGAGUAUCUGAAAAACCCAUGCAAAUCCUUACUCGAAUGGAUAUAGAUGAUUGUCCAAAAAUGGAGAUGUUCCCAGAUGGAGGUUUGUCAUUAAAUGUAAAAUAUACGAGUCUUUCAAGUUUAAAACUUAUCGCCUCCCUCAGAGAGACAUUGGAUCCCAACACAUGUCUUGAGAGCUUGAAUAUUGGAAAGUUGGAUGUGGAGUGUUUUCCGGAUGAAGUUUUGCUGCCACGAUCUCUCUCCAAACUAGGAAUCUAUGAUUGCCCAAAUCUUAAAAAGAUGCACUACAAGGGUCUCUGCCACCUCUCUUCUCUCACACUUAUUAAUUGUCCCAACCUUCAAUGCUUACCAGAGGAGGGUCUGCCAAAAUCCAUCUCUUCUCUUGUAAUCUUGGAUUGUCCAUUGCUAAAGGAGCGUUGUCAGAAUCCAGAUGGCGAAGACUGGAGAAAGAUUGCUCACAUCCAAAAACUGAAUAUUGGGUAAUAAGAUGAGGCAUAAGUUCAAGAUUAGAUGUGCAGUUAUUUCCAUUUUUCUUCCACUUCAAGAGGUGCUAAUUCUCCACAAUAUCUCUUUACCUUUACAUUUACAAUUUUCUUAGUUGCGAAAAUUAUUAGUAAGUGGAUUUCUAAUACUUACUAAUCGUUCAUUCAUACUAUCUUUUUUUACAGUAUCCUUCUCUAUAUCUGGAGGGAGUAGAAGAGACCCUCUUUAGAGAUCUUACUCUUGACCACGAUGCUUUCUAAGGUGGCUGUUUUUAAAAUACUUAUGGUCACAGUGUGUUGUGUGGACUGUGAUAUUAUAAGUCUUUCCAAAGUCUGUUUCUACCAAUGUGCCAAGAUAUGAUAAAGAGAAAAAAAGUAGAAGGGUUUGAAGUUGAAUUAUCAGAGGAUGAGUUACCUAAACAAGUCCUGGGCAAACUCCUACAUCUGAUAGAGAGAUUGAGGCAAUGGGAGUUGUGAAAUGUAAAUGCUUCUAAGCGUCCAUUCUUAGAACUUGAAAUUGUACAUGUUUUUCUUACUGAGUUAGAAAUAGCAUUCAAGUUGUUUGUGAGCAUUGCAUGUAACUUGUAUUUUUUAUUCCUUUUGUUUCCAUCUAUUCACUGUAUAUAAAAAAAAUGUUCUGGUUAGAACUGAUGUCAACUGUUGAAACCAAAUUUUCUUUCAUUUAUCUCAUAUGCUUGGAUAAAGACAUGCAUAUCCAUCAUCUUUCUUUCGAAACUUAUGUGGCGUCCAUACCAAAAUACAGAAAAAGGUAGUGAACUAUAUUACUUCAUGAUAAUAACUGGAUCAGAAAAUGGUGAAAGAAGAACUAUUUAUUGAAUGUACGUAAAUUGAAUCAUUGGUUUUUGAGAGGCCUUCAUUACCCUUUAUCUUAGAAUGUAGAUUUCAGUAUAACUCAAUUCUACAAAAACUGGUUUACAUUAAUAUGUUGAUCAUGAUAGACUUUAUUUUUCCUGUACUUCAAUAUUACCUACAUGGUUCUAGCUCCCUGUCAUUAACAAUUUUUCUCAACUAUUUUCUUUCUCAUCUUUGUCGUUGAUGGUUUUAUGUAAAGUAUGGAUCCAACGGUUAAUAUGUGUUCAAUUUCUUCUCUCUAAUGGAAGCCAUAGGAAAGAAAUCAUUCAUUCAUCUUUUUAAUAUAACAGUCAUGAAACAUGUGUAUGAAACAGGUAUAUAUCAAUUUAGUUUCUUUCACUAUAGUUUGUUUAUAAAAUGAGUGGUGGUAGGAGUAUAUCAGUAGCAGAGACCUGUUGAAGAUUAUAAUAAUAUAAAUAAUUGAUAGUUAAAACUUUGGUAGCUAAUUAGAUAUCAAUUUAAAAACUAAUUAAUAAUAAUAGAAACUAAUUUAGAAACCAAAAAUUUUUUUAGUCUCUAAAAUGGUCUCUAACUUAGUCAUUAUAGUAAUUAAUUAUUUUUUUCUCUAAAAUUAGUUUCUAUUCUUGUAAUGUGAAUUAAUGAAAUUUCAACACAAAUUUUCUCUAAAUAAUGCUUUCCAAAUUGAAUAUAUAGUUGUUUCAAUUAUUUAAAACAAGUUUACAGAACAUCAAUACCAAUACUUAUCUAGGAAACACCAAACACCAGCUACCGUAGGGUUGUAAUUUUUAUAAAUCACAAAUUUACUGCACCGUGAAACCAUAUCCAUCACCAAUUUCUUAUGCAAUGCACACAAUAAUUUUAACGUUGUCCUCAAGUCAAAUCAAACAAUAAUUUCUAUCAAGCACAUAAACCCAAGAACUUCAAUUGUAACCCAUCAAAGAUCAAAACUAGAAAUUUUAUACUUCAUCACAGAGUUUGAUAACAAGAUUGGACUGAACUGUGAGAUGAGAUGCACCAGCGACUACCAUAAUGUUCAAUGGUUUAAACCAUUCAUACAGUAAAUUGGACAGAAACAAGAAUUGUUACUCACUACGAAAUAGUUCAAUUUCCAAUUACACAGUGAAUGAAUCAAAAUUAAGUAUAAUUUUUGCUCUACACACGCAAAAGUUCCAGCAAUCACCAACUCAAAAGGAGUAAAAAUUGUGCCACUUUAAAUUACUGUUUUGAAAAUUCAAUGACACAAGAAAAAUAUUGCAUUGACUUCAACUACAAUAACGAAGCAUUUAUACAAACACGUCAUUUGCAGUUUAACCAACACGCAAAUGUUUGAAUUAUCAACUCUUCAACGAGUCAACACAAAAAUAAUUUGAUCAAUGACACACAAAAAUCACAAAUCUCCCCAUGCAAUUUAGUGGAAAUUUUCGUGCAUAUUACAUUCAUAUCAACGAAAAGAGGCAAAUAGAAAUUACAAUUUCCAUACUCACAUCGAAUUCACUAGAACAAAUGACAGUAUCAUCGUUGAGUAAUUCCAAGCACGCAAACUAAUUUUUUUCUCCAAAAGUCGAUUUUAUGAAUUGAAAACUCAUGAUAUUUAAAUAUUAUCAUAGACACUAGGUGUAUAAAACUUAAAUCUUUAAGACAAAACAAAACCAAAAAAAUAUUUAAAAGACAUUGUCUAAUAACAUAAUGAAUUGAGUAUUACACACAUUUAUUUGCAAUUGUAGCUGCAUGGGUUAUGCAGAUUACUGCAUCCAUUAUUGAUUAUUGAGGGACUAUCAUGUACAAAAGAAACACUAAUCCAAACCUAGAAUUAACAUUUAAGCACAAAAUCUGAACUCUUUAUUCCUUUAUCAAUUCAUAAAUAUAAGAAUAAAACGAAGAAUCAUUCUUAUUUAAAAUUAAUUUCUUUUAUUAGCUGAAAUAAAACCCUAAUCCAAACCUAGAAUUAACAUAAGCAUAAAAUUUGAACUCUUAUUCCUUUAUCGCCUCCACAAAGCUCUUAAAGUUCUCAUAAGAUGUACCUCCUUUUGCUAUGUUGUUCAUCACUUUCUCCUUCAACACCACACACCUAAAUCUUAUGUUCUCAUCAUUAAAUAAUUGUUCCACUUUGGUUUUCAACUCUCCCCGUGAAACAACCCCAUUUUGAUCCUUGUCAAUCCCCAACCCAACCUUUAACUCAUCACAAAUAUGUGCUUUGUUGUAAAGUUGGUCCCCAAAGUAUGGCCAACACAAGAAAGAUACCCCAUUGGACAAACCUUCCGUGGUAGAAUUCCAACCACAAUGAGUGACAAAACAUGCUAUGGCAGGGUGGCUUAAAACCUUUUGUUGAGGAGCCCAAUUCACUAUCUUACCCUUAUGCCCUUGGAAUUCAUGAGGGUAUGCCAUUUUAUUGUCUUCUCUUAUAACCCAAAGAAAAGGUCUAUUAGUGAGAUCUAGUCCAACGGCAAGUUCAUUGAAUUGGUUUUGGUCAAAAAGAGUGAUACUACCAAAGGCAACAUACAACACAGAACCAUCAGCUUGUUCAUCUAGCCAACUCAUGCAAGAGAGAUCUUCUUUCCAGAAUUGUCCCAUUGAUUUUGUAGCUGCACUUUUGUUAUGAUCAUUAUCAUUGCUUCUCAACAAUGGCCCAAUUGGGAUGAUCUUGGGAAGAAAUAAUAAUGUUCCAGGUUCAAGUUCAUGUGUGGUGUUGCAAAGCCACCACUGUGUCAAAUGUAAACUUCGUAAGCAAUGCAGCAGAUACUUACGCACUUUCUUACCAGUUGUUAGGUCACCGAUAUUCAACCAAAAAAAGUCUUCUGUAUCCAUCUCAGGCAUACUUGGAGAAAUCCGAAUUCUCUUUUUGGUGGUUGAUGUUAAACCUUCAGUGAAAAACCAACAAAAGAACAUUAGCUUAUACAACGUAUAAAUUAAAUUAUAAAUUAUGUUCAAACUUAACAAUACCUAAAUCAGAGUCUAUAACUCCCUCAUCAAUAAGCACAGGGAUGCUGUACACCAAGGUGAAAGUAGCUGCUGAUGCAGGACCCAACACAGCUCCUUGGAUUCCCAGUUUACUCCCAACAUCCAAAGCCCAAGCCAUGCACAAAUCAGCAACAAUGAAGUUGAUUCUCUUCUCACCUUUCACAUGAAUAUCCUCUAUCAACUUCUCAAGUGCUUCUGGCAUGGUUUUUGGAAAGACAUCAUACAGCUUGGCCAGAUCGUUUCUGUCAUCAUCAGGUCCUAAACCAUCAGGGAUUGAAACCAACUUCAGAAGUGAUUCUUCUUCAUCAGGGCUAGAACUAUCUUGUUGCUCCACCAUGGAACUCACCACUCUCCUGUGGUUAAAGUCUGUGUUCACAAAAAUGACUUUGCAUCCAUUCUCAAUCAGCUUCUGUGAGAAGGUCAUCAUGGGAUUCACAUGCCCUUGUGCUGGAAGUGGUAAAGCUAGCACAGUUGGAGCUCUCAUGUUCAGUGUUUCUAUUUGGUUUCUAUUGAUUUUGAUUUCUGAGGCUAAUUAUGCAUUCAUCAGUUCAUGUAUAUAGGCACAACCCCUCACACGUAUUUACCAAGCAAUUACAAAUCUAGAUCAUGAUCACUCUAAAUUUUCUGCUAUCACAAAUUUCUUGUAAGCAGAAAUGUAGAAAGUUUGUGUGGUCACAUCAAUAAUUUUGUCAUUCUAUACCUCUUUACUUUUCCUUGUACUUCUCUGAUUGGACUUCAGUGUUUUUGUCAUUAAACUUUUGCUUUUUUACUUUAUUAAUUGAUUCAGCAUUAUGCUGUUAUUUCAUUACGAGAAUUAUUAAUUACAGUAAGAAAUAUCUCUUUUAAUUUGAAUCAAUUUGAAAGGAAAGGUAAUAAAUGAAAAUUUCCAAAUAAUAAACUACAUUUUCUAAGGUUGAGGUACAAAUAUAAAGGUUAAAAAUGGAAAUAUACAAUUUUCUUUCAUUACCAGAAAUAUUGCAUAUAGUGUGGACCUAAGACUAGGACAUAAAGAGGUAAACACUGAUCCUACAUAGUUGUUAGUGUCGGCAACAUAGUUGUUAGUGUCGGCAACUGUCUUAUUAAAAAUAAAAACACUACAAGAAAAUCAUAAAAUAAAAAUCAAUUUUUAGAGAUCAAAAUAAUUACUUACAAUAGGAACUAAAAUAGAGACCAUUUUAGAAACUAAAAAAAAAUUGAUUUCUAAAUUAGUUUCUAUUAUUUUCUAUUAUUGUUAAAUAGUUGUAUCUAAUUAGCAACUAAAGUUUUAACUACCAAUUAUUUAGUUUCUAAAUUUGGUCUCUAAAACUUUGGUUGCUAAUUAGAUACCAAUUUAGAAACUAUUUAACAAUAAUAUAAACUAAUUUAGAAACUAAAUUUCUUUUUAAUUUCUAAAAUGGUCUCUAAUUUAGUUAUUAUUGCAACUAAUUAUUUUGGUUUCUACAAAUUGGUUUCUAUUUAAUGAUUUUAUUCAAGUGAAACUAAUAUAAAAUAAAAACUGAUGCAGAUUGAAUCAGCUAAAUCAAUGCAAGUUUACGUUGUGUAUAUUAAUUAAAAAUUAAAAUGAAUUAGACGGACACAAAUUAAACUGGAUAAAAAUAGAUUUAAUUUUAGUAUCGUUUUAGCAGAUGUAUUUUUUAGAAAUAAAAAUAAUAUUACGUAGAAAAUUAUUAAAUAUAAAAUAAUUUUAAAAAAAUUAGUUACUAUAGUAAUUAAAUUAGAGAUUAUUUUAAAAAUUAAAAAAAUUAUUAGUUUUUAAAUUAGUUUUUAAUAUUGAUAAAUAAUUUUUAAAUUAAUAUCUAAUUAGUUAUUAAGGUUUUAACUAUUAAUUAUUUAGAUUCUAAAUUUGAAACCUCGAUGAUUAAUUAAAUACCAAUUAAAAAAUUUAUUUAUUAAUAAUAGAAAAUAAUUUAAAAACUAAUAAUUUUUGUUUUUAAUUUUAUUACUAUAACAACUAAUUAUAUUUUAUUUUUAAAAUUGAUUACUAUUUAGUGAUUUUUUUUUACGGUAAAUAAUAUAUAAGUUAGUGUGUUAUUGGUCGAUGGAAUAUUAGACGCUGGCUGGUAUAUGUAAUUUGGAGUCUAUUUGGAAAUGAAAUUUGAACUUGUUUUCUCAAAUUAAUGCCAGAUUAUAUUUGAACUAAAUUUUAAUUAAUUCAAAUUUAAUUUGAGUGAAUAUAAUACUUGUGAUUAAUUAUAAUAAAGAAAUAAAUUUACAAUAAUACUAAAUUAUUUUAAGAAUUAUAUUAAACAUAGUUGCAACUAAUUUAAAGUUAUAGUCCAAAUUCUAAAUUGAAAUAAAUAUUAAAAUUAAACUAUAACAUGUGCUCUUGUUAUUGGAAUCCAAAUCAUAAUUGAAAUUGGACUAUAAUGUAUAUGUCUUGUAAUCCUAAAUAAAGUAGAAUGAAAAUUUAAGGAUAGUUAUAACAAUUCUCAUGCAGACAUAUGAGUUUUAACAAAGAAAUCAGAUUUGAUACUUCCAUCGCAUCGUUAGAAUUCAAAGAAAUAAUAAAGAAUGUAAUGUAUAAGUGCGUUUGUCUUUAUUGGAAUGGAGAGGAUUCCCACCAAUGCCAAAAGGGCAUUUGUUUUGAUGGGAAUGAAUAUGAUUUUCUCCAAUUAUAGGAGGACAUUUGUCAACCUCUAAUUUGAGAUGAUUUGCUCUAAUUAGAGAGAGUCACAUGUCCUUCUAUGACGGGAGAGUUUUUAGGAUUAAAACUUACACUUUGGUUGCACAUAACACUAUAAAUACAAUAGCUAGCCCUCUUGUAAAGGAGUUUUGAAUAGAUUAUUGAAUUGCUGCCAAAUUUCAGCCCCAACUAGUCUCUUAGCUCACUCCUCGCUAGCCUUAUUUGUAAGUGGUUAGCAUAGAAGUUCUUAGGAGUUGGUCUAACUUCUCUUAAGCUUCAUUAUUAUUCUCUAUACACCAAUAUUUCAGAGGUUCUUUCACUCAUUUUAGUCACCAAAUUUCACAUCUCAAAAGAUAUAAAACAAAAGAAACAAAGUCAUAUGCAAGCUAGGAUUGCAUCACCUAGUACCCAAGUGGUUAGAUCUAUGGCCACAAAGUAAGCAAUAUGUGCUUGAUAGAAUAUUCUCUUGUGAAUUAGGGUUUAAGCUGUUUAGGUAUUUGGAUGUAUGACACACAGACAGUGGGUUUAGGAACUAGUAAAAAAAGGUUGUCUGAAGAGGAUAAAUAUGUGGAAAUGAAAUAUAAAAGAAAAGCUAAAAUCUCUAAACAAAACAAGUGUGUGGAACAAAAGAUGUGUUUCGGCAAAUGCUAAGAAAAAUGGAAGAGUGUGUCCUAAAAAUUAGUGAGUUGGACAUAAAGGGAUGAACACUAAAGUUCAUAUGAAGCUUGUAGAACAGAAAGAAAAAUAUAUAUUUGCAUCUAACAUCAUAUCUUUCGAAUAAAGAGUGACUCUAGAGUAAGAAAAAUUGAACAAUAUAAGACAAUAUGAAUUUUUUUCAAGGACGAAAAUAUAAAAAAAAGACUCUAAUCGAUGACUUAGUUUAACAUAUAUAGUUGUCAUUUACAACUACUAUGGAUAAAGAGCAAUUAGAAGAUUACAAUAUUUACAAAGAUAAUAUUAUUAAAAUAUAAACCGAAAUUCACAUAAUUAAGAACAAGUUUAAAUUUAAAAAAUCUUUAAUUUUGAUAAUAACCAAUAAUAUUAUAUUUUAAUUAAAAGAUAAAAUUCGACGGUGUGUCUCAGCUCACCAAAUUUUAUCACAAUUGAAAAGCUCAUUGGUGACCUUUUACCCUUUAAUAUCGACCACCUACUUUACUUUUUUUGUUGGAUCAAUCAAUUAUUAGGAUAUUAAUAAUUGGAUUACUGGUAAAUAUUUAGACCACAAAGAUUUAUAUAAUUUUUUAUUUUCUCCAAGAUAGAGCCUUGUUUCUUGCCGUGUCAUAUAUGUGUCCCUUGUUACCAAGGGAUGGUUUUGCUAUUUUUGGAUGCUUUGAAGCCUUUAAAAAGACCUUUUCAACCAAACAAAAAUAGCCACAGAAUUACAUAGAGAAAAAAUGUUUGCUGAAGUAUUUAUAGAAAGAAAAUCAUUAGAUAAAAAAUAAAAAAUAGCUACGGAAUUACAGAAAAAAAAAAUAUUUACCGAAAUAUUUAUGCAAGACAAAAAAAUCAUUAAAAAAUAAUUUUAAAGAUAAAAAAUAGUUAAUUUAUUAUAUUAAUUAAAUUAUAUACUAUUUUAGAUAUUAAAAAAAAUUAUUGAUAUUUAAAAUAGUUUCAAUUAUUAAUAAAUAGUUUUUAUUAUUGAUAAAUAGUUCCAAAAUAUCACUAAAAAAAAUAUGAAAUAGAAAUCAAUUUUUAAAAAUCAAAAUAAUUAGUUACAAUAGUAACUAAAUUAGAGACCAUUUUAGAAACUAAACAAAAAUUUGAUUUUUAAAUUAGUUUCUAUUAUUGUUAAAUAGUUUCUAAAUUGGUAUCUAAUUAGCAAGGUUUUAACUACCAAUUAUUUAGUUUUUAAAUUUGAUCUCUAAAACAUUGGUUGCUAAUUAGAUACCAAUUUAGAAACUAUUUAAUAAUAAUAAAAAUUAAUUUAAAAACUAUUUUUUGUUAGUUUAUAAAAUAGUCUCUAAUUUAGUUACUAUUACAACUAAUUAUUUUGGUUUCUAAAAAUUGGUUUCUAUUUCAUGAUUUACUUGUAGUGUAUUUAAUUAUACUAUAAGAAAAUCACAACCAAAUUUAGGAACAAAAUAAUUAAUCACUAUAUUAACUAAAUUAGAUACUAUUUUAAAGACUAAAAAAUUAUUAAUAUCUAAAAUGAUUUUUAUUAUUAAUAAAAAAUUAUAAAAUAAUUUUUAAAUUGUUAUCUAAAUUAGCUACCAAAAUUUUAUCUACUAAUAUUUAAUAAAUAUGAAUUAUUGAAAUGAAGCAACAUCAAGUUAAUUAUCAUUUCAAUGCAUGGUACCACUUUAUGUAAAAUGAUUUCAUCUUGCUCGUUAAUUGUAUCAAUCAAACAACUUAAUUCAACAGUUGAAUCCAACACUUAAAUGCAAAAUGAAUCAAAUUCAAGUUGGCAACUAAAGUCACUUGUUGAACUCAAAAAAGUUUCAGAAUUAUAUAAGAGUGCCAACUAAGGACAUCUUCCAUGCAACAAAGAAAUUUAAACACUGAUUGCAAACCAUAAAUGCUAAAACUAAAUUAAUGAAAUUGCAACACAAAUUUUCACUUAAUAAUAUUUUCCAAAUUGAAUAUAUAGUUCCUUAAAUUAUUUAAAACAAAUUUACAGAACAUCAAUACCAAUACUUCUCUAGAAAACACCAAACACCAGUUACCGUAGGGUUGUAAUUUUUAUAAAUCACAAAUUUACUGCACCAUGAAACCAGAUCCAUAACAAUUUAUGUAAUGUAAACAAUUAUUUUAACUUUGUCCUCAAGUCAAAUCAAACAGUAAUUUCUAUCAAGCACAUAAACACCAAGAACUUCAAUUCUAAACCAUCAAAGAUCAAAACUGGAAAUUUUAUACUUCACCACAGAGUUUGACAAUAAGACUGGACUGAAUUGACAGAGUUUGACAAUAAGACUGGACUGAAUUGUGAGAUGACGUACACCAACAACUACCAGAAUGUUCAAUGGCUUAAACCAUUCAUAGAGUAAAUUGGAUAGAAACAAUAAUUGUUACUCACCACGAAACAAUUCAAUUUCCAAUUAAACAGGGAAUGUAAUCAAAAUUAUGUAUAAUUUAUGCUCUACACACGCAAAAGUUCUAGCAAUCACCAACUCAAAAGAGUAAAAUUGUGCCACUUUAAAUUACUGUUUCGAAAAUUCAAUGACACAAGAAAAAUAUUGCACUGACUUCAAUUACAAUAAUAAAGCAUUUAUACCAACACGUUAUUUGCACUUUAACCAACACGCAAAUGUUUGAAUUAUCAAUGCUUCAACGAGUCAACACAAAAGUAAUUUGAUCAAUGACACACAAAAAAAUCACUAAUGUCCCCAUUCAAUUUAGUGGAAAUGCUCGUGCAUAUUACAUUCAUAUCAACAAAAAGAGUGAAGAGAAAUUACAAUUUCCAAAUUAACACUACAAGAAAAUCAUAAAAUAGAAAUCAAUCUUCAGAUACCAGAAUAAUUAGUUGCAAUAGUAACUAAAUUAGAGAUUAUUUUAAAAAUUAAACAAAAAAUUGGUUUCUAAAUUAGUUUCUAUUAUUUUCUAUUAUUGUUAAAUAGUUUUUAAAUUGAUAUCUAAUUAGCAACCAAAGUUUUUUAGACCAAAUUUAGAAACUAAAUACUUGGUAGUUAAAACCUUGAUUUAGUGUAACCUCAAGGAAGAAGCGUGUAAAAUAGAGUUACAAGUGAAGAAUGGUGAAGAGUGAAUGUCACCAUGCGCAGGAGUUUAUAAAAGAAAAAUAUUAAAAUACUUUACUGUGAUUUUAUGAAAAAACCACGGACACUUACCAAAGGUUUAAAAAAAAUGUGUACUAUGUGUAUGUCUUAAUAGAAAUUAUAGUAACAUUAAGUAAUAAACCUCUCCUAAAAUUAUAAAUUUUUGUAAUGCCUAAACUAGCAUAUUUGUUGAAGAUGACCAAAUAAGAAAACUAGGAGUUGGAAAGGAAGUGAAAGUUCCAUUAAUUAUACUCAUUUUGGAAAUAAAAUUUAAUACUCAUUAUGUUUCAAUUCUAUUUCUAUAUGAUAUAACUAUAUCUAUUUAAAUAUGUAUUAAAUAACUUUUAAAAAAAAGUAAACUUAAAUCAAAAUGAUAUUAUUUAGAAUUCAAUUUAAAAUGUAUUUCUUUAAUAUCAAAUAACAGUUAUUAUGAAGUGGGUUUGCACCCUCUCAUACCAUAUUACGAAGUGGACUUUAAGUCUAACUCAAAGCCAUAAAACCGGCUCAAUGGGGUGAGGUUUGCACCCACUUAUAUACUAUGAAAGGCUCUAAUCUCUAAUCGAUGUGGGAUUGCACCCACUUAUAUACUAUGAAAGGCUCUAAUAUCUAGUCGAUGUGGGAUCUCCAACAACAGUGAAAAAAUUAUAAUAAUAUAAUAUUCAAAAUAAAGUACUAAAUAAAAUAAAAUUAAUUUUAGAAUUUAAAAUAGAAGGUGUAUAGGAAUGAGACGAAUAUCUAUUUAGAUAUCUUUAUCAUUUUAGUGAAACGACGGGAUUACAAUGGUAGAAAAAUACCCAAGGAUAUUUAUGGAUUGAAACUAAUAUGAAAACACAUGCUAGAAAAUGGAAUAACAAUAUAUGAGAGUUCAAGUGGAGGAAAAAUUGGUUUUGAAUGGGGAAGGCUAUGGUAGAAGCGUUUAAGACAGAUUUAACAAAAAUUAAGCCAAAUAAAAAUAUUGACAUAUGUAGAAAUUCUUUCGUAUAUUCUGAAAACAUAGGUACUAGUUGUAUAAAGUCUAAAUCCUUAGGACAAAACAAAGCCAAAAAAACAAGCAAAAGACUCUUCAAAUUGCAACAAAUAAAAAUUAUUGUACAAUAUUCCUUAUUCAUAAAUGCAUCAUGUCGAUCUAAGUGCAUUUGCAUUGUCUAAUAACAUAAUUAAUAACAUAAUAAAUUGGGUAUUACACACAUUUAUUUUGGCAAUUUUAGCUGCAUGGGUUAUGCAGAUUACUGCAUCCAUUAUUGAUUAUUGAGGAACUAUCAUGGUACAAAAAAAGACUAAUCCAAACCUAGAAUUAACAUUUAAGCACAAAAUCUGAGCUCUUAUUCCUUUAUGGCCUUCACAAAGCUCUUAAAGUUCUCAUAAGAUGUUCCUCCUUUUGCUAUGUUCUUCAUCACUUUCUCCUUCAACACCACACACCUACAUUUUAUGUUCUCAUCAUUAAAGAUCUGUUCCACUUUGGUUUUCAACUCUCCGCGUGACACAACUCCAUUUUCAUCUUUGUCAAUUCCCAACCCAACCUUUAACUCAUCACAAAUAUGUUCUUUGUUGUAAAGUUGGUCUCCAAAGUAUGGCCAACACAAGAAAGGUACCCCAAUGGACAAACCUUCCAUGGUAGAAUUCCAACCACAAUGAGUGAGAAAACAUGCUAUGGCAGGGUGGCUUAAAACCUUUUGUUGAGGAGCCCAAUUCACUAUCUUACCCUUAUGCCCUUGAAAUUCAUGAGGGUAUGCCAUUUUAUUGUCUUCUCUUAUAACCCAAAGAAAAGGUCUAUUGGUGAGGUCUAGUCCAAGGGCAAGUUCAUUGAAUUGGUUUUGGUCAAAAAGAGUGAAACUACCAAACGCAACAUACAGCACAGAACCAUGAGGUUGUUCAUCUAGCCAACUCAUGCAAGAGUCAUCUUCUUUCCAGAAUUGUCCCAUUGGUUUGGUGGUUGCACUUUUGUUAUUAUCAUUGUCAUUGCUUCUCAACAAUGGCCCAAUUGGGAUGAUCUUAGGAAGAAACAACAAUGUCCCAGGUUCAAGUUCAUGUGUGGUGUUGCAAAGCCACCACUGUGUCAAAUGUAAACUUCGUGCACAAUGCAGCAGAUACUGAAGCACUUUCUUACCAGUU
This 135031-nucleotide long non-coding RNA is filed under the name Phaseolus vulgaris (common bean). RNAcentral's name for it is "long non-coding RNA (PVUL_LNC003299)". The record is from RNAcentral. Lineage: Eukaryota; Viridiplantae; Streptophyta; Magnoliopsida; Fabales; Fabaceae.